RNAcentral lists this long non-coding RNA (93486 nucleotides) under Olea europaea (common olive). RNAcentral's name for it is "long non-coding RNA (OEUR_LNC008027)". Lineage: Eukaryota; Viridiplantae; Streptophyta; Magnoliopsida; Lamiales; Oleaceae. The record is from RNAcentral.
AAAAAGACUAUAUUAAUUAAAAUAUGUAAUGUCAGUCACUAUAACAUUGAAUCCAAAACAUAUCAUCAAAACAUAAAUAAAAAUCAUUCACUAAGUAUGAAUACAUCUAAUGUGGCUCUUAUAUCAUGAACUAACAACUAUGUACUCCAAAACUUAUAGCUCGUCUGCUCAGCUAAUUAUAUAAAACUCUAAUGUUCUCUCGAGUAAUACGCACGAUUUGAGAAGUCCUAAUUUGUUUACACGUCCCUUAAGUAGGAAGAUCUAGAGUCCUUGGCACGUAUCCUACACCUAUCCCUGCAAAUCCAACAAUAAAAAUCGAACACGUAAAUGAACUUCAUAUAGUAAGAAAAUUAACUUUAAAAAAAAACCCCACCUUAAACUCAUUUAUUUCAUCAUCCAAUGUCCUAUCAUUUUCUUCAAUUCUUCGAACGUUUUCACUUUUUGCUGCACCUAUUACAUGAUAUACACAUUACCUUUUUAUACUUGCUCAUUACUUAAAAUGCAAAAGUUUCUACUUCAAUCAAGGCAUAGAUAGAUGCAGAUAACACACAAGAAAUUUAAAAAGUUACACAAUAGAAGUCAAACAGGUUUCUCCAAUUCUAGAUUCCAAUUGCAAGCUUAGGAGUGCCAAGUAACACGCAAGAAAUUUAAAAAAUUCAAUAAUCACUGAAGCAUAAUAUGUCUUUCAGAUAACAAGAGCAAGCUAUUAAAGUUCAAGCAUGUUCAGCAAUUCAUAGCCUAUGCUAACAGGUCCAUCUCAAAUGUUAAAAGUUAAAAGAUAACAAAUAAAUUUAAGUAACAACUUAAACUUAUAUAAUGAAGAUUUAAUUGUCAAUUAAGUCUUUAAAGUUAGUUCGCGAAAUUCUUUGUAUGACAUGUUUCUUUUCCUUCCCAGACAUAAUGCAAGUUCUUAAAUCUUAUCAGGCGGAAUGUGAAUUUGAUUUAUAGUAUUGUUUAUCUUAUUUGUGAUUCGAUGUACCAAGCUUUGUGUUUUUUUAGCGUAAGUAUUGGUUUAAUUUUGGGGAUUUUUAUCUUGUGAUAUCAUUUGGCUUUAUUUAAAUUAUAAUGUUAUUAGUAUUGCUAAAUACGGCUUUAUAUGUUUCUGUCUAAUUUCUGUAAUUGUGAUUUAUACUUUAUAACCAACGGAUUGUAUGUGGAAUUGGACAACUGUUUCCGUAGGUAAUCUUUAUAUAACCAAUUAUUUAGUCCAUUCUACAGACACUAGAAUAAACAUGUGCAUCAUGUUUAAUCCUGUCAAAAGAGAAAACAUAACGGUUGAUGGAUUUCAAUAAAGCACAUUAUAGAUUACUUGAAUAAGGGAGGGGGGGGGUUACCAAAUGGACUUUAUUAUUAUUUAUAUAUACACAAUUUUGGUUGUCAUAUGAACAGUUGGUCACAUUAUAUAGUUAACCAAUUUUCUUUAUAAUUACAUUUGGAUCCCAAAGUAAUCCCUUUUAAGUACUAAUGUGCAUUUAAGAAAAUUUGUUAGCACAUCCCUAAGUUCAUAGCAUAUCUUGGAAAAGUUAGAAGAUUGGCAACAAUAUUUUGCUAGUGCAAGCGAAUGUAGGACAUUUUGGCACGAGAAAGUGCUUGUAUUUCCUAUGUUUAGAUCAUAUUCAUAUAGAAGACAUGACAGAAAACCUAUGGCCAUUAAAAUUAAGUUCCCCAAGUUGAAUAUCUUUGAAAUGUGGGGAUGUCUAAAAAUUUCAAGUAAAAACAUAUUAUAUGUUAUUAUUCUUUGUAAAUUGACUAUUGAAAUGUGUUAAAAGUUGUACUGUAGAUUUGAAGGUGAAAUGCAAGAGUUCAAUGGAGCAUAUGCCCAAACGUGUUACUAAAGUCAAUAUUAAAAUUUUCAUGUAUUUAUCUGAUUAUAUUUUGAAAUUUUUUAAAAAGAUUUUGCAGAUGUGUAGAAGUAUAGACGAAGAAUAAGAGCUUUGGAAAUUGAUGGUACCAAAUUGUUGUCCAAGAGAGACAUCAAAUAAAUUAUAGAUCGUAAUGGACAUAAUAAAUCGUCGGGGAGGAUGGGUCUAAGCCCUAAGAGAGUCACAUCAAGGAGUAACCCAACAUUUGUGUUUGGAGAUCCCAUGAAAAAAAUACAAUAUGGUAGAAAUAAACCGUACUACAUGACUUGUAAUAGCACUAUUUUAUUUGUGUUUAUCUCUAUGGUGAUAUAGUGCGAAUAAUAAUGUGAUGUAGAAAGAAUUUAAUCCUGAAUGAGUACCGGAUGAGAAUUUUUACGAGGCGUGGGUCACACGCACUCUUGGAGGCCUCACAUACGAAAGGGUUGCCAUGAGGUCGCGGCUAUGGAAUUUGAUUAUUCCCUAGAGACUCUUACUAGAAUGGUCAUUAGAAACGCUAUCCACUAACCCGCUAUGAUUUAGAGUCUAAAUCGAUACUGCGUGUGGAACAAUUAAAAUUUGGCUAAGGGGCCCAAUUCAAAGCUGAGUCCAUUAGGGCUUCCUUAGAUGAAAAUUGUUAACACUAAGUGAGGUCAAAUCCAAAAGACGCUUACACCUAUUGCACAGUAUUUUGUUGCCACUAAUAUAUUAUAUAAAUAUUUAUCUAUUAUGAAAGUUUAAAAUUUAUGAGGGAUUGUAAUAUAAAAUAAAGUGUUAACAUUUCAGUAUUAAAAGUUUAAAACCAUUUAAUUUUAGGAUAAUGUCAUUAACAUGACUCUCUAAAACUUGCAUUUCUAACUCUUGUUGAUAUUAUUAUUGAAUUAUGUUUAUGUUAUUUAAUUGAUAAAUAUAUGCAUACAAAUCAACUAUUUUUCCCAACACAAAUUAUUUACAAUUUUGGUACACAAACAGAGUUGAUGACAAAUUUUAAAAACAGGGACACUAGUCAAAAAUCAAUUAAAUAAUUUGAAAAAAAAAAUGAAAGAAGCCAAACCCCUCUUUAGGCAGCAUUAUUCAAUUAUUAAUGUUGUACAAUACGUAACGACCAUAAUUGGAAUUCACACUAGAAUUAUCUCAAAUUUUGUCAACUCAAGAAAGUGUGUAGUUGUAGGGCUUGUUUGAGAUGAUUUAUAUUUCUAUUUCUUUUUUAUUAAAGAGCUUCCUCUUUAAUUAGCCAACUUCUUCUAAAAGCUAUUCUAUUUAGUAAAAUAAUUUUAUAAGUUAUCCCAACAGAUUUAAAAAUAAUUUUUUAAUCUCAAAAAUAAUUUUUUACUUUUUGAACGACACGUAAGUGUCCCAUGCUUGUUAAAUGUGAUGAUGACUGCACAUGCAUCUUGCAAAAUGUGAUGAUCAAUGCACCCCAUCACAAUCACAUUCAAUGGGUGCCAAUGUUCGCUAGCUUCAGCAAACCCAGCUGGAUAAUUGCACGGUCCACACGGCGGAGAUUGCGUUAACUUUCAUGCAGAUUAAUGGGUCAUCACUAAAAAAUGCCUUCGAUUUUUUUAAGAAUAAAGCCACUCAGACUGAAAAACAGGAAGUAAAGGACAGAUUAAUUUGGCAAAAAUUGAUUGAUUGCUUUUUUUUUUUUUUUUUUUCAAAGUGUUCAAUCAUGCUUCGACACCAAUCCACCCUUAUUUUUAAAAGUUGAACCCAAACCUUAAGAGCUCUUACCGUCCUGUCCCUAGAGGUUUGUGAGGGAGGUAAAUCUCGGAAUGUGUCCCAGCAGGUCAGGGAACAAGAGCUGCCUGUACACUGCGUCUACAAGGAGUCCAAUUCCAUGUCUUAGGAAUCGAACCCCUACACUGCGGUUGUCAGUAAGACGUGAGAUAACCUCAAUCCUAUCCUUUGCACCACUGGGCUAUGCCCCGGGGGCUGAUCCACCCCUAUUUUUACCCCUUUUUGAGAUGAUCUUUGUAGCAUUACUGAUUUAUUAAUUUAUCAUUCCAUCUAAACUCUUUCAUACGAUUGUAUGUAGUUUCUUUAGACGUUACCAAAUGAUACAUUGUUUGGUACAUCAUUGAUUGCUUUAUUUAAGACUUCGAUUAUACAAGAUGUUGUAAUUUAUUAUUCAAUUUACAAUAAUAAAUAUAUUGAAAUGAUAAUACACCCAUAUAGGUACGAAGUAAGUACAGAAAUACCAAAAGCAAAAUAAGAAAAAAAAGCGAAGGGAUUGAAAUUUUGGCCUGGGCAUUUAGACAGUUGCACAGCCUUGAUUAGGUUUACUAGUGGUCAAAACUUUGGCUUUGAUGAUAGCCCGAUUUUGUACCCAUACCAAUUUUUUAACAGUUUCGAUUUGAAUUAUGGUCAAUUUUUUGUUUUCGUGCAUUCUCAAGACAGUUCAUCUUUUCAUAAAUCAUUGAGACUUUUUGUAGUGUAUGAAUGAUAAUCUAUAAAUAAGAGUUAGAUUUCAUUCUUAAACACAAUCAAACCACCAACAAUUGAAAUCAUUCCAUAUUGAAAGAGUUAUUCAAAAGUUUCUAUACAUAGCAAUUCUGGUGUUUUUCAAGUUCAAAGAAGAAAAUAUAAAUGCUUAAUAUUUAUCUUUUUCUUGUGAUUAUAAAAUCUUAUGAUUCAUUUAUCGUAAGUCCUUUUAAGUAUCAAAAUCAAUCUUAGAGGAGACAAAUUUAAUUUGAAGACAACAAUUACGAAUUCAAGCCUUUAUUAAUUCCUUGGGUUUUUUUUUUCCGUCUAAUUAACAAAUUUUGGCAAAAGCAAACCCACGUGCAUCCUAAAAGGAAUCAUAGAUGGAACAGUACCUAAUUUUAUUUUUAAAAUAUUUAAUCAUCUAAUUAAAAAUUUGAACAAACACUUGCAUUCGAUCUACGAACUUGGCAAACCUAGUGGCUGACACGACAGUCAAUACAACGGAAAAAAACCACUCUCUAUUCUUUAUGACGAUAAAGGAACGAAUAGUAUACUUAGGCAAUUUAAUUACGCCCUGUUUUGUACUGAUUUAAAUCAUAUUUUAAUUUAAAUUAAAGUCAAACAAUUAAUUUUAAUCAUAUAUUUCAUAGAUUCCACAAUUUUUCAACUUCCACAAUUUUUCAACAACGCAGUUAUCAAUAUUUAUUAAAAAUCUAAUUUUAACCUCCACCAAACAGGAACCCAAUAGGCUAAUAUUGGUCUUAAUUUUUCAUAUGAAACAAGAACAAAUGAUCCACACAACAAAGGAAGGCCUAACCCCCAACAAGUAUUUUUUUUUUCUUUUACAACUUUUUUAUAAAAAUAUUUUGUACAUCGUUCUCUAUUUUACGUUUGCUUGAUUGGGUGGUGAUCGGGAGAAAAUGUUUCCACCUUUUUUGUGUGCCAAAGUUGGCUUUCAUCACUGUCAUCGAAGGAACGAAAAUGUUAAUAUUAUCGAAAUCUUAAAAGUUAUUAGAGAGAAGGGGCUUUCCACGUACAAACUAAAUUAAAUUAUUUUUCUAGUCUACCCCUAAUGAUUUAAAUAUAUAAUAGAUAGUAACAAAAGUUGACUCGCGAUAAUUUCCCCUAAUAUUGAUUUAUUGAUUUUUACUUUAGUAAAUAAACCCAGUGAUAACAAGAUAAAAAAGGGUAGAUACUAGAUCAUUUAAUUAAUACUCAUCAUUGACACAAUUUUCUUCCUUCACAAUAAUUGCAAUUUAUUUAGAAUAGAAAAGGAAAAUAAAAUAAAAUAAAUGAAAGCGAACGUGAAAUUUUUAUAAUGUCCAUAGUCGGAAUGGACCCACGAAAGUCUGUUGGGUGCACGAAAUUUAAUUUUAUAAGCGUCAAUGACGUAACAUUUCGUAUGAUCCGUACGGCAAAGCACCGACCGGACCUUUAUUCCUAUUUUUAUAUUAAUUUAUUAAUAACGUAAUGCUUUAAAUGGGAAGAAAAAGGGACCGCAGUGAUGGACAUGACAUGGAUAUCCACAAAGUGGUGGGCCCACUGGCCCAAUAUCGGCCCAUCCGUUACACAACAGCCGAAAAGGAGCAACUUUUUUAUUACAUGGCAUGUAAUGAUGAAAGCAAAGAUGCCUCUUGUUUCUAGAACUCUCCAACUUGUAUGACUAAUGGCCGUGCCACUACCUUUUUGAAAUUAGAUUAUCUUUUGUUUAUUUUAUCUAGUAAAACUCGAAUUUCGAUUUAAUUGAAUUGAGUUUUACACAAGACGUAUGUAGUUGUAGAAUCGAAACAUCAAAGAAAUAAGAUUUUUCUAAUAGUUCCAAGUGAUGUUUGUCGAUUUCAUACGUGAUAACAAUUAAUUGAUUAGCGAGUCAUUCCAAGAGACGGUUGGACACUUUGACCCGAAUCCUUCGCUAGUGUAAGAAUUACAAUGAUGGUAGGAUGGUGUAAAUUUUGUAUUGGAAAUAUAGAAGGACGUUCAAGUAAUAGUACUGAGAAUGACUUCACAUUUAUCCUUCGAAUGAGACUCCCUUUAUAUAGGCUUCAAAAUGUGCAAAUGUGUCCAAAAACGAUUUCUGGACAUGGGAUAGGCAUCCCUAAAAUAUUUUAUAUUUUUGACGAGCAUAUGAAAGAGAAAAAAGAUCAGAAGAACCGUCGCAUAUUCUACGAUAAAAUACCGCGAUGCUUAGAUGGUUGAUCUUUGAUUACUAAUAAUUGUAUCUUGGAUAUGGCAAUCGAGACAUGCAAGUUGUCAUCUCUUUCUCCUUUCUCGAAUGUUCUUCAUCUAUAAGGCAUGUCUUGAUUCUUGAAACAAUAAUAGUUCGAUUUUGAUGGUCUUAGUGACAAAUUCAUCACCAUCACAUAGCGACACGUAAUUGUAGUAAAAAAAAAAAAAAAUUAGUGUCAAUUUCAUAAAAUGAAAUAAAUUGGAGGGAGAAAAAGUUGGCGAUCCAACCAAAACCUGUACGUACGAAUACCCUAUCUAUGGUCUGACUUCAAGAAAGUUGUCUGAUAUUUGUCCACUCUAUCCGCCAAUUUUCCCUGCAAUAAUACUUCCGUACUGCACGGUAUCCUUCAAUAUCGUGGAAAUUACAGGGAGGGAGGUAUUUAAAGAUUGUAUUGCAAAAAUAAAGUUUAAUGUUUACUUAUUCAAAAAUUAGGUAGUAAUUCAACUUUUUAAUAUUAAUGAUAAUUAUAUAAAAUUAAAUUAAUCUAUCGACCCACCCAACCAACCAACCCACCAACACUAUCAAUCCCUCAUUUUCCUCUCUUCUCUGUCUUUACUCCCAAAUCCAGUCGCCGACCACCGCCCAAAACUUGUUCUCAGACUUCGUUGUUUGAUCAUGAAUAUAUCUUGGCUCAUUUUUAUCGUAUCAGCCACGCUCGAAGCAGAGUGAAGCUUUCUAAAAUGGAACCCGCUUUUUAUGCUCUAUUAUCUCCUUUCUCUCUCCACCCAUCAGUCCCAUUCCGACUAUGCGCAGCAGUGCAGCGAAGGGAGAUUUCUAUUUAUGUUGUUUUCCUAGAGUCAGAGUCGUUCAUUGGGAUAAAUUACGCCCCAAGUAGCAGACAACCUCUUGUCAAUGCCGACUGCAAAGUUUCUGUAAUCAACGGCAAUCGAGAAGGUUUCAUUGAGACAAUUUGAACAUCCAUCCUCUGGGAGCUUUAUGCUAGCAAUCUGAGCUAUGUGGGUUUCAAUUUUGGGAUGUCAACAAUUGAGGUGACUGGUGAUAGGUGUGGUGAUUGGUGAUAGUGGUGGCGCGUGUUUCCUAUUUUGUGUGUCUGUUAUUUGUCUUGUUUGGAUGUCAUGUUUGCUGUGGUGGUUUGUUGUGGGUGGUAUCCUAAUUCGAUGCACUUUCGGUGUUGGCGGUGACGGUGGUAACGGUCGCGAUGCUAGUAGUGGUUAUGCUGCUGGAUUUUUGUUGCAUUGAGGUUGAGGUUGUAUGAAGACGAUCUGUGACCAAUAAAUUAAUUUAUUUUGUGACUUAUAAAUAAUAUGUGAUCAAUAAAAUAGAUAAUUUAGAUCGAUAAAUAAUGUGUCCUUAAAAAAAUGUGAUAUUGUGAUUGUAGUUGUGACUUACUAUUUGUUCACUGGUUAAAGAACAAAUCAAUGUCCACAUGUCAUAGAUCAAAUAGAACUGAUCACAUAUCACUGAUUCAUGUUUUCAUGUCACAUGUUACAGUUCACAGGUCAUACUUCACAAUUCAUAUUGUAUAGGCCACAGAUUAAUGUCAACAUGUCACAUAUCAAAAUUAACUGAUCACAAAUCAAAUGCCACAGAUCAAAUAUAACUAGUCCUAUAUCACAGAUCAAAUAUCACUAGUCACAUAUCACUAAUUUAUGUUCACAGGUCACAUAUCACAUUUCACAAAUCAUAUUGUAUAAGUCACAAAUGAAAAUUAACUGGUCAUGUAUCAGAGUCAUAUGUGUUUUGUGUACUGAUAAUAGGUCACAGAUUUGAGUUCAUGGCUUACAGCUCAUAUGUUAUAGGUUACAUAUAAUGGUUCACAAAUCACAAGUCAUGUUGAAUAUGUAAUAAAUUAAUGUCCAUUGAUUACAGAUUCAAUAGAACUGGUCACAGGCUAUUGAAUCAAUAUUACAGUUUAUAGAUCACAUGUAACAGGUCACAAAUCCAAGAAAACUGGUCACAUGCUAUUGAUUUCUUGAUCGUUGGCUUCAAAAAUUCUGAUACACAAUGCCGACAACUUCUAAUUUGUGAUUGGAAACGUCCGACAAGUUUCAAUUAACCAGAUUUUGAAGGUGAGAAUUGAAGUUAUUUGCUCUGAUGAGUUCUCUGUAAAUUUAUUUUUUUUUCCGUUCGAUCUUUUAGUACACAGUGCCAACUACUUUCAAUUUGUGACUUUAAUCGUCCUUCAGAUUUCAAUUAACCAGAUUUUGAAGUUGAGAAUUGAAGUUAUUUGCUCCAAGAUUCUGGCGGUGGUAAUUUGCUUCGAAAAGGUCUCUGUUGCUUUUCUACUUUGUUCGGUCUUCCAGAUUUGUUAUGAUUUGUUGUUUUGUAGGAUAUAGUAAUUGAAAGUGUUAUUUUAGGAUCUAUAUUUGUUAGAAUUUAUUUAUAUAUAAUAUUUAUUAAUUACCACCUGGGUUUUGAACAUUUAAAUCUUUUCUCUUAAAAUUGAAUUAGGGUAUAGUUAAGGCCUGAACUAUGUAUUGUUCCCUUCAAUAUUUUGCCUCUUUGACUGGGAACUCCGCUUCAUGAUCCAAUCCUAUUUAUCUUUAAUAUCUUGAAUUUUUAUUUUUAUUUUUCAUGAUUGAUAAUUAUUCAAAUUCAACAUCGAUAAUAAAAUUUGAUUAUUACCUUACAUACAAAUGAUCAAAAUCACUCUUUUUCCUUUCUAACUAGUUGAAAACUUGAAAUAGUUCUUAUCAAGUCGCGAAUGACUAUUUUUUGCUCAAAGUUAUAUCAGUUCUCUUAUUUUAGAUUGUGACGUGAAUGUAUUUAAAUUUGAUUAUAAAUAAAUCCAAAGUUGGUUUGGUUUGAUUACAACCUUGUACGGAGUUUCAUACUUUAAUAGAUUUUUUGGGUACAUUUUUAAUAGAGAGCAAAUGAAGUAGGUGAGUUGGGUAAUGACUUAAAGAGUUGUGCUGUGAAUGUUUAGUUUGAAAUUUCAUAGGGCGGAAUUCUGCACCCACAAGACCAAUUUUUCUUCAUGAAAUCUAAUGUGUUAGGUUAGAUAAUUCGGGUCUUCAAUGUUUACUUUUCUAGUUUCAAAUUGAGACACCAUUGAUCAAAUAUUGUUUGUUCAAGAUGCUAAAAUGUAACGUAUUUAAUCAUUAUAUAAAAAAAAUAUUCAUACUAGACACGACGAGUUUGGAGUAAGUUGGCUUAAUAUAUAAUGGAAAGAUGACUAAGAAGGGAAGGGUGGAUUUCAUUUGAAAACAUCUUGGCAACGGCUAUAAGCAAGUUGGUUGCAUUGUAAUGUGCAGAUUUAUUUUUCUCAUUAAUUCAACCAUCAGUACCCACACCUUAUGGGCUUAAGAGAAAUUUCAGUAGGAUGGUCGCACCACCUCGACGGGUGGCCCACACACCUCGGGAGUGUGUGGUGGGCCACACACCGAAGUGGCGCACCCUAAUAUGGUAGCCUUUUGGGACUUACUUCUGUUGAGCCAUAUAUUUGGUCAUGAAAUGGUACUACUUGUGCCAGUAGAUCAUAUCAUGUAUUAGGAGUGAUUUGAAAUUCGACAUAGUUCUUACUAUAAUCAGUAACAAACUUAAGUCGUUCAAAUUUUUUCGACACAAUUUUAAUCGAAGGGUAAAUGGUUCUUAUCUCACUUGGUUUGGUUAUCUUCAUUAAGUAUAGAUGUGGCAAUGAGUUGAGUCAGCUCGACCAAUAGGCACUGGAGCUUGGUUCAACUUUAUGGAUGAGCCGAGCUCAGCUUGUGUCCAUAAACCAGCUUGAUUUGGCUCUUGUACUUGUGGACCUCAUAAUCCGAGCCAUCGCAUUUAAUUUUUUUUUUUUGAAGAAAUUAAUAAAACUAGUUCAAAAAUUAGUCUGCCCACAAGUCAAAAAACGAACCAACCUCGUGAAAAAAAUUUGAGCGCAACUCUUUUCAAUAUGAACACGAUUGCCAUGAAGUCAAGAUGAGCUUAGCCCAUGAACCAACGAGGUACUUGACCCAUUUGAUACCACUAAAUUAGUAAGAAAAAUAAUGGUAAGUUGAUGUGUAUUGACUUUUGAAUUGAAUUAAGUUGUCCAUAUUAAACGUAAAUAAAUGACCAAAAUGUAUGUUUAAAUGGUUAUGGAUAAGCAUAUAUGAUUAGGAUCCUACUGAAGCCUCAAACAUCUUGAUUUUCAUUAGUCAAUAUUUAAAAAAAAUAAAACCCUGAAAAGUUGCAGGCUUGCAGCCCUUGGAGACACAUAAGAGCCAUUCACUGUUUUAAACGUCAUCAAAUGCAAUCAAAUUUUGUAUUAUUAUCAGAAGAUAUCAUAUUUGCAUUUUAGAACUUCAGACUAAAACUAUUCCACAAAUCAGUGUGAAAGUAAAUUUAAACUCAGGCAAAAUGUCGACAAUUGAAGGAAUGACCAAUAUAUGCUUGAAGAGAGUCAAAGGAGAAUCCAACUACAAAUCCUUGCAGACUAUAUUUGAUUAUUGAAUGAUAAAACAUUUUGUUCCUUCCGUUUCUGUACUGAAACAAUGAAACCAUAACCAUAACAAACUCGAGAUUGAUUGCGACUAACAAAAACCCUUAACCAAACAAAUAAAAAUUCUUGUAAACAAUAAAAAAUCAUCUAUGCUAUUCAAAACCAUAGUUAAGCAUGGGUUUGUCAGCAUUAACAGCAGAAGUAUAUAGAUCUGUAGUGUUACCCGUACUCGUUGAUGAGUUAUAAUAACCAGCUUCUGCAGUUAAGGCAUUGUCAGUCGUAAAUGUUGUAAUAUCGCUUAAAUUCCAGUCAGUCAGGUAUACCGGCCUUGACGUGACAGUGGGGACCUCGGCAUCUCCACAAAGCAUAGCCACCACACGAGACAUGGAAGGCCUUCGAGUUGGGGAUGUUUGACUGCAUAAAAAUGCAACACCUAUCAUUUUUUUCACCUCAUCCUCGUCGAAUGCAGAUAAAUUUGUGUCCACCAAUUCCAUUCCCCGGUUAUUUUCAUGCAGAUGCCAGGCCUGAAAGGGUGAAUAGUAUGUAAGUUACAACAUGCGAAAGCAAAGUAAGAUGGAUGAUCCAGAAAAAAUGUUUGAACUCUCGAAUUAUGCAUACCUAAAAAACUCAUUUAAGUGAGAGUUGUUAGCAAAAUGAUUCUGGUGAAUCGAUUCAAGAGAAAGGAAUAGACAGUACCCAUUCAAGAAGAUAUAUCCGAUCUUCUUCCAAACGUGAGUCAGAAUUUGCUCUUCCACUGACGAUCUCUAGGGCUACGACUCCAAAUCCAAACACAUCAGCCUUCUCCGUAAGGUGACCACGCAUGGCGUAUUCCGGCGCAAGAUACCCACUGCAUGAGCAAUCAGGAAAAUUUCAGUAAUGCGCUCAACUACUUGAUACUCUAAUUUAAACUGCAAAUGCAACUAGAUAUUAAGUUAGAACACAGAUAAAAAUUAUCAACCAUGAAUUAAUGGAUCUUACAUUGUGCCUGCAACACGGGUGCUUAUAUGAGUCUUUUUGUCAUCAUACAACUUGGCUAAGCCAAAGUCCGAAAUUUUUGGAUUGAGUUCAGAAUCGAGCAGAAUAUUGCUUGCCUUUACAUCUCUGUGUACAAUUCGAAGUCGAGACUCCUCAUGAAGAUAAGCUAGACCUCUUGCUACCCCCAAGCAUAUGCCAAAACGUGUUGGCCAAUCCAAGCAUAAGUUUCCGCUUCCUCCUAUAUCGAAGCAAAAAUGUUCAAUCUUCAGUAUACCUGUGUUCACAAAAACAUCUUAGCAUGAAGCUGUACAAAUGAUAUAGCUUCUACCAAAUAAUGCUUGAUCAAGACUCCUGUUUUCGAGAUACUCAUAAACAAGCAACCGCUUAUCACCCUCAGUGCAGCAUCCAUACAAUUUUACAAGGUUCCGAUGUUGUACGGCAGAUAUGGUGGCAAUUUCUGCCACAAAUUGGCUAUUUCCUUGAUGGGAUGAUACAGACAGUUGCUUUACAGCAACCAUUCUUCCAUCCUCAAGUGUUCCCUUUUGGUCAUAAAAAUACUAAAAGGGUCAGAUAUAAAGAGUGAGAAAACAGUAUUGCACGUACCAAAAAUAGAUACCCACUGAAACAUGAUCUGUAAUAAUUAUCAGAAGGAAGGAAAGAAAGCCUUCAAGAAGUAUAAAAGAUAUAUAUAAUUACCACUUUGGUAGCAAAAACUCAAAUCAUAUUAUCCUUGUUUUUUCUGGUUGCAUAAAGGCCAGAGCUUUCAUUUACCGAAAGAAAACACAAGGUAAAAGGGAAAAAAUAGUUAUGGGGUAUCUUACAUCAAACUUGUCUCUGCAGUCAAGGUGUUUAGUGCCCAUCUAAGUGAUAGGCCAUCUUAUAAACUUCAUGUUAAAAUAUAGCUUACCUUGUAAACAGGCCCAAAUCCUCCCUCGCCUAGUUUAUUUGACGAACUGAAGUCAUCUGUUGCCACUUGUAGUUCCACAUAAGUAAAAGUGUAUGGUCUGGCAUCCAUUCCCAAGAACUCUGCAAAUUCACAGAAACACAGUUUUUUGCUUCUCAAUGUCCUAAGCUAGUCAUUCCCUAUUUCGUGACAAUAUACUAAGGCAUGACAGUUCUGUGGGAUGUUGUGAAGUGGGUUGUUUUAAUUAAUCAUAAGUGUACCGAUCCUUCUCACCUUCAUCUUCAUAUCUCUUCUGCCUUUUUCUUCUGCGAGCCAAAUAAUACAUGGUGAAUAAGGAAAAAAAGCUUACAGCUCCAACAGCGACAACAAUUCCCACAAUCAGACCAGUUCUGUCCUCCUUCCUACUCGUGAGACCAUUUGGAGGAUUGUUACUCACUUUGGGAAAGAAAUCUGCAUACUUUUUUAGUUGUAAAAAAUUCGAAUCAAUGGAUUAAGAAUCAUUUGACAUGUCUAUGCGAUAUCAAACACUUUGAGUUAGUACGUACCUGGGAUGACACUUAUUACAGAAAUAGAGGGACCAUAUACACCUUCAGCAGGUACGCAGCAUGUCCCCUUUCCGGCCCAAAAGAGAUGGAUCUCAAGGUAAUUUUCCGUCACCUGGGCUUUAAAUUCCUUCAUCACAGCUCUAAAAGAGGCCCCGCCAGCCUCUUUUCUUACGUCAAAAUCUUUCCAUACUAGAUUAUCCUGAACACAUGAAAUGAAGAAUAAAAUUUAAUAUCAAAUGUACCACAUGGGAUAAAACUGUUUGAUAACCAAACUCAAAGGUUGGAUUUGUAUACAGUAUUUGAUGGUGCAAUCCAGGAGGACAUGAAUUUACUAAGGAAGAAUCCUGAGAAAUCAAGGAUAGAUCUGCCAUAUUAUAAUGAAUGAAAGUUUCAUGAUAACAUUAACAUUAUUGCCGACCACAGAAUGCUGCAGAAUACAAAAUAGAAAACCAAGGAUGGAGCUCAUUCACGUAGAAACUUGACCUCCAUACAUGGUCCCAGUACUUGAUUGUGCGAUUUUUUGUUUAGAGGAGGUCUGAUACUCCAUAACGAAGAAUUCAAGAAUGAAGAAACAACCAAACAACACCUUUAAGUUCAAGAUCUAAGGCAAGCAGCGUUUUUGUCUGGGCUUAAAAGCAUUAAAUUAAACCUGCAUUUCAGUUAAGAAUUUUACAAGUGAAAUUUCAUGCCAGAAACCUUUCCUGACAUUAAAAAUAUUUUCUACAAUGAUGACAUCAAAUUGAAGUACAACUAGUAAUGAAGCCAGGUGUAUAGCAAAGAUAAGAUUCAGGGAAGUAUGCCAGUCACAUGCAGUGGUGAUUGUUUUCCUUCUUAUUUUUUAUCCUAUCAAACGACAAUAAAAAUCUGUUUAAAGAGAAGCAAGAUCAAUGGUUGAAAACACAUUCUACAAUUCGACAUAACAGACCUGAAUAUAUAUGUUGAAAAUGCGCCUUCCAAGACUCCUCCAGGAUGGAGGAUUUUGAAUUUCUGUCUCUCCAAACUGGAGGGUCACAGUGUAAUUACCAUUCUCCAGGCCCAAGCCAUAGUAUCUAAGUGAUCCAGCAGAAAUCCGUGCACUCUGGAACAGCUCCAGGUCCCUUGUAUUUGGGAAAAAGGGAACAACGUUCGUUAUAUAUCGUGGAUUGUUGCUUCCAGAAGGCAGACCAACAUUACUAACUGCCCAUCUGCGUUCCCUGGUCACAUAAUAUGUUGCUGGACCAACAGUCUCAUAACUAUUGUCUGCCUCGUACACAAUCCCCGUAGCAGAACUCAUUUGUGGACCGCCACAAUUAAUUGCAAAGCUGGAAUCUGCAAACCAUCCCCAAGAGUAAUUUGUGAAUUGUCAAUACAAAAAAUAACAAAUAGCAGAUACUGAAAUAAUUUUCUGACAAUAAUCACGUUGGUAAAAUGACUGCACAUAUAGUUGCAGAGCGAAACUAUAAAAUGAAGAUUAGAAGAUUUACAAAAUUAAUGUGGCUUUAAUAUUCAGCCUUCAAGUUUAUAUACGGUAACGGGUUAAUUUCACAAACGGUCACUAAACUUAGGCGAAAAUUACAAAACCGUCACUGAAAUUUAAAACUUUUAGUAACGGUCGGGACACUUUAAAAGGGUCACUGGAAUUUAAAAACUUGUAGAAACGGUCACUGAAAUUUAAAAACACUUUUUUAGUUUUUUGGACUACUUUUGCGAUAACUUUUCAGCGACUCCCGACCACCGAUACCGUAGAAUUUUGAUACAACUGGAAAGCUCAUAAUGUCCUCUUCAAUUAACACCAAAACUUUCUAGCAACUCUAAGGGAUUCGACAGGAAAAUCACCGCAAAAGUUGCCCAAAUAUCUGAAAAUCUGCCUAGAUUUUCAGAUUUUUGGGGUGAUUUCCCAGCGACUUCCGACCACCCACACGCCGGAAUUUGAUGCCAUUGGAAAGCUUACAAUGUCCUUUUCGGUUAACACCAAAAAUCUCCCCAAAAAUCCAAAGGAUUCGCCCGGAAUAAACCCACAAAGUUGGCUAUCCGAAAAGGCAAAAAUUUGGACAGAUUUUUUAAAUUUUUGGUUGACUUUUGCAGCAACUUUUCGGCAACAUCUGACUACAAAGACCGUCGGAUUUUGAUACCAUUGGAAAGCCCACAAUCUCCUCUUCAAUUACUAUCCAAAAUCUCCCCAUAACUCUAAAGGAUUCAUCUGGAAUAAACCCACAAAAUCAGCAUCUUGAAUCUGGACAGAUUUUUACCUUUUUGGGUAACUGAAUUUGUGGAUUUAUUCCAACCGAAUCCCUUGGACUUUGGGUUAGAUUUUGAAAGGCAAUUGAAGAUGAUAUUGUGGGCUUUCCAACGGUAUCAAAAUUCGACGGUCUUGGUGGUCGGAAGUUGCCAGAAAAUCGCCACAAAAGUCGCCCAAAAAAUCUGAAAAUCUGCCCGUCACACAAAAAAUCUGAAAAUCUAGGAAGAUUUUCAGAUUUUUUGGGCUACUUUUACUACAAUUUUCGAUCGAAUCCCUUGAAAUUAUGGGGAGAUUUUGGAUAGUAAUUGAAGAAGACAUUGUGGACUUUCUAAUGACAUCAAAAUUCUACGGCAUUGGUGGUCGGAAGUGGCCGAAAAGUUGCCAAAAAAACUGAAAAAGUGUUUUUAAACUCCGGUGACCAUUUCUGAAAGUUUUUAAACUUUAGUGACCGUUUUUGCAAGUUUUUAAAUUUCACGACCGUUUUUGAAAGUGCCCCGAAACUUAAGUGACUGUUAUUGAAAUUUUUAAAGUUCAGUGACUGUUUUGUAAUUUUCACCUAAGUUUAGUGACCGUUUGUGAAAUUAACCCAUACGGUAACAUAUAAAAUAGACGGGAUAAUUUAGAAUCAUUCAAGGAUUUGUAAAUUUCAACUUGGAUUCUCAACAAUAACCACACUAAACUUGUAUCAGUCAACAAAAUGUCCAAGCGAGCCUAGGCAAUAAGCCUUCUCCAGAGCGUAGGACAGUAGUUGACAAAGCAGUCCCCAGGGCGUUGCUUUAUAGCAAAGGAAAAAAUUAAAUGAUAAAGAAAUAAUUACCACCUAUUAUUGUUAACAGACUCCCUUCUCUCUAUUCUACAUUUUUCUCUAUUUCACCAUUCAUUUAUAUUUUUGUAUAUUUUGUAUCUUUCUUGGUAGAUUCAUAUUUGUAUGCCUAGGUUUCAACUGUAUUUUAUAACCUUGAAAAGAGUACAAAAAUAUCUAAGAAAGUAGCAAAUCACGUAGGCUCCCCAGAAAGCAACCAUCACAACUACGGAUAUAGUAAACAUGUUCAAAUCCUGUAUGUAGAUUUCAAAGACUUCACAUUUUGAUUCCUUCUUAUUUUUUUCCUACUCCAGGUCAUAGCAAAUCAUUGCUGUCCUUUGUGACAAUUCCAUACCUACACUUUUAAAUAAAUGUAAACCGUGUGGUUCAAGCCCAACUAAGUACUGCUGUAUCCAUAUGGAGUGUAUUUUAUUCACAUUCACACAUUCAACAUAGUGCAUUUAUUUUUCGAAAUUAUGAUAUUACAGUUGUCUCUAUCACAUCUCAAAGUUAAAAAUCGGGAAAUUAUUCUGGCCAUUCACACAAGUCAGAAUUAGCAUUUUGUACACAUUCCAGUGUGAGAAAGAGAAACUGCAUUUACAAUUAGAUUUUUGACCUUUUGGUAGCACAAUAAUGUAUUGAAAGAAAGUAUAUCACUCACACUGGGGGUCUCCUCGAUUGCAAGAGAAAUUUCUUUGAAGACAAUUCAAUCCUGAACUGAAAUUGAAAAAAGAAUCUAUAGCUAAUUAGGAAAGGUAUCAUGUCAACUGCUUUGACAUAGUGUAUUAUGGCACUCAGAGCAUGAAGCAAUCUCAUUCAUGAGUGGAUUUGAAUAUAAACAUAAUUUAUUCCAUAGUGGAUUGACAUAUUGACUUAUGUACUCUUUUGUGGGCAUGGUUAUAAACUAAUGUACAUUCUUCACCAGUGGGAAAUGUUAAUAAGAUGUCCUUGAUUAUUCUGUGAUUAGGAUAGUAAUGAACAGAAUAAUAAUUAAUAAGAUAUUACAACUUAGAAACAUCCAUACAAGAAGCUACAGAACAUUUUCUAGUUUUGAUGUAUUCAAAUGAAUAUAAAUUAAAAAUUUGGAAGCCUAAUGUACUGAUCAAGAGUGUAUGGUUUCAGAUAUGUACCUGCUGUUUUGCAAGACAAAGUUGUUGGCGACCAAAUUACUGCAGAGAAAUUUUUAUUAAUUUUGGGGUAUGCCAGCCUUUAGAUACGAGACAAUAUCCCAAAGAAAAGAAGACGAGAGUUCUGAACUAUAACAUAUAAAUCAUGCUACUUUCUAAUUUGAAAUUGUUCAUACAGUUGCAUAUUUUCCUGGCUUGCCCAAGAAGGGAGGUUCCCGGAUAAUUCGUUGUAUGACAAAUCUCUGCAAGCAAAUAAGAUAUAGAUGUUAAGAGUAGGAUACUUGAUAGAAUUAUUGAACACUAAGAGGAAGAAAAGACACUUUUUGAUAGAAAAUAUUCAGCACUCUUCAAGUAAUACACGGCUGGAACCAUAGUAUUUAACAAAAGAAAUUCUAGCCAACUUUUAGUCAACAACUUCUACCUACUGCACCUUACUUCUUUGACAGCAUACCAGACCCUUAUUACAAGACCAUACUUGACAGAUUUUUCAUUACAUAAAGGCCAUAACUUAGACUAGAAAUAGGUACUACAAAAAUACUAGACUUUGGACCACAAAAAUGUCAAUUUAAUAUCAAUACUCCUUCUUGAAACUUUUGCCGGAAACACCAAGGCAUUUCCUUAAUGUUUCAAACCUUCAUUUAGACAAAGAUUUUGUUAGGAUAUCAGCAUAUUGGUCUUCUGAAUUGCAAUGCACCAACUUCACAUCCUGCCUUUCUUGUGCUUCCCUAAUUGAGUGAUACUUGAUCUUGAUGUGUUUUGUUCUUCCAUGAAACACCGGGUUCUUUACCAUUGCAACGGCUGACUGGUUAUCACAAUAAAUGACAGUUGCAUCAGAUUGCUUGUGAUUAAGAUCUUCCAAUACUUUCCUCAACCAAAUUGCUUGAUUUGUAGCUUCUGAUGCAGCUAUGUACUCUGCCUCUGCUGUCGAUUGAGCCACUAUUUUUUGCUUCAUUGAGUUCCAACACACAACACUUGAACCAGCAUAAAAUACUUAACCAGAGGUACUCUUCAUAUCAUCAAUAGAUCCGACCCAAUCACUAUCAGUAAAGCCGGUUAAAAUCAGAUUUUCUGACUUCUUAUACCAGAUUCCCAGCUCUACAUUUUCUUUUAUGUAUCUUAGCACCCUUUUUGCAGCUUGAAAAUGGAUUUCACUUGGCUCUUGUCUAAAUCUAGAGAGUAUAUUCGCAACAUAUGUAACAUCAGGCCUUGUGAUGGUUAGAUAUAACAAACGUCCAACCAAACUUCUAUAGAUUUUUUCAUCAGAUUUCUGGGCUCCAUCUUCCUUUAUCAACGUUGAAUUUUGCACCAAAGGAGUGCUAACUGAUUUACAAUUCUCCAUACUGAAUUUCUUCAAUACUUCCAUAGCAUACCUCUUUUGGUAAACAAAAAUCCCUUCUUGUGUUUGAUCAAUCUCCAUGCCAAGAAAAUAUUGCAUCUUCCCCAGAUCAGUCAUGUCAAUGCCUUCUUCAAUUCUUCUUUCACAACUCCAAUUAAUGUUUGAUUACUAGCUGUUAUCAAGAGAUCAUCAACGUACAGGGAAAUAAUGAUCAUUUCUUCCUCCACUUGCUUUACAUAAAGUGUUUGCUCAUUCAUACUUUUGAUGAAACCGAGGCUCCCUAAGUGAUCAUCAAUCCUGCUACACCAGGCCCUUGGAGCCUGUUUUAAACCGUACAAGGCUUUCUUCAAUAAAUACACCUUGCCUUCAUUUCCUUCCACCAAGAAACCUUUAGGUUGCUUAAUGAAAAUUUCUUCAUUUAGGUAGCCAUUUAGGAAGGCCGACUUCACAUCCAACUGGUGUAUUUUCCAUCCUCUUUGAGCAGUAAUAGCAAACAGCAAUCUUAUGGUUUGAUAUCUGGCAAUUGGAGCAAAUGUAUCAGAAAAAUCAACUCUAUAUUGUUGAGCAUAGCCUUUCACAACCAAUCUGGCUUUGAGUUUGUUAAUUGAACCAUCAGGAUUUAAUUUAGUUUUGAACACCCAUUUAACUCCAAUCACAUUUUUAUCCUUUGGUCUAUCAACCAGCACCCAAGUUUCAUUCUUUUCAAUUAUAUUCAGCUCCUCCUUUAUUGCAGCCAUCUACCCUUUUGAAUUUGCAGCUUCAUGGUAGUUCGAAGGCUACAACACAGCUGAAUUGCAACUAGCAUAAAUAUCAGCAAGUGAUCUGGUUUUUAACACGGCAUUUUCUGAAUCUGAACCACUAUCAAAUUCUACUCCUUCUUCGUUAAUGAUAGCAUCAUUUUCUUGUGGAACCAACCUUUGUAUUUGCAACUUAUUCAAGGUACUUGUUUCCCAAUUCCAUAAAGAGUCUUCAUCAACUUUGAUAUCCUUGCUGGAUAUCAUUUUUCUAGCUUGCGGAUUGUAGACUCUAUAGCCUUUAGCAUUGCCACAAUAUCCAAUCAAAACACCAAUCUCUGCCUUUUGACUCAGCUUAUCCCUCUUUGCAUCAGGUAUGUGAGUAUAACAAAUGCUUCCAAACACUUUUAGAUGAGCAACAUCAGGCUCGACUCCAUACAGGCUUCAAAAGGGGUUUUCUUGUCCAAUGCUUUUGUAGGUAGUCUGUUGAGAAGGUAUAUAGCUGUAUUUAUAGCUUCGGCCCAAAAAUCAUUUGGAACAUUCUUCUCAAUCAUUAAACACCUAGCCAUCUCCAUUACCGUCCUAUUCUUCCUCUCACACACUCCAUUUUGUUGAGGAGAAUAUGGAAUGGUCAGCUGAUGUUUAAUCUCCAUAGCAUCACAAAAUUUAUCAAACUGAUCACAUUUGUAUGCAGUCCCAUUGUCUGUUUUGAUGGCCUUAAUCUUGCAAUCACUUUCAUUUUCCACCGGAUUGUCAAACCUUUGAAAUACAACUGCUACCUCUGAUUUGGAUUUUAAGAAAUAAACCCAACACAUCCUUGUCAAGUCAUCAAUAAAUAGCACAACAUAUCUGCUACCAUUUAAAGUGGUUGUUCUCAUUGGACCACAAACAUCUAAAUGAAUUAGUUCCAGCUUCUUUGAAGCUCUUUUGGACUGAUUUUUAGGGAAUGACAUUCUUGUUUGCUUUCCACGUUGACAAACACCACAUACAUAGGUUUCAUCACAUAUGUCAGGCAUAUUUUCAACAAGCUCUAGUUUGUGCAAAUGCUCGAAUGAAGUGUAAUUUGCAUGACCAAAUCGUUUGUGCCAAAGUGAGGACUCCACAACAAUACUAGAAUAAGCAUGACUGAUCACAUUUUUCCAUUCUAAAGGAAAACUUCUUUGCUUCAUCUCAAUUGACAUUAACUCAUGGUUAUUUGAAUCUAAUAUAGUGCAACCAUUGCCUUUAAAAAUCAAUGUAUAAUUCUUCUCAAUCAAUUGGCCUACACUAAUUAAAUUCUGGUCUAUAUCCGGCACAUAGAGAACAUCAGUAAUAAGCUUAGUACCUGAUGGAGUUUGCAUUGAAAUCACACCAAUUCCUUCCACUUUCACAUACUCUCCAUUGCCAACCUUUACUUUUGAUUUGUAUGUGCUAUUUAAUUCAACAAAGAUGCUAGAGUUUGAAAUCAUGUGAUGAGUACGUCCACUGUCCAGCAACCAACUUCCAACAUUGCUACACAUUUUAUAAUUUUCAGUUGUGAACAGAUGCUCCUCCCAUUGUUGUUGCUGAUUUUCAGCAACUUGUGCUUAUUGUUGUGUUUGUUUCUCUUUCCAGCUUUUAUAAACCUUUUGAAAAUGCCCAAAUUGCUUACAAGAUCUGCAUUGAACCCCUGGUCUAUACCAACACCAUUUUGGAGAAUGACCAGAUUUUUUGCAGUGAGGACAGGGAGGAUAACUUCCACUUUUGCCAGCACUUUUGUUGAUAUCAGCCUUCUUCUUUUCAUCUUGUUGUUUCUUCACUCCAAAGCUUGUUUGAGGUUUAUGUUUUACUUUGAUAAAUAAAGCUCCUUCUACUUAUUCUUCUUGUCUAAUCAGCCUCCUCUGCUCAGUAGCUCGGAGUGCAUUGACAAGCUUAGACAAUGUUAUGGUAGACAAGUCUCAAGAGUCUUCAAAAGAUGAGAUUUUUGCCUCAAAAUUUUCAGGUAAACAGAUCAAUACUUUUUCCACAACUCUCUUGUCAGGUAGAUCAUCUCCCAACAACCUUAUUUGAUUUACAACUUUCAUCAGCCUAUCAGAAAAUUCUUUCACAUUUUUUGAUUCUUUCAUCUUCAAGGUCUCAUACUCCCUUUUAAGGUUUAAAACUUGCAUCUGCCUUGCUCUUCCAUUGCCUCGGAACUCCUCUUUUAAUCUAUCCCAGGCCUCCUUUACAGUCUCACAAGUAAUAAUUCUGGUGAAGAUUGCAGACACGACAGAUUGAAUGCAAGAAAGAGCCUUGAAUUUUUUUGCAACCUCCUCACUAUGUUGCUUCAGUUGAGCAAUAGUAGGAUUUGCUCUAAAAGGUGGUGGUUCAUUACCUGUUUCAGUGAUUUCCCAUGGUCAUAAGCCUUCAAAUGAGCUUUCAUUUUUGCAGCCCAAACAUCAUAAUUUUCUCCUUUGAAUACAGAAGGUAUUGGAGCUAAAAAACCACUUGAAGCCAUCACUCAAACUAACAAAAUCACUCGGCUGGUUUUGAUGAAAGGAAGCUGGCUGAUUUUCUCUCAAGAACUUGUCUCACAGUUUUUUUAGCUUCUUCAAAGAUCAGGUGGCUCUGAUACCAUUGAUAGAAUUAUUGAACACUAAGAGGAAGAAAAGACACACUUUUUGAUAGAAAAUAUUCACCACUCUUCAAGUCAUACACGGCUAGAACCAUAGUAUUUAACAAAAGAAAAUCUAGCCAACUUUUAGUCAACAACUUCUGUCUACUGCACCUUACUUCUUUGACAGCAUACCAGACCCUUAUUACAAGACCAUAUUUGACAGAUUUUUCAUUACAUAAAGGCCAUAACUUAGACUAGAAAUAAGUACUACAAAAAUACUAGACUUUUGACCACAGAAGUGUCAAUUUAAUAUCAAUAAUACUAUUCCACAUGUCAAAUAGCAUUCUAUUCUACAGGCCACUUUACAAUUGUGUUAAAACACAGAUCAAUUUCCUCAUAGAAUUACAAAAUAAAAGUACUACUGUAGUUUAUCCCAUUAUAAUAUUUUUUAAGCUUAAACGCUUAAUGCGCAAACACACGUAGCCAUUUAAAUGAUUUUUCAUUUACUAAUUAUAUUAUACAAACUCAAGCUCUUUGAGGGGGUACAAUUCACAAACACCAUAAAAAAGCAUUAGUACAGAUUAAAACAGUCAAUCAAACGAAUAACUUCUUAAAUGAUGUGUAAAACAAGAUAUUUUGUUCAUAAUUUUCGAGCAAGACAAAAUUUCUCUAUUGUGUUGUAAUGGGUUCACAAAAAUUUUAAUCGAAUGUCUUUCUCCAGGAACUCAAGAUUAUUACUUCACAUAUAGCAUGAUUAACGCCUUUCCCCACAUAAUUUUUGUGCAUUAAGACUAUAACUAAGCAAUCCAAUGCCUUGCAUGUAUGACUGUACAUAAAAUUAAAACAUUGAUUAGCGGUUGUAUCAUCUAAAUCAGGCUCGAGAUACUUAAAAAGAUUGAAAGUCGUAGUAUUUGUAUUCCAUCCUUGGGGCUGUGCAAACAAAAGAACCUUGACUGAAGCCUUAAUAAACAGCAUUUAACAUUUGAAAAGCAGCAAAAUGUGUUACAUCACUCACAUAUUCUCGAGAUAUCUUGUCUUUUGGGCUGGCAGGACACCAGUCAACCUGUUAUUUCCAAGAAACCUGAACACGUAGAAAGGUAUUACCUAAAAAGAUAUUCUUCUUUUUGCUUUUUUGUUAUUUUUUUCAUGUUGGGUGGCAGAUAUUAUGAGCUCUCAACCAUAAGAAAGAAUAACAUAAUUUAUUACAAGUGAGUGAGUGAUGUCAGAUCGAACAGUGAAUCUGGAAUCCAUCCACUGAAAUUGUUGAAGCUCAAGUCCCUGAAAUAUGAGAUAAAAGAUUUUGUUAAUUGUUGUCUCAAUGUUUGUCUAACGGACUUGAGAUCAAUUGGUUGUUUUUACACUUGGAACAACAAUUCUGUUUGGACUAAACUGGAUAGAGCAAUGGUGAAUGAUUUUUGGAUGCAUAUGGAUUUUUCUAGUAUUGCGGAAUUCUUACCAUCAGGAUGCCUAUCUGAUCACUCACCUUGUAUUGUUUCUAUUUUUACAUUUGAUGAGGUCAAGAAGAAACCGUUUAAAUUCUUCAAUAUGUGGACUAAGCAUGAGAAGUUCCACGAAACCGUGCUAAGCACUUGGAAUCUAUAUAUUCAGGGCACUAAGCAAUUCUCUCUUUGCAAGAAGUUGCAACGUCUCAAAGGAGUACUUAAAGAGUUAAAUGUUAAACACUUUGGUCAUAUUUCAUCAAGGGCUGAGGUAGCAAAAAAGGGCUUGGUGGAAUCCCAGCUUGUCCUGCAUGAUGAUCCCAACAAUUUACAUCUACAAAAUGAGGUUGCUCGAUUGAGGAAAGAGGCCAUAAAUCUUAGUGAAGCGGAAAGAAGUUUCUACUUCCAACAAGCAAAGUGUGCAUACUUGAAGAAUAGUGAUAAAUGCACAAAGUUUUUCCACUCAAUUGUGAAGAGAAACACUAAAAGGAACUUCAUUGCAGCUGUUCUUAAAAGGGAUGGUUCCUAUACCUCUUCGCAAAAACAGGUGGCUGAUGAAUUUGUUCAUGCCUAAAGUGAAUUGCUUGGACAGGACAGUAAUGGACUGUUUUUUUGGCUGAAAAUCUUCAGUUUGGUCCUACUUUAGAUGAGGAGCACGCCACUUCACUUACUAGGGAUGGUUCUGAACAAGAAAUUAAGGAUACUCUCUUUAGCAUUGGAGAUGAUAAAUCGCCCGUACCGGAUGGUUAUACAUCUUGUUUCUUCAAGGAGGCAUGGGAUAUUGUUGGUAAUGAUUUUAUGGAAGCAAUUCAUGAAUUUUUUGCUCUAGAUCUCUCCUUAAGCAAACGAACCAUACCAUUAUUGCCUUGAUUCCUAAGGCUAACCAUGCUACUUCAGUGAAUGACUAUCGGCUGAUCGCUUGUUGUAAUAUUUUCUACAAAGUGAUCACUAAGAUAUUGGCCUGCCUUUGUAGAAGAUAGAAGCAUGGUAGAGAAUAUUCAUCUUGUUCAAGAGUUUUUGAGGAAAUAUAAUCGGAAGAGGGUAUCACCAAGAUGCCUACUCAAAAUUGAUUUGAAAAAGGCGUAUGACUCAGUGAAUUGGGAUUUUCUUAAGAAUGUUCUUGAGGGUUUGAAGUUCCCAACUAAAUUCAUAGAUUGGGUUAUGGAAUGCAUUACUACGCCUACAUACUCUAUUACUCUUAAUGGGUGCCUUCAUGGGUUCAUAAAAGGGAGGAAAGGUCUUCGUCAAGGUGACCCUCUUUCUCCAUUUUUAUUUGUUUUGUGCCUUGAGUACUUUUCUAGAAUGGUGAAGGAAGCCACCAAUAAUAGUGAGUUCAAUUACCAUCCUAAAUGUGCUCCUCUAAAGAUUACACACUUGGCCUUUGCCGAUGAUUUGAUGCUAUUUGCUACAGGUGAUACUACUUCGGUUCGGAUCUUGAUGAAUUGCCUACCAAAUUUUGGCGACAUGUCGGGACUAACUUGUAUAUGGCGGGAGUUCAAGGGCAAGAAAGGGAUGAUAUUAUUGAGAUUGCAAAUAUCCCCCAAGGAUCUUUGCCUUUUCGCUACUUGGGGGUUCCUCUUGCGGUGGGAAAGUUGAAAACCAGCUCUUAUGAUGUACUUAUUAACAAAAUCAUAGCCUAUAUUGGGGCUUGGUCUAGGGCAUCAUUAUCAUAUACGGGAAGACUAGAGCUUGUGAGAGCCGUACUCCAAGGGGUUGAAUGUUUUUGGUUAUCUAUUUUACCCAUCCCGGCUAUGGUUACUUCUAGAGUCAUAUCUCUUUGCCGUAACUUUCUUUGGGGAUCAAAGAAACCAUUGGUUGCAUGGAGCAAUAUUUGCUUACCGAAGGUUGAGGGUGGACUUGGGAUCCGAGACAUCAAAAGAUGGAACUUAGCACUUCUUUCCAAAACACUUCGGAACAUUCAUUGUAAGAAAGAUACUAUGUGGAUUAAAUGGGUAAACCAAGUAUACCUACAUGGGAGUAACAUUUGGGUAUAUAUGCUGGGAAAAGAGGACUCCCCUCUUAUUAAAAAGCUGGUGGAAAUCAGAAACUACAUUAUUGGGGUUGAAAAUUCUGCCCAGGCAGCUAUUCAUAAACUGGCCAAGUGGAGUAACAUUGGCAGAUUUAGCAUAGCAGAUGCAUAAGAGUUUUUUAGGCCAAGGGGAGUCAAAGUAAGCUGGGCUAACCUUGUUUGGAAUGCAUAUGUCACUCCGAAGCAUGCCUUUAUCACAUGGUUGGCAGUUAAAAUGAAAUUGUUAACUAUGGACAGAUUGCAUUUCUUAGAGAUCGACGUUAAAUGCUGUUUAUGUGCAAAGAUGGAUGAGUGUAAGGAGCACCUGUUUUUCAGUUGCUCCUUUAGUCGAUCAGUCUGGGAAAGAAUACGUGCAUGGAUGGGUCUCAGGUGAUCUAUGUCAACACUUCCCAGCGCAAUGAAAUGGAUAAAGAAGGAAAGUAGGGGUACUUCUUGGCAUAGCAAGGUGAAGCGUAUUGCACUUGUUAGUACUGUUUACCACAUUUGGAUGGCAAGGAAUAAGAUGAUUUUUGAAGACCUUAUUCCACAUGUUGAUAGUAUUAUUUGACGAAUCAAAACACACGUAUACAAAGUUAUGUUCUCUUUGUAUUCGAAUGUUUUGUUUCAAUAUGAGUCCUUAGCUUUAGGUCUCUAAGUCGUACAGGAUGUGUUAUUUUGCCCGAGUUUGCCUGGUAUAGUUGUAUCAAGUCCCUGAAAAUUUAAAUUAUGACAAGAUUGCGGAAUAAGCACCGAAUAUUAACCUCCUGAUCACCAUAAAAACUUUAAAGAAAUAUUUAAAAUUUAAUGAAUUAACAAGUUGUUACAAGGUUAAACCUUAUGCAGUAGGGCAGAAAAGUCAAGGAGACUUACAAUAGUGACAAACUCUGGUAUUCUUCAAAUUUUGAAGGUAGGGACCCAGAAAUGUUAUUAUUUCGCAAAAUUCUGCCAGAGAAGUGAAUCGAUUGAAUUAGAAUUGGCAUCCAAAAAACUGGGAAUGGAAUAAAGAAGAUCGUGUUGCUGCAUAUUUAGAAGCUCGAUUAUAUUUCGUUACAGUGUUCUUAGAGACUUCAUAUCUCUGAGGAAGUCCAGUGGAGAGCUUCCAUUAGACAGAUCACAUAUUCUCCUAGGCAUCAAAUUUCACCAAAAACUUUAGCUACUGCAGAGCACGCAUGAAGAGAAAAUACUGAAAACUGAAACAAAAACGUGAGGUGCUUAAGACUCACAAGUCUAUCAAAGAGGUUAAGUUAGCAAAUGUUGAUGGUAUUGGACCUUCAAACGAGUUUCCUUCGAGCCUUCUGCAAAUGUAUGUUAAUAUAGCAGAUUAUAAACUAAGCCUAUAAACUGUGCAAGAGAAAAUUCAAAUAAAUUUAGUGGUAAAAAUAUAUUUCACUACAUAGGAUAAACUAAACUUGCGGAUUGAAGCACAAAAAAUUCAAUAAAAAUGAGAGCACGCAUGAAGAGAAAAUACUGAAAACUGAAACAAAAACGUGAGGUGCUUAAGACUCACAAGUCUAUCAAAGAGGUUAAGUUAGCAAAUGUUGAUGGUAUUGGACCUUCAAACGAGUUUCCUUCGAGCCUUCUGCAAAUGUAUGUUAAUAUAGCAGAUUAUAAACUAAGCCUAUAAACUGUGCAAGAGAAAAUUCAAAUAAAUUUAGUGGUAAAAAUAUAUUUCACUACAUAGGAUAAACUAAACUUGCGGAUUGAAGCACAAAAAAUUCAAUAAAAAUGAGAAGACACAUUAAUUAUCUCACAGGUAAGCAAGCUUCGACCAUCCCCCAAUGAAGUUUGGAAUCGGGCCAGUGAGUUCAUUGUCAGAAGCAAACCUGAAAUCCCCAGCAAUUUUUUACCAGUGAUUUUGAUUGCAGAAUAAUUAAUUAAUUAAACGAAAAUUCUUCUUGUUGAAAUAAAAAGGACAACUUGUCCUUGAGGUCUUACACAUUCGUCAAGUUCUGCAGAUCAGCAAAUGUAGAAGGUAUCGGACCACUAACUCCAGUGCUAUCAAAGUAACUGGCAAGGUGAACAUCAUAACGAAAUUUGACAUUUUUUUGUACUAUAAAAUAAAAAUCAUAAUGAUUUUUGUGUUUUUCCUAAGAGAAUUAGUCAAGAAUCAUCAAGCUUCAAGAUGAGGACAAGAAACGACUAAACAUUAAAUUAAGCCAUUUCGGCUGAAUGCAUCCUUCUUCAACAGUGACAAGAAAAGAUUUCUAGAGAAAAUUAAAUUGUCAAAAAUUUAAUAACGAGUUCCUAAGAUCAUUAUUACACAAAAGACCAAAACUUGUAUGUAAUAAAAACGAAGAUUACAACACAGUGAACCAAGAAAUUGAAUGAUUAAAGCAAGAAAGACCAAAUGUCAGAGUAGUUAUGAGAAGAUUAAUGUAACAAUUGAGAAAAGGAAAGGGAUGCAAGAGAAUAGAAAAGGUAAAGGUUCUAGAUGAGCCUAAAUCUAUCAAAGAGAGAUCAAGAAAUCCUCAAAGAUAGUGCAGUUUGCAGGACAGGACAUGCUUCAAUAUUACAGACAUGACCAUUUCCUGAGUUUAUUGUCGAAUUCCAUUUGUAGCCAAACAUAAAAGUAUCAAAUUUUGUACUCGAUGCCACAUCAUUAUGCAGUCACUGAGACUUACAAUUGUUCUAAUUUUGUAAGCUGUCCAAGCUCAGAUGGUAAAGGACCAGAAAAGUUGUUUGUGCCUAUAGCCCUGCACAUGAGCAACAAAACAUGUAUGCAUUUUGUUUUCUUCAAAAUGAAAAAUUUCUGUAUAUAUAGUUGUGGACAAGCAUAUCACAAGAUCCUUGAAAUCAGUAAGGCAUUAAAGAAGUUAAUGUAUUGAACGUAAACUAACGAGGUCUUACAGCAUUCUUAAGUCAGUCAGCUUGCCAAGUUCCUUCGGAAGCUCCCCGGAUAAAGCAUUAUGACUAAAACUCCUAAUGGCAUUAAAUUCAGAGAUUGAAAACAUUUUAAACACGCCAACCCUGAUACUAUGAGCCACAAAUCUUUACAAAGGGGUGGCUUACAGAUACUGCAUACGAGUGAGGUCGCCUAUGGAUGGAGGCAGGGAACCCGUCAAAUAAUUUAGGGCCAAAUUUCUGCAAUAAAUGCUGUAUUAGUGAUAAAAAAAACAAUAGGAUAUACGUGAAGAAAUCAACCAGUACAAAAUUAACCAUACAAAUCAGUGAGGAACGUUAAAUUCCAAAGCUCGUCUGGUAGUGGACUCACAACAUUCCAUGUAUUUACUCUCCUGUGGUACAAAAUUAAACGAUAUGAAUCCAAGUCAUUGUUGGAAAAAUUGGAUGUGCAAUAUUAAAUAACAUACAUUUUAUGUGCAUAAAAUCGCCGGAAUUUUAACUUACGAAAAUUGAAUACAUAAAGUAGAAAUGAGAAAUGUAUGAAUAUGAAUUUAGUUAAGGCAAGAGUUCGACCCUUUCUAUUUAAGACGAUAAUACCCCCACACAGGUGCUAACGGUUUCUUGACAUUCAUCUUCCAAAAUACAAUGACCAUAUCUCGCAAUAGGAGUACUCCAAAUUGCAUAGAUCAACGAAUUUACUUAUAUUUUAAACCCUUUUUAUAUGAAACUUGACUCCAAAUAAAUGCAGAAUUUUGAAGUGAAUAUGCAUUAGUUUAAUAAUGCAAUCAUGAAGUGAAUGAAUGAAACUUCCAUGCAUGUGGUCUAUAUAUAGAUGUUAAAAAUAUUUGUCUCAAAAGACACAACCUAUGAAAGAGACACAACUAUCGAAAUCAAUCUCUAUAUUUGAAGAAACACGUCUCUUGAAAAAUGAUAAUGACAAAAGUCACAAUCAUUCAUAUCGAAAGACACGUUUUCAGUCAAAUAAUUUCUGGAAUAUUUCACAAUAUUCUAAGUAAUUUUUCAAUAAUUCAUGUAUUUAAAUGAUUUAAAUUUAGCUUAAUUUUCCAUUCACCAUAUAUCAACUUCCACUUAAAUAAUUGAGAAUUGGUCAAAACCAAUUUCAUAUACAAAUUUGCAACAGUCCCCCACAUGAAUAAAAAUUAAUGCAAAUAAUUAUUCAGAUGCUAAAGAGAGCUCGAGCGACAACCUAUUGCAUCUAGAUAGGUACCUUAUAUGUUUGAACCUUCCAUAAUGAAAUACUAUUGGAUUUAAUUAGCUAAUCAGUGAACGCGAUAUCUUAAAUUGUCAACCAUUGAUUUAAACAAAGACAAUCGUAUUCGCACAAUAACCUCCCUAACACUUUCGAGUUCUCACCGGGUGUUUAUUUUGGCCUUGAACAACUCUUGGGUUUCAGAAGUACUUUAAAAAAUUCAAACCUUGAAACAUUCUCAUAAAAACGGCCCAUUUUACACUUCUAUAGGCAAUCUCCUAUUAAGAGUACUUGUCAUACUCUACUUGGUUUGUCUAAGAUACAUUAAUCAUUAAAAGUAUAACUUAACCUAAAACUUUCUACAAAUAGCACUUUCUUAUCAUAGGAAAGGCUAGGAAUUAAUUCCAAGUACUCAUUAAAUCUUCAUAUCUUAGUUAUCUCAUUGAACCAAGAUCUUGGGAUCUCCAGUCAUCAAUGUUAGGUUACCAUUACAAAAAUUCUUAUGCAGUAGGCUUUAAGAUUAUUCCUCUUGAUAUGCAGUAUACUUGAUCUUUUGGUAAAUCUUUUCUUAGUGGAUCCACUAGUUUAUCCAUUUGAGAUCAGCUGCUUUAUGGUAUUAUGCCUAUGACGUAUAUGUCUAGAUUUACCAUUUGAUAGAUUCUAUAUCUCAUUAAAUAUGGUUAGCUAUCACAAUAAUGCAUUUAAUAGAUACAAAUAGUCACCAACUAAGAAAUCCUUUCGUAAAGGCAUGAACCUACAUGCUUUUAUCUAACUUUUAUCUAAAGCUAUAUCUUAUUCAAUCCACAAUUUAUUUGGAGGAUUUGUAGCAUAUAUCACCGCAUUGGCCCUAGUAAACAAAUUUGCUAGUGAAUUUUGACUCGUUUUAUAAUAGGUACAUCAUUUAACCUUUAUCAACUACAAUGCACUUCAACUUAUGAAUAUUCUCAAAAUAUUCUAGUGCCGUUAUUGCAUAUCAAAUACAAAUGCAAUAAUCAACUUUCCAAUGCUUUUUGUUUGGGGCGCUUCAUUUUUAUGAAUCAUCCUUUUACUUCUAAAAUUAGUAUAAGGGCUUUCUACCUUCUUAUAUUUAUAGAAAAAAUUCUAUUACUUAUAAGCUAUGAAGAAUGUAAAUUGUAAAGUACUCACAAUUCCUCAAUUAGGAAUGUAUUCUAGGAGCGGUAUUGCAACCCCCACAAAUCUUAGGUUAGCUUAUAACUUAGAGCUCAUCAACUCUUUUAAAAGUUCGAUUCAUCUAUCAGAUAGACAAUAUUCAUUUCAUAUACCACUUUAAAUCAUACAAAAAUUAUUAGAAAUGUUAAUGCCUUGUGAAAGUCUAUACUUCCACAUUUAAAGAUGUUGCAAUCAUAAUCAACACAAACUAAUUUUCACGAUGCAUAAAAUCGGUUUUCAUGAAUUUACCAACUGCCAUUGUCAAAAUAUGCAUGUCGUGGACACAAAUAAACGACAUUCACAUUUCAUAUUCAAAUUCUCAACCAAUAUUUCUCACAAAUAAAAUUGAAUAGACACAACUAUAUUGUUCGCAUACUUUCAUCCUUGAACGUUAGGCAUUCAUUUGAGAUGAACAUAUUUCCUUCAAACCAUGCAUCAGCACAUUCAUAAUCUUCACCAAAAAUGGAUACAGUAUCCACCGGUGCAACAACCUUUCGUCGUCGGGGAUCCCAAGAUCCACGAUCUCACCGAAAAGGAGAAAUGCAGUUAUUGAAGCCCUCGGCAAUGCCCUUACCAACAGGCAUUUCAAGGAAUCGAUAUUAUGAGGGUAUCGAAUACAUCAACCAAAUAGAAGUUCUCACCUGUUCCUGCGCUCUACAGUCUUACCGCCUCGAUCCCACUAAGUAGGGUGUCAAUGUACAGCCCUACAGUGGUUCUCAGGCAAAUUUCGCUGCCUAAACAGCAGUGCUCCACCCACAUGAUAGGAUCAUGGGACUUGAUUUACCUUCCGGGGGGCGGGGAGCAUUUGACACAUGGUUAUCAUACCUUCAGUGGGAAGAGAAACUUAGUUUCUUGUGAAAAGUCUCUAACUUCAUCUUUCAAAACAUCGGUCAUUUGUGCAUUAAAGAAAUCCGGGUAAUGAGUUUUCAUCUCCACUCUAAAAGCUUUUACAAGGAUCAAUGAUAAAACAUUAAAACAUUAGUUUUCUUCUUUUCUAUCCAUUGCCAGAAUCAACAAAUUAGUUUCCUAAUUUUGUUGUUGGGAAAAAAUCUAAUCACCCCUUACCAUCAACCACCAUUUUUAACCAUUAAACCACAGUAAUGUUGAAACUGAAUAUAGAAUUCAACCAUAUGCAAAUGAUUCUAGGUUAUCAUGCUGCUGAAAGUUAUUUCACAAUUAAUUACACUUAAAAAAUUUCUUAUGAAUGACAUAUAUACACAUUUCCUGGACAAGCUAAUGAGUCAUAAUCAUUCACUUUGAUUUGAACAUAAUUGGACUCUUUAAAGACCAACAUAUCCGUUGUUAAUGCAACUAUGAAUCAAACUUCUCCAAGUCACUUUCAUUAGAAGUCAAAUAAAUGUGCAAAUUCGAUAUAAGACAUUAUGGGUAUAUUGGAAAAAGAGUACUAGUAAAAUAGAACAUCAUCUUGAUUUUGGAUUGGUCCCAUAAAACCAUUUUAGCAAGAGAAUGAUGAGGGAAACAAUACUCACUGCUAUGCUGUGAUGUAUAAUGAAUUUCGGCGAUUAGAGUUCGUUUAGGCCUCGAAAGCUGAUUUUUAAAGUUUUGGCGCUAUUUUUGUCAAUUCGUUUAUUUUCCUUUUUUUACAAUUCAAGUUAGAUUAGACUUUGUUUUCAUUACUUUUAGUUGUUUUAAACUACAAUUCCAUGUAAACCCUUAUAAGUAAAGGGUUAGUUUGUUUUUUCCAUUUUAUUCAUUAAUAAAAUUCGUGAAGUUUAUUUCUCUUUAAUUUGGUGGAUUCCAAAUUUCUUGAUCACAAGGUUUUCACUUGAAUUCUUUUCUUUCACUGUCUCAAGCGGUAUCAAAGUAGGCUUUCCCGUCUCGAUAUAUUUUGAUUCAUAACAUGGGUGACGUACCAGUUACUAGAGCAGAUUUAGAUGCAUCGAACCGAUGGCUUGACGAACGGAUUGACAAUCUCACUACUCAGAUUGAAGAAAUUCGUCAAUUGCUUUUACGCAAUGCUGAAAACAAUGGAUAGAAUGAACAAAGGACAAUCAACAAUGAACGGAUGGCUGAACCUAUAGUGCGAAGAGAAAAUAAUAGGAAACGUGUAGUAGAAGAUAGUGUAUCAGAGUUGGAGGAGGAGUUCGAAGUGCCGCCGCAUCAUCCUAAUCGUCAAAAUCGAAAUAUCUUUGAUGAUUAUUAGAUUAAAGCACACAUUCUUCCAUUCUUUGGAAACAUGAAGAUCGAAAACUUCUUGGAUUGGUUGGUAGAGGUGGAGAGAUUCUUUGAAAUUAUGGAUGUUUCAGAGGACAAGAUGGUUAAAAUGGUGGCAUUCCAUUUGAAAUCUGCGGCAGCAGUAUGAUGAGAUCAAUUACAGAAUGCUCGAAGGAGACAGGGAAAGAGUUGGAUUUGAACUUCGAGAAAGAUGAAGCAGUUUUUGAUGGAUCGAUUUUUACCUGCAGAUUAUGAACAUAUUUUAUAUCGUAUGAACCUGGGAUGCACGUAGGGGAAUCGAAUAGUAUCGGCUUACACCAAUGAAUUUAUGUGAUUGGCAGAAUGGAAUAAUCUGUCAGAAUCUGAAAAUCAGAGGGUAGCCAGGUAUACCAGUGGUUUGAAGGUGGCCAUUCAAGAUAGAAUUGAGAUGCGGAAUAUUUGGACUUUACAGGAAGCCAUUAACAUGGCGAUGAAAGCGGAAAUGAUGAAAUCUGAUAAGAGGAUGGUUUCGUAUAGGAGGUCCUUACCUGCCAAAAUAUCAGCAUCCGUCCCUUCAGACAAAGGAAAGGCCCUGCAACAAGCCCAAUCAAUCCUAACAUGAGUAAAGUUAACAACAGUGGUCGGUUGGGAACAAAGGUCAAACUCGAGGCGCACCUCAGAAUGCAAAUCCAUAUGCUAAGCUCACACGAGAAAUUUGCUAUAGAUGCUAAAAUCCUGGACAUCGUUCCAAUAACUGUCCUGAGAGGAAACACGUCAAUUUGGUGAAGUCGGAGGCAAUAGACGAAGAGGAAGAUACUGAAGUUUCGUUUUAUUUCCUUUUUUUUACAAUUCCAGUUAGAUUAGAUUUCGUUUUCAUUACUUUUAGUUGUUUUAAACUACAUUUCCAUAUAAACCCUUAUAAAUAAAGGGUUAGUUUGUUUUUUCCAUUUUAUUCAUUAAUAAAAUUCUUGAAGUUUAUUUCUUUUAAUUUGGUGGAUUCCAAAUUUCUUGAUCACAAGGUUUUCACUUGAAUUCCUUUUAUUCGCUGCGUCAAAAUCUCUUGAGAUUACCUUCAUCAUGUGCACACAAAAUGGGGCUUCGCAAAGGCAAAAUGCCAAACAUAUUAGGAGCAAUAUUUUCAUGACAUAUAGCAUUGUUUGUUUACCAAACAUGGAUGGAAUGCUCACAAAAGAAAUCAUGCAAGGAGAAUUUCUAGAAUUCUUCUACUAAAUGUAUGCACACACCAAGAAGCAUACAUGCACUUAUAGUCGGUGGACAUGACAUUAUGUAAAACAUACAAUCUAUUUUACAGUAAACAACAAGAAGACAAUGAACUUUGCCCUUUCAUUUUAAAUUACCAAAAAGAUGUGAAAAGGAAAAAAAAAAUACUUCAAAGCAACAGUAGCAAAUUAAUUCUAGUCAUCAACAACUAACUGCCUUCAAUGCAAACUUGAACACACGCAAUGCAAAUUCGAUAAACUGCCUUCGAAUGAUUUUAAUGCAUGUAUAUAAAUAUAGAACUAAAGAGAUACUUGCCAUUACAAAUAUAUAUGGGCAACCUCUGAUUAAUUUCAAAUUGUUGUACUCAUAUGAGAAAUACGUGGUCUAUAUAAACUCGUCUUUAGGAAUUUUUCAUGCAAUAUCAUGAUUUCCAUUGUAAAUAUAAUAUAAUAUUCGAAAAAUUAAACGGGCAUAAAUUAUGUUCAAAUAAUAUCCAUUUUAUGUGCAUAAAAUCGGAUAGAACUUUGAUUUACCAAAAUCGAAUACGUAGAGUAAAAAUGAGAAAUUCAUGAAUAUGAAUUUGGUCGAGACAUGAGUUCAACUCUUUUUCUUUAAGACGAUAAUACCCCGCAUGGGUACUAACGGUUUUUCGGUAUACGUUUUGUUAUGUCCAUAAUUACAUGGCAUACGUAUGACGGAGGGGGUCCCACAUUAGUUGACCGGACAUCAUAUAUUUGACAGUUCAUAUUUCAAGUCGGACCCGCAUAUAAAUAUACGACUCAGACUUGGGGAACUAUUGUUAUUUAAUCACUUCACAUUGGGCCUUUCUUUUGAACUUGGCCCAUGACCUGCUUGGCCCAUUUCAUUUAUUUGUUUAUAUAAAUGUGGUUUACUUCACAAUUAAGGUAUGUAUUCUAAACCCGAACCAAAUCCCCUCUCCCUUCUCCUGCACUCAUUUAUUUUCUUUUUGUCUAGCCGUUGACUUGACUGUCGGAGUACAAACAGUCGUCGAAAACGGGGUGCUCCAUGUGUAGGUGUGGAGGGGACGAGGCGGGAUUCUGUUGGCAACAUUUUUUGAGGUCAACAGAUUGACGCCGUAUGUAGGAACCGGUACGUUAACCAUGUUAUAUCACGUAUUAAAAGGUCACUGGAAAUUGGAAAAUUUCUGGGCUGUUUCUCUACCAUAGAAAGCAAAGGCAGCAACCGGAAAACGAAGAAGUUUCGGAUCAGUUUUCUCUAUCAAGAGCAAAGGCAGUGAUCAAAGAACGAAGAACGAAAUUAUCUACCGGGGAGAAAACAUUUUUUUUGGCAAACACAAGGACUUCAUGGCAGCAGUUUCUUCACCCAAAAAAUAAAAUAAAAUAAAAGAGGUCAGCAACAACAGUCAACAAAGAAAGGAGAUGAGGGGGAGAAGAUUUUUGGGGAAGCCAUUUGGUUAUCUUUUUUAUUCGAUGUCCCAGCCAAGGAAAAGAAAUCAAACACGAGAUCUACAAAUCCAACAGAAAGAAGGAAAAGUUAAAUUAGCAAAGAGGUGGUGGUUUUUGCUUCUCCCGAUUUCGGCUGUAGACAGCGGCCAAGGAAAAUUCCCAUCACAAAACAUAUUGCCAUUGCUUUGAAACACAAAAUUCACAAGUCAAAUGAGAUCAAAAUGAAGCAUUUGCAUACUCCAUGUAAGGAAUUUUUAAACAAUCGUGUGGGCUUAUAUGUGUAAAUUAUUGUGUAUUAAAUUAAAGGCUAUCGAAUUCGGUUGAUCCCAAUUAAAGUGAUCUAAUAAGACUUCGAUUUUUGGGCUUUAAUGUAUCCAAUUAAAGUGUGGGUUUACUUAUAUGUAGAGGCUGGGCCUAAGUCCUAAUUCUAUGAUGGGCCGAAUUAGGUCAAAAGGCGUUGCUAUAUAAAUACGGUUAUGGUCCCCAAAUCAUACGUACAUAUUAUUCAUUCUCUACUGUAUCCCAUCACAAAGAGGAAAAGGAGACUGCGUGUAGAUUUGGAAAAUUAUAUCGUGAAAUUCAUUAUUGCAUUAAUCAUGUCUGAUUCAGGUACGCUUCCACUUUAAUUCUUGUAUUUCUUGAUAAUUUAACAUGAAAGAUUCGGUGAUUUAAAGCAUUAAAUUCUCAUACGCUCCACACAUCCAAACAUUUACUUUAACUACUCCAAAAAUUUUAUACAUAUAUUUUCCACAAAACCCAUCUGCCAAAACUUCCAAAAUUGAAUUACCACGAAAAUGUUCGAUUCUUGGCAUUACAUCUUUGAGAAAAGGAAAGAAAAUGAAGAAAUUGGAGAGGUGAACACCGAAAAUGAAAGAAAACUUGUUCUAGUAUAUGCAGCAACUUCGGAAAUUCAACUUUGGCCACCAAUUGUUCGAUGAAUGCCCAUAUAAAAAUUUGUCAAUAUGAGGAUGGAGUUUUCAUAGAUGUAUAAUUUAUCCUCUGUUAGCCACCAUAGAGCAGCCACUACGUUUCAUGGAACUCGGUGACCCCCGCUUCGGCGACAAUUAUAGCGGCAAGCAUUUGACAAUCAAGGCAACCUCCGGCACAGGAAACAACACUCGGCAGCACACAAUGACCGCCAGUUCUUUGGCUUAGCUCUGGUCCAAAAUGUAUUGACAAUUAAUGUUGAUGGGAUUAUGACCUUGAUGGUAGCGUGUAUUUCAGACCAACAUGGCAGCAUACUUUUUCUGGGGCUGUAGUCCCUUGCAGGCAAGGAUUAGGAGGAUGCUACGUGUGGAUGCCAUACCCGACACCCCUCCAAUAGGGGGGUGCCACUUGUACAUUAUGGCACCCAUUAUGAAUGCCAUAAUCUACAAGUAGAUAAAUCCCAAGGAUUAAUCUUGAUGUGUACAAAAAAUUAUGUACAUGUACUGUUGGUCUCAGGAUUAUUAUUUCACUUAAAAACGAUUGCAGCAAACAAUAAAGAAUGACAGGAUUGUAAAGAACACAAGAAUUUUUUGCCCCUAAGGGCCCGGAUGUUCAGCCAAAAGGCCUACUCACCCGUUGAGCAUCUACAAAAGUAGAUUAGGCUCGAAUCCACUAAGAAUCACAAAGAAUCGAUACAAGAAUGUAUGAAGAAACGACAGUUCCUUCAAUUUCAGUUUUCUUUCGUCUCUCUUUAACACAAUACUCAGUUUUCCACAAUCUCACAGAUCAUAUACCAAAUACAACCCUAACAUCACUUAGAUUAGAUAUUGCUUUCAGAAAAUUGCAAGAAUAGAAGAGUCCAGAAACCAUCGGAGAGAAGACGAAGAAAACCCUAGAACCGUUCAAUCAGAUUAGGGCGAAAGUGAAGGGUCAUAAGACUUUUAACAGUCCAGCAAAAAUCAAGGAUCCAACGAUCACAAGGAUGUCAAGUGUAAGGUCCACAACAGUUGCCCAUUAUAAAGGAAAAAUGCGUUUCCAAAAAACGUUUUUCAUUUCCAAACCAAUUUCAACUCGUUGAAUCAACCAACCCAACAAGGCCCAAUAUUACUAAGAUUGGGCCAGCCAAGAAUAGAGAGGCAGCCCAAUCAACAAUCUCCACCUUGCUGAUCUAUUCUUUGUAUUCUUUUGUGAAUUCAAACUUUUGUGAAUUCAAACUUGGUCUAAUUUUUGUUUCAUUUGCUCUAUAAAACUUGUAAAAAAGAAAAUGAAAAAUAGUCAGUUGAUUUUCAAAAAUAACAAGUAAAAUUCAAAUAUCAAAUUGAAUUUAUUACCUUCAAAGUAUGUUCAGAAUUUUUAGACAAUUUCUGAACUUGUUUAGAGGUAAAACCUUAGUACCAAUAUCAGAAUAAUUAAAUUCGGUUGGGAUUUUAACCAAGUUAAUUAAUCCCUUUUCAACCAUAUUUCUAACAAAAUGAAAUUUAAUAUCAACAUGCUUAGUUCUAUCAUGAUAUACAGGAUUUUUACUCAAAUGAAUUGCACUUUGGUUAUCAGUACAGAUUCUAACCGUUUCAUUCAUGAAACCAAUUUACCACAAGCCUUCUUUAACAGCAUCACAUGCUGUAAUAUACUCAGCUUCAGUGGAAGAUAGAGCUACAAGUUUUUGUAGUUGGGACUUCCAACUAACACAACCAUCACAAAUGGUAAACACAUAGGAAGAGGUUGAUCUUCUUUUAUCUAAAUCUCCUGCAAAGUCAGAAACUGUAUAUCCUUUCAGGAUAAUGCCUUCAUUACACCUUUGGAAUUUUAAUCCUAGUUCAAUUGAGCCCUUUAGAUAUCUUAACAUCCAUUUGAUUGCUAACCAAUGUGUUUCACCUGGAUUGGCCAUAAAUCUACUAAGCAAGCUUAUACCAUGAGCUAACUCAGAUCUUGUACAUAUCAUAAGGUACGUAAUAGAACCAACAACAUUUGCAUAAGGUAUUUUACUCAUUCUAUCAUAUUCUUCAUCAGUUUUAGGUGACCGUUCACUAGAAAGUUUGAAGUGAUUUGAAAUGGGUAAAGUUACAGGUUUACACUCAGUCAUAGCAAACUUCUCAAGUAUCUUAUUCACAUAAGAAUUUUGAUUUACAUACAGAACACAAUUCUUUCUAUCUCUAUUGAUUUCCAUGUCUAAAAUUCUCUUUGUUUGUCCUAAAUCUUUCAUUUCAAAUUCAGAUUUAAGUUUUUCUUUAACAGAAAUAAUUUCAGAUUUAUCAUGGCAGGCAAGUAAGAUUCUAAUAGAGGUGUAUUUAGCAACAUGUGCAAAAAUUUCAUUAUAGUCAAUACCCUCUCUUUGUGUAAAACCUUUUGCCACAAGUCUGACUUUAUAUCUAAUGCCCCCAAAAUUAGGUUCACCUUCUUUAAUUUUAUAAACUCAUUUGCAAUCAACAGUCUUCUGAUUUUUAGGCCUAUUGACAAGGAUCCAUGUAUUAUUUUUAGUUAGAGUCCAUUUCUUCUUGCAUGGCUUUCAGCCAAAGUUUGGAUUCCUUACAAUUUUUAGCUUCUUCAAAGGUUGUUGGUUCAGAAUUAACAAAUUCAAGUUCAGUGUAAAAUGUUACAAGUUCAUCUGCAUUAAUUCUUGUAGAAGGGAACCUAUUUCUUUUAGUUCUGUCUCUGAUCAACUGAUAAUUUUCAAGGGCAGUAUUCUGAGAUUGAUUUUCAAGAUAAGAUUCAUUUUGAGGUUGAUCUAUAUCAGAUUGAAUAGACUCCACCUCAAUCAAAUUAUCAGGUUCAUUAGAAUUAUCUUCUAGACUAUCCAGGACAGUUUCUUUAACAUGAAAGGUCAAAUCUGUAUUUCGUGUUGAAGGGAUCUUACAAGGGAAUUUACUUUCAUCAAAAAUCACAUUUCUACUGAUGACGACCCUGAACCCACCUUUUUCUCUCUCCCAUAAUCUAUAACCCUUUGUUUCUUCACCAUAGCCUAGAAAAAUACAUUUUUGAGAUCUAGGUUCAAGUUUGCCUACAUUUUGAUUAGAGCAAGCUGCACAGCCAAAGACCCUUAAUUUAAGGUAAUCUGGAGAAUUUCUAGACCAUAAGUGUUCAAGGAUUUGAAAAUCAAUCGCACUUGAAGGUAUUCUAUUUAUCAGAUAAGUGGCAGUUUUCAGGGCCUCUCCCCAAAAGAUCAUUGGAAGACCAAAACUGAGCAACAUAUACUUAACCUUUUCCAAUAAGGUUCUAUUCAUCCUUUCUGCAAUACCAUUUUGCUGAGGAGUGUGUGUUACUGUUCUGUGCCCCAAGAUUCCAGAUUCUUUACAAAGAAGAUCAAAUUCAAAAUUACAAAAUUCAAGACCAUUAUCUGUUCUAAGUGCUUUUACCUUUUUGUUUGUUUGAUUUUCAAUCAUCAGUUUCCAUUGUUUAAAAUUUUGGAAAGUGUCUGAUUUAUGUUUUUAAAAAAAAGUCCAAAUUUUUCUUGAAAAAUCAUCUACAAUUAGCAAAUAAAAUCUGAACCCACUUAAAGUAUUUAUAGAUGCUGGACCCCAUAGGUCAGCAUGUAAAUACUCUAGUAUAGAAUUUGAUUUGUGAAUUCUAGUUUUAAAAGGUAGUUUAUUUUGUUUUCCAAUAACACAAUCUUCACAAAAUUCUAAAUUUUCAAUAUUGCCCUUUCCAAAAAUAUUUUAAUUUGUUUAAAAUUGUUAAUCCUUUUUCAUUAAUAUGGCCAAGUCUCCUGUGCCAAAUCAGGGUCUUAUUGUCAUGUGAUUUAUUGUCAUGUGAUUUUACAACUGCAGAGCUAUUUCCAACUAAUGAUUUAGCUUGCAAUGUAAAGAUUACAUUAGAUUUAGGAGAAGAGAUUAUCUCUAUACAGUUAAAACUAAUUACAGUUUGUCCUUUAUGAAUCCUAAUUUCAUAUUCAUCAUCCAAUUGCCCCAAAGAAAUCAAGUUUCUUUGAAGAUCAUGCACAUAUCUGAUUCGAGACAAUUCAAGAAUAUUGUUGUUUUCCAUUAACAACUUAAGGUUUCCAAUACCUCUUAUUUGACAGGUCAUAUUAUUCCCCAUCUGAACUUGACCCCCACUAUUCAGGUUAGUAUAAUCAGUGAACCACUCUUUAAUGGGACACAUGUGGAAUGAACACCCAGAGUCAAGAAUCCAUUCAUUUUGGUUUCUUUUGGUUGUGGUAACAAAAACAACUCCCUGUAUAUCAGGUUCAUUAUUGUAGACAACAGCUGCAGACCCAUCUAUAUUUGGUUUACCUUUCAUGUCAGAUAUUUUCUUAAAACAGUCCUUUAUGAGAUGUCCUGUUUUACCACAGUAAUAACAUUUUCUGGCUGGCAACUUAGGUUUUGAUUGAUUUCUGUUUUGAUUUCUGAAUUUAGGAAAUUGAGGCUUUCCCUUCUUGUGUGAAUUAAAGUUACAUUGAUUAUUCUGUUCGUCCUGAUUUACUUUCUCUCUUACAUUCAAACCUUCCCCAAACUUAAAAUCUUUGGAUUCUGUUUUAAGUACUUAAAAUCUUUGGAUUCUGUUUUAAGUUCAAGUUCUUUAUUUCUUAGGCAGUAAGGUCAGUUCUCCCAUACUCUAAAGCAUUUCUCAGUUCUCUGUAUUUAUCACCUAGUGCAUUUAACAGAGCAACAACUUGUUGAUCUUCAGAUAAUUCCUCUUCACAGCCAGUCAAUUCUUGAAUCAAUCUAGUGAAUUUAUCAAAAUUAUCUUCUAGACUUAAGGAGGGAUCAAAUCUAAAAUUAUGCAAUUGCCUAAGAAGACUACAUUUGUUGGGCAUAGAUUUAGUCAAGUAGAGGGAUUCAAGUUUGGUCAUAAGGCUUGAGUAGUAGUUUUUUCCCCAACAUUUCUUACUACACUAUUCGACAGAUGUAAGAAAAUUGAGAGGCUGUUUGGGAGUGAUUUUGAAAAUUGAUUUUUUGACCGUUAGAAGAAAAGUGGGGUCCACCCGUGAGAGAAGAAGUCAAAUAUGACGGCUGAAAUAGUAAAAUAACGGUCAAAAAAUCAAUUUUUUGGAUGAAAAAAUCGGGCCCAAACAACCCCUGAACUCCAAGCAAUCUCAUCUAACUCCUGUCUCCUAUAUGCACUCAUCUCAGCAGGCCAUACCCCAUUAAUGGCCCCAGCACACCUCUGUUGUAAUAACAGAUCCCUUAUUUUCUGGCGCCACAAACUAAAAUCUCCAAUCCCUCUCCAAAUUUCUACUUCAAAUUUUUGUGCAGUAGUCAUAAUCACAGAUAAAUUCACAGAUUCAAGUUUAUAUAUUUAUAUAUAUCACACAGGAUAUAGUAUGUACAGACAGUGAGAGUAAACAAUAAAGAUUUCAAUAUGGGAAUCUUAUAUUAAAAUGUGCAGAUAUUCAACAGGAGUAUGUAAAGAUAAUGAUACCAACUAGAAAGAGGGUCUAAGGAGUGAUGACCUAUUCAACCCACUACCCCCUCAGAUUCCCAGGAGAUCUUGGACAAAGAAAGGUAGCAGAAGACCAAUUACCUCAAUGACCAACUCGUAUAGUAUAUUAUCUAAACAGUUAAUUGAGAAAUUAAGAAAGUAAGAAACUUAUACCAAAGAUUGAAAAAACAUAGUAUUACAGAAUGAAGGAGGUAAUUAAAAGAAUUUUAGAACUGGUUGCACAAUCCAAGGUAUCACACAAGAAGCCAACGAGUCACAGCAACUCAGCAUGACUCAAUAGUGAGUCACAAGUGAUAAGUGUGUUUUUACACACUUUUAGCACUUUUUGGGACUUUAUUAUUGAUAAAAUUGAGUAUAUUUCUAUUUAUAAUUGUAUAAUUGUUACUUUUGUAGGCUAAAACCCCGGAAAGAAGUGUAACAAGCGAAAAGAGAAGGAAAAGUACUUAAAUUGAACAAAAUUGUGAAGCUAAGGACUUGAAGUGCAAUUAUGGAAGGGCCUAAAUGUAAUAAAAGUCAAAUUUCGAGGACCAAACUGCACUAAAUGAAAGUUGAAGGACCUAAUCUGCAAUUUCGAGAUUUUUUUGUCAACCUUUUUAUUAUUUUAUCCUUAUUUUAUGCUAGAUAUUUUUAGGAUAUUUAUGUUAUGUCUAAUAAUAUCUUUUUUUUUAUAUUAUAUUUUAUACAUAUUCCAUAUUUAUACUAAUAUAAUUUGGUAGGUAAAAAAUUUUCCCAACUCUUUCACUUUUCUCUCUAUCUCUCUCUCUCUUUUUCUUGAUUUUUUUUCUUUUAGUUUUAUUUUCUUUUGUUAAUUUUAGUUUUAUUUUGGGAAUCAAGUGGAUAUAGCAAGGAGAUCAUUAAGGAAAGCUUGAAGAAUACAUUGAAGGAAUUACAAUUCGUAUUUAAAAGUGUUUUAUCUCAACUUUUGUAUUCCUUUCAUUUAGUUCUUCAUGUUUGUAAUGAUAUGUUUAUAAGAAUCUUUUUGUUAUUUUGUUAGAAUGAUGAACUAAACAAGUUUAUGUUGGAAUUUAUGUAUUAGCUUAACCUAUUUUCAUUAAUAUCGUGUUAUAUGUUGUUAGAUAUGCAUUUGUUAUCAAAAUAUUGGUGUAUUAAUUAUCAUGUUUAAGAUUACUACAUUUAUUUGACGUCAAUAGAUAUUGUGGUUAGGUAGUUGUAUAAUUAUUGAAAAAUAGUUACACAUAAUAGACCGAAAUAAUUAAUACCAUAGGUUUGUAUGGUUUCGACUAUACGCUAUCCAGACACGUAUACUUACCCUAUGUGACCCGUUGAGUUAUUUUCACAAAAAUUAAAUGCAGUUGUUUGGUUUAGAACGACAUAGAAAUAUGUUAAUGCCAAGCAAUUAGGGUUGAUAUCUCUCAACAAAGGUUAUUGACUAAUUUUGAAAAAUCGGGUCUAACCACAUAUUUUGGUAAUUUGCAUCGACGCAUAAUUGGCUUGAAAAGGGUUAAGCGAAAUCAUAAAUUCCAACAUCUUUUAAAAUCAAACUUUUCCACUUUUUAAAUAUUAUUUAAAUAUUUUAAAUCAAAAUCGAGUUUUCACCUUUUUAUAGUUUUUAAAAAUCGAACUUUUAAAUGUGUGCAUCUUUUUCAUUAAUUUGAAAAAAAUACACUCGUAAUUGAAAACAACACUCUCUGAGGGAUCGACUGGGACUUAAAAGGUCCAUUAUACUACUUGAUCGCGACCUGUGCACUUGCAGCGUGCCAUUUAAUACCGAUCAACAAGAAAUCAGCAGGAAUCGGAAUGAGUCGAGUAGACUCACUAUUACUCAGUAUGAAUCUUUAUGAAACAUCACUCAAAGAUUCAGAAGCCUCAAAAAAAUAAGAAAAAUACAAUAAUCAUCAUAAAUAAUAUCACAAAGAAGUAUCACAAAGUUCGUAGUUGAAAAAGAUCCAACAAAAAUUGAACCGAAGGUAAAUCUUGUAAGAGAUUUUUACAAAGUGUACUCGAUUUAAGAUUUAACCAAAAAAUCUAAGAUCUAGGGUUUUUAAAAAAAAUUUAAAAAGAAAAUUCAAAGAAAAAACCCUAACCCUUCGUAAACUGCUCUGAUACCACUUGUUGGUCUCAGAAUUAUUAUUUCACUUAAAAACGAUUGUAGCACACAAUAAAGAAUUACAGAAUCGUAAAGAACACAAGAAUUUUUCGCCCCUAAGGGGACGAAUGUCCAGCCAAAAGGCCUACUCACCCUUGAGCAUCUACAAAAGUAAAUUAGGCUCAAAUCCACUAAGAAUCACAAAGAAUCGAUACAAGAAUGUAUGAAGAAACAACAGUUCCUUCAAUUUCAGUUUUCUUUCGCCUCUCUUUAACACAACACUCCGUUUUCUACAAUCUCACAUAUCAUAUACCAAAUACAACCCUAACAUCACUCAAAUUAGAUAUUGCUUUCAGAAAAUUGCAAGAACAGAAGAGUCCAAAGACCCUCAGAGAGGACGAAGAAAACCCUAGAACCGUUCACUCAGAUUAGGGCGAAAGUGAAAGGUCAGAAGACUUUUAACAGUCCAGUAAAAAUCAAGGAUCCAACGAUCACAAGGAUGCCAAGUGUAAGGUCCACAACAGUUGCCCAUUAUAAAGGAAAAACGCGUUUCCAAGAAACGCUUUUAAUUUCCAAACCAAUUUCAACCCGUGGAAUCAACCAACCUGGCAAGGCUCAAUAUUACUAAGAUUGGGCCAGCUAAGAAUAGAGAGGCAGCCCAAUCAACAUGUACCAACCUCCGACAGGCAAUCUUGUCUUUCUUCCAGCUGUUCUGCAGACUCAAAUCUUCUCCAGACUUUAGCUGGAUCACGUGCCAUUUAAUGCCAUCUUGUUGGGCCGGGUUGUCCCAUAAAGUGAUGGGGCUUUAUUUUUUCAAAAUUUGGUUCAACGAGUUUACAAAAAAAAAAAGGGCUUGGAGACCUCUUAUGGAGAUCCACUAAACGGGUAUGUAUAAUUGGGCCUGUGAAUUUAUUUCCCAUGUUUUUUUGAACUUGAAUGGAUAAUUAUUGGGCCACCUAAAUUUUAUUCCCAUUCCUACAUAAAUAAUAAUUGGGCCAAUUAAUUUUACUUCCCUUAGGAAAGAGGCCCACUUUCCUUUAUAAAGCUCUAGUUAUGUUCUUUAAUUUCUUUAAUGGGCCGUUAUUUUGCCUUCUUGGGCCCAAGGAUUUAUUUUACUUGGGCCUCAUGACACUUCCUUUUUGUCAAAGAGAUUGGGCUGCCAUUUAUUAUGAACAAUUGGGCAUUGAGACUUAUUUCUUUUGGGCCAUAAUUUGUUAGCCAUUGGGUCUUUCUAGUUUACCCAAGAGACAUACACUACGGCUGGGAGCUAUGGUCACACUACUUCAGCUUCGUUCUUGUAUAAAUUUUAUUGGCUGGGUGUCCUCUCUUGCUUCCAUUUUGGCCUGCCGUUUAUUCUAAAUCACAUGGAAAAAGAACAGAAAUAUUUGACUUGGAGAAUUAGAAAUAAGCUAGUAGAAAAAGAAUAUUCCAAGUCUUUGAUCAUCAGGCCACCAUUUCUACUUGUUCAGCUUGGUCUAUCUCGUUCAGAAAAAGGUGACAAAAUAUGUGAGAGAUGAUUUUCUUCCAUUGUUAAUAUUUCUUCAAGGGUAGAGCAUGGCAGGAAACUUGAGGUUUUUAUUACAGGCUCAUUUGAAAAUUUCCACUCAUGUGAAAAUUAUUAUCUGAUAGUCAAAUUCUAACUACCUCAUUUUCGUAUGAUUUGUUUGGUAAUUAAAUAACAAAUCUUAACUCGACAAACUGGGAAUUAAUGGAGUUUCAUGGUUAUUGGGCGCUAAUUAAACUGGAUAUGAUUUGAUAGACAUGCUUGGGAGCCCAUUGAUGUGAAUAUUCAGAUCUAUUAUUUUCUUCUUAUCAUAUGCAAUGUUUUGGAGACCUCGUUCUUUGAAUAAAGGAAGAAGCUGAUGGUCAGAUGUGUUUGCCCUUGAAAAAAAGGGCAUUUCCUGGUUUCGCGAGAUGGUUUUUCCUCGCCUCUCACUAUUGUUGAGCUUAGCUAUAAGACCUCGUUUGUUUGAGGCCGCUUACAAAACUCCGAUAGUUUGAGAGUGAUUCGUGGGAUGUCCAUUCCCCAUUUCGUCAGAUGUUUAUACUUGGCUUCGCAAGAUUGUUUUUCCUUUCAUCUCACUAUCGUUGAGCUUAGCUGUAAGACCUCGUUUGUCCGAGGCCGCUUAUAAGACUCCAAUAGUUUGAGAGUGAUUCGUGGGAUGUCCAUUCCUCGCUUUGCCAGAUGUUUAUACCUGGCUUCGCGAGAUGUUUAUUUCUCGCAUCUCACUAUCGUUGAGUUUAGCUGUAAGACCUCGUUUGUCCAAAGCCGCUUAUAUGACUCCGAUAGUUUGAGAGUGAUUCGCGGGAUGUCCAUUCCCCACUUCGCUAGAUCUAGCUUCGUGAGAUGUUUAUUCCUCGCCUCUAAUUAUCGUUGAGCUUAGCUAUAAGAUCUCGUUUGUUCGAGGUCGCUUAUAAGACUCCGAUAGUUUGAGAGUGAUUCACGGGAUGUCCAUUCCUCGUUUCACCUGAUGUUUAUACCUGAUUUCGCGAGAUGUUUAUUCCUCGCAUCUCACUAUUGUUGAGCUUAGCUGUAAGACCUCGUUUGUUCGAGGCCGCUUAUAAGACUCCGAUAGUUUGAGAGUGAUUCGGGGGAUGUACAUUCCCCGCUUCGCCAGAUGUUUACACCUGAUUUCGCAAGAUGUUUAUUCCUUGAUCUCACUAUCGUUGAGCUUAGUUGUAAAAGCUCGUUUAUUCGAUGCCGCUUAUAAGACUCCGAUAGUUUGAGAGUGAUUCGCAAGAUGUCCAUUUCCCACUUCGCCACCUGGCUUCGCAAGAUGUUUAUUCCUCGUCUCUCACUAUCGUUGAGCUUAACUGUAAGACCUCAUUUGUUCGAGACUGCUUAUAAGACUCCGAUAGUUUGAGAGUGAUUCGCGGGAUGUCCAUUCCUCGCUUCGCCAGAUGUUUAUACCUGAAAGGGGCCAAAAAAAACCCACACAAUAAGUUGCAAGAUUCAAUCGAUCUAAAAAACGGAAAUUAAACUUGCAAAAAUAAAGAACACAACAAGAUUUUUUGGCCGAAACCCCAGAGGUUCAGUGUCAAACACCUAAUCCCCUGUUGAGCAUCCAAUCAAAGUGGAUAUUGCUCGAUUACACUAAAACCCCAAAAAUAGGCAAUCGAAGGUUACAAAAUUCAUCAACCAGUAGAAUACACAGAAAAGAGACUUAUCUCUUAAACAGGAAUCACAAAUCUGCUUCAGAUCCUUUUCGAAUCAACAGACCACAAACCCUAACCUCAACACAUGAGGACUCUAAGUAUCACUCAAGAAUAUACACGUAUUCAGUGGUUAAAACCUUCAAUCCUAAUCGAAUGAGACGAUCGAUUACAAAAAUAGGGAAGCAGAAAACCCUCAGAUGAGAGAACACAGAAGAACUCUCUCGAAGCCUCACUCGAAAAGUCACCAAAAAUGAACAGUCCAGCCAAACGAAGAGUUAAGUUCAUAUUUAUAUCACCAAUAUGAAACCCUCCAUCUUACGGUAAGAGUAGAGCCACGUGUCAGCAUCUGGCAGAAUGCCACUUACAAAAGCGUGUUUUCACAACCCGUUUUAUUAGAUGAAAAUAUGGAAGCACCAAUACACGGUUCGAGUCACAACAAUACCUGGCUUCGCGAGAUGUUUCAAGGUUCUAAAAUGCGUAAUGCGUAGCAAUGUGUUUUGGUCGAGCAUCAAGCAUUAUAAGAAUAUGCGUGCUCAUGCGAAGCAUAUACGCUCAGAAGCAUGAACACAUUAUCGGCAAUAAUGUAACUGUGUCCGACACAUGUCGGAGUUGCUUGCAGCGUGUCGGAGGAGAGAAAAGGCAGUUGACUCUAAGAAAUGCAACCAGAAAAUGUGGAAGAAGAAAUGAAGAAGAAAUUAACAGUUUACCUAGAAAGAAAUUCAACGGGCGAAGGAGAAAGUGUCUUGGGAAGCAGCCAUCUGGGAAAGGAAAGAAAAAUGAGAGAGGAGAAAGGGAAGAGAUGUUGGGCUGAAAAGUUGCUGCCGACGAAAGUUUCCUGGGAAAUGAAAGAAAAAAGAGAGAGAAGAAAAGGAAGAAAACUUGGCUGGAUAAGGCUGAAAAGUCAUGGGAAUGGAAAAGGAAAUGAAGAGUCUUCCUUUUAUCGAUGCAUAUUUUAAAUUGUAAGGCCCCACCACCUGCUAACUUUCUCAUUUGGUGAAUGCUUUGUACAUUUUUUUUAAUCCACACGAGCUGUAAACUUCAAUAAAAUAAUAGAAAAAAAUUAUUUGAAUUAAGUUUGUACCAUUUUACCUUUCAACAAAAAAAUCAGCUUAAAUAAGCAAUCUUCUUCAAGAUAUGCUACGAAAAUUGCAAGAAAAAUUCUGAAAAUCCCUUUAAAUUUCUAUUUAUAAUGAUAUAUAUGAUACAAUAAGUAUAAAAAAUUAUUACUAUAAAAUUAAAAUAAAUUUAAAAAAUAUUGUAAUCAACGUGUCAACGACGUAUCGUGUCGGAACUUUUUCACAAAAUUGCGUAUCGACAUGUACGACACGUAUCAUGUCGAACACUCAUGUCCGUGUCGGUGCUUCUUAGCAUAUACGUAAUUAUGCGUUUUCCAAUUUUUAACAUUUUAAACUAAUAAAUAAAUAAAAUAAUGCAUUCUUACAUAUUUUUCGAAUUUUCAAAAAUAAAAAUCGAAAUUAUAACUACUACAAUAAGACAAUAACUUUAAAUUUAUAUAUAUUUUUCAAAAUUUCAACAAAAACAUAUUGUUCAAAAUCAAAAUACAGUUAUUUGUUAAUCAAUUCCUACAAUUAAAUCAAACAAUAAUAUUGACUUAAAAAAUUCUAAAUCUUGUCUAACUCUUUAUUAGAUUCCAAUUCAAUAUCUUCUUUUUCAUCCAAUUCAUUUUUCGUGUUAUCCGAUACAAAAUCAUCUUCAUCGUCCUCCUUAUUUCAAAUCGAGAAUUUCUAUUAUCUCUUGUAAAUGAUAACAUAUUAUUGUCAACUUACUCCUCAUCAUCACAACCAUCAACAAUCCAAAAUAGUGUAUUAAUAGCAUCACUUGUUAAUGAAGUUUCUAAUUUAUCAUUCCUCUUCAUUUUCUUCAUCAACCAUGCAUUAAAUUAGAUGUAAACUAGAAUUUUCAUCCUUGUGGCAUCUAUGCGGUUUCUCUUCUUGGUGUGUAACUAUAAAAGGAAGUUGAAAUUUUUUAGUAUGCUAAUUUAAAUUAUCAAAUAACUACUAAAGUAAUAACUAAAAUGCAUCAGCGUAAUUAUUUAAUUAGUACUUACUCCUUCAAAGACACUCCAAUAUCUCUCACAAUCGGAUGAACUAAUGGUCAAAUCAAGAACUAUUUUUAUGUUAAUGCCCAGAUGAAGAUUUAUGCAAAAGCAAAACAUUAGAGAUUAUUGUAUAUUAUUGAUGGACUAAAGUGAUGUGGGCUAAUUGGAUGUUGGUUGGACUCAAUUUAAUUUUUUAAGUUAUAAAAAUGGGAUGAACUUUGUUAUGCUAAUUAAAACAUAUUUUUUUAAAUAUAAAUGCGUGGGCAUUUUGGAAAAUAUGGGUGCAUAUGCGGUCAACGAAAUGAGUUGACUUCAUUAUCUCGCGCAUACCCCAUAUGCGAUGCGUUUCGAAAAAGCAUCAAGAAUAUGCGUGCAUAUGCGAAGUAUAUGCGUGCAUUUUAGAACACUCACCUCUCAAUAUCGUUGAGCUUAGCUAUAAGAUCUCGUUUCUCCGAGGCCGCUUAUAAGGCUCCGAUAGUUUGAGAGUUAUUGGCGAGAUGUCCAUUCCCCACCUUGUCAGAUGCUUAUUUCUGAUUUCGUGAGAUGAUUAUCCCUCACCUUUCAAUAUCACGAGUCUAGCUAUAAGACCUCGUCUAUUUGAGACUUAUAAGUCUUCGAUAGUUUGAGAUGAGCUUGUUCACCACUUCAUGAGAUGCCUUGUUGUGCGAGUUACUACAUUAUAGCCCCGCUUAUCUUCAGAAGGCUCAUCAUGCCUCCACAUUACAACUACCUAUCUUUCAGAGUUUUGCUUCUGUCCAAGCCUUGCCCCCGCGUAAGCACCAAAGCCCUUUCAAAAGCAGGCAUCUAAGCCUUGCCCUAGCGCAAGCAUCUAAGCCUUGCCCCUGUGCAAGCACCAAAGCCCUGUUAAGAGCAGGCACCUAAGUUUUACCUCACGUAAGCACCAAAGCCCUGUCAAGAGUAGGCACCUAAGCCUUAAGCCUUGCCGCUAUGUAAGCACCAAAGCCCUGUCAAAAGCAGGCACCUAAGCCUUGCCCCCGCGCAAGAACCAAAGCCCUGUUAAAAGCAAGCACCUAAGCCUUACCCCUAUGCAAGCACCAAAGCCCUGUCAAGAGCAGGCACCUAAACCUUGCCCUCGCGCAAGCAUCUAAGCGUCGACCCGUUAGCCUUUGCAUCAUUAUUAGUACAUCUGUUCAAUUCAGAUUCAGCUUCUUCAUCCGUAUUAGUACAGCCGUUCAGUUCAGAGUCAGCUUUUGCAUCUUUAUCAGUACAAGUGUUCUACUCAUAUUUAGCCUCUGCAUCCAUAUUAGUACAGCUGUUUAGUUCAAAGUCAGCCUCUGCAUCGUCAUCAGUACAGGUGUUCAGUUCAUAGUUAGCCUCUGCAUCCGUAUUAGUACAACUGUUCAGUUCAGAAUCAACCUCUGCAUCCGUAUUAGUACAGCUGUCCAGUUUAGAGUCAGCUUCUGCAUCGUUAUCAAUAUAACUGUUCAAUUCAGAGUCAGCCUUUGCAUCUGUAUUAGUACAACUGUUCAGCUUAGAGUCGGCCUCUACAUCAGUAUAAAUACAGUUACUUAUAUUCAGUCUAGAGUCAGCCUCUGCAUUAGUAUCAGUACAGCUACUUAUAUUCAAUCCAGAGCAUCGCCUCAGCUACUGUGCCCAGAGCAUCGCCUUUGCAAUCAGAGCAUUACCUCUGCAUCAAGAUCAUCGCCUCUACAUCACUUUAUCACAGUGACGUAUAUUUCAAGUCCAAUCCGUAUAUAAAUAUUCAACUCAAACUUGGGAGGACUAUUGUGAGACUAUAUCUUUGUAUCACGACAUAUCACUGCUAGCUUGUGCAUUAUAUUAUUGCUUCCAAGCACAAAUGUUAUAUAACUGCUAGCAUGUCAUUCAUUAUUUUCACUACAGCCAGUACGUAUGCCAUUUUAUCAUCAUUUUCAUUUUAUUAUCGACAUCAUGUUACUUGUUUCUCUAUAGCACUACUGAUACAUUGAACAGUGCUAGCAUAUCAAUUGUUAUGAUACAUGAUAGGCAUUCUGCAUAUUAUAUUUUGGAGAAAUGUCAUCACAUUAUUCACUUUAUACUUACAAGUAUUAGAAGGGGUAAAUGGGCCCCAAAUUUAUUUGGUAUAUAGGGUCAGAUUUGGCAGUGGGCUACACUUGGCUGUAGCCCAUUGCCUUUCAAGUCCAAGUCCAAUAAAUAUGGUACAAAUUGAUGAUUUUUUUUUUUAAUUUUAGUGUAUAGCCCACCAACAAAUAUCACUUGGCGAGCCCAACCCAAUUCUUAAAACCAAUUUUUGGUUUUAAUUUUUCGCCCAAUUUUAAUAUCCUUCAUCAAAUCAAAUCACGCCUUAUUUUCUCUUUCCUGUCAAUUCAUCUACGGUAGCCCGUCGCCCAAAGUAAAUCUUCGGCUUUUCCUGUCCGCCCCUGCUCUCCCUCACCGCCAUCGACUCUUCCUGCAAAUGGCGUUCCGCCCAUGUUUGUCCAAAGGAAACAUUUCUAAUUCUUCAAAUCUUAAAACCCCUCUCCCUCUCCCUCACCACAUCUACUAUCCAACUAAUUAGAAGUUUUAAUUUAGAACCUAAGAGCCGAAUUUGAAUUGGCAGGAUUUGAAAUUUUUUGUCCCAAAUUAAUAGGAAAAAGGAAGCACUUGCACGAUCGUUUAACACUUCUACGUAAAAAUUGUGUAUUUGAAGAAUUUUUUGUUAUUCUUCAUAUGAAUGUUAUAUUCUCUCGUACCUGUAUCACUAUUUUCAAUUGUUUCGCUAAAAUCAGAAAUAAAAAUGACCAAAAAUUUUAUUCGUACAUUAGAUUUUUAGAAUUUUUUUGCCCCCCCCCCUAACUUUGAUUCCUAACUCCGCCCCUGUUGGUAUAUAUGCUGUGGAUAUAUUGUAUUAUAUUACGGUUGGUUUAGUCCAUAUUAAAGGAGAGAUGCUGACGAAAUUUUGACAAAAUAUAAGGAGCAUUUAUCUUUUUAAGUAAUUCAUAAGUCCUCGCUCAUUCUGACUCGCACACAAUUUCUGAAGCAGUUUGUAAGUCCUCACAUAUCGGAGUGACUUACAUUCUUGAGGCAAUCAGUAAGACCUUACAUAUUUAGCAGCUUAUAUUUCAAACUUCGACCCGCACAUGAAUGUACGACUCAGACUUGGGGGACUAUUGUUAUGUCCAUAAUUACGUGGCAUACUUAUGAUGGAGAGGGUCCCACAUUAGUUGACCGGGAAUCACAUAUUUGACAGUUCAUAUUUCAAGUCCGACCCGCAUAUAAAUAUACGAUUUGGACUUGGGGGACUAUUGUUAUACAUAUUAAUCAUUUCACAUUGGGCCUUUCUUUUGGCCCAUGACCCGCUUGGCCCAUUUCAUUUCAUUUAUCUAUAUAAAUGUGGCUUCACUUCACAAUUAAUGUAUGUAUUCUAAACUCAAACCAAAUCUCCUCUCCCUUCUCUUGCACUCAUUUAUUUUCUUUUUGUCCGGCCAUUGACUUGACUAUCGGAGUACAAACGGUCGUUGGACUUUUUUCUCAACCGGCGGCCUUUGCCUCUAACGGGGUGCUCCAUGUGUAGGUGUGGAAGGGACGAGGUCGGGAUUCUGUUGGCCACAUUUUUUGGGGUCAACACGUUUCCCAAGAUACAAUGACCACAUCUCGCAAUAGAAGCACUCCAGAUUACAUAGACCAACAAACUACUUAUGCUUUGACCCUCUUUAUAUGAAAUUAGACUUCAAACAAAUGCAGAAUUUUGAAGUGAAUAUAUAUUAGAAUGAUAACGCAAUCAUGAAGUGAAUUAAUGAAACUUUCAUACAUGUGGUCUAUAUAUAAAUGUUGAAAAGGUUUGUCUUAAAAGACACCCCCUUUGGAAGAGACACAACUAUUGAAAUUAGUCUCUAUAUUUGAAAAAACACAUCUUUUGAAUUAUUGGAAAAUGACAUAAAAUAUUAUGGAAUAUCAAAAAUUACAAUCUUUCGUAUAGAAAAACAUCUUUUCAGUCAAAUCAUUUUUAGAAUAUUCCAUAAUAUUUUGUCAUUUUCCAAUAAUUCACAUGUAUAAAUGAUUUAAAUUUGACUUAAUUUUUCAAUCACUAAAUAACAACUUCACUUAAAUAAUUAGGAAUUGGUUAGAACCAAUUUCAUAUACAAAUUUCCAACAAUCAAUACGGCAUACUAAAAUAAAGUAGCAUCAAGAAAAUAUAUUACUUACAGAGCAAUAAUGUGGCAAGUGGUGGCAUUAUUGUAAGAGCAGUUACAUUUAGAACCAAUUUCAUAUACAAAUUUCCAAUAAUCAAUACGGCAUACUAAAAUAACGUAGCAUCAAGAAAAUAUAUUACUUACAGAGCAAUAAUGUGGCAAGUGGUGGCAUUAUUGUAAGAGCAGUUACAUUUGAUCCCCGGAUUGAAGCUCUGGAUGGUGACGCCGUCAUCAAUUGCAAUGCCGGUGCAUAAUUCACCGCUAAUGUUCCAUUGAUCAUUUGCCAUAAUCCUCCAUCGCUCGAACAUGGAGUUUAUAGCUCUCGCUGCAUAUCAUAAUUAUAUUCUUCGCUAAAUUUUCCAUCUUCAUCAAUGGCGAUUCAUGGGUAUAGAUUGUCGUCAGUGGUUAAACAAAAUAGUUGUAGAUUUUUAAAAUAAAAAAAUAAAGUCGUCCUGAUUAAAAAUUUUGAUAAUUUCAUUGACGUGGGUUAACUAUACUAAAAAUAAUCAAUUUUAGGUCGUGUCUUGUGGACCUUACUGAACUUUAUAAUAUUUCUGAAAUAUCACUGAAUUUUGUAAAAAUGCUCUACAUUCAUUACUUGUUGGGAGAAAAUUCAUGUUUUUCUAAGAGAGCGAUUUCAUCAUGUCAAUACAAUUUUUGACAUAUUAGAAAGUUCCUCAAAAAUUGACAGAAAUUGAUAGAACACGUUGCCACGUGGUAAUUCGUAGCCACCUAGAUUUUCGCGCGGGUUAGUCGCUAACAAUUAAAAAGGGAUCAGACGAUUGUGUAAGGAACAAAUCUCUUGAGACAAAGUCCCAAAAAUGGGCAUUUUUUAUUGGCGAUAACUUUACAAUUGGGGAGUAAAAACAGAAUGCCUCCAAGGGGCGCAAGCAUACGAGUUAUUGUAAAAGAAGUGUUUAAAUCUAAACUAAGGAAUUGAAAGUUACAUAUUCUCUGUUUGAGAGUGUUUGAUUCGGGGUCUUUUGCUCUAUGUCUUUUCUUCCUUUUAUACUCCCUGGAUGAUCUCUUUGUGAUCAACCACCUAAAAACUGUUUGAUCGUUCUAUAACUGCCCACUUUCCUCGUAAUGGCCAACUUGUCAUGGAACUGCCUUUUCUAACUACUUCCAUUACUCUUUGUCGUUCAACCGUCUUCAAUUGAAUUCCUUGAAUCGUGGAACGUGAUAAGGCUGCUUAAUAACUGCUUUGAUAACUGCGCUUCUUGAUAACCAUAACACUUCAUGUUUGCUAAGACCUUGGGCGACUCGAAGGUUUGUGCGAGAAUAGAGUAGCAGCUCUGGGCGACUGCAUGGCACUCCAUUCGCUCAGAUCCUGGGCGACUUCCAAGCUUGGGCGAUGUUGUUACCGCGUUCGUGGGCCUUCCUAUUUGGGCCUUCAUCCUGAAUUGUCUGAUUGGGCGUCGUUCUUUGGGCUAUCUGAUUUGGGGAUCCUCCAAUUGGGCUUCAUUCCUUAGGCUGUUCAAUUUUGGCUAAAUUUUUAUGUAUCAACAAUUACCCCCCAAUAAGGCAGAAUUAAUACCAAUUAUUAAUUUUUGUCAUAUUCACUUUAUGUUUCCAGCAACAUUCGAAAUUUCCAAGAAUUUCAAUCAUUAUUUCCUUCCAUAGCUUAAAAAGGUGCGACGUUUUGCAAACCCUUAUAACCCCCAAAUACGUCAUUUCACUGUACCAUUAAAUCACGCCUCACUUUUUUCGCGCUUCUCUCUCACAAUUUUACUGUUCAUCUCUUUGCUUCCCUGUUACGUAACUCUGAAAAACUCCAUUUCGUCCCUAAUGGCUACUUCACAAUCUCAAUCUGGCGACUCCUUCAGUUUUGAAGACUUUCAGAAACUUCUUAAUCGUCCAUACAUAACUCCAAAUUUUCUCGCACCUGCCAAUGUCGAACUCAAUGAGUUCUACUUAGGUCCUUUCUUCAACAAUGCAGAGGCAGUCGAACAAGCGGCGGUGGGUCAGCUGUUUCCUUGUACUCAAGGCCCUCCAUUUCUAAACUCUCUGCCGCUGGGGCCACUUCGCGAAAGAGGUAUUCGUACUUGGCCUAAAUCUGACGUAGUUUUUCGUAGGUGGCAUGCUCGCCUUGUGGACCAUGGUUCUACUAAGGCACUUUUUGAUAAUGCUAGGAUUUCUGAUUUGUUAGAAAUCUCUCUUCAACCCCUGCUUUUGAUUCAGCACUUUUUUCGAUCGCUUUAAGUUUUUGGUCUUUUGAGUAUAAUACCUUUGUUUUCCCCCUUGGCCCCAUGUCUAUUACUUUAAGGGAUGUUGGGGCCAUAGUGAAUCUGCCACCUUUGGGCGAUACCAUUUUUCCUGGUAUCUUGAUUUCUGGUGGCACCCCAAAGUUUGGUAAAAACCUCACCGAGUCUUAUUCAAGCGUGCAAACCCUUCAUAACCAUUCAAGCGCUGAGCCUUCCCAUACUGAGCGAGUGGCCUUUCUUCUGGUUUGGCUUUGUAAAUAUGUUUUGUGUGUGCCAAGCAUAAAACCCUCCCUGAGCUAUUUACCCAUAGCGCACGAAUUGGCGCGUGGUAGGCCUUUGAAUUUAUGUUCUUUCUUUUUGGCUGCCCUCUAUAGAGGCAUGGCUUCUCUUCAAUCUCAAUUGAAAAAUGGUGCAUCUCCCACUGGCAGUGGACCUCUUUGGUUCACUCAAAUGUGGUUGAGAUCCUAUUUUCCAUCGCUUGGUGCUCCAUCAAUUUCUCGUUCUUCUGCUAGCUACUAGGGGCUAGCCAUUGAGCCCCUGGCUCCUGUAAAUAUGUCUAGAAGGGACAUUUUUUCAUUCUUUUAUUCUUUGGAUUCAAUUCCUUCCUUCUUUCCUUUUCCUGCCUUUUUGACUCCAAACUAUGUGCAUCCUCUCUCCACUAUAGACAGCGCGAGCACCUCUCUGCUCAUUUGGAUCCAGUUUUUAACCGGGAGGGAGUUAUUUCAUGACAUUUUGACUGGGACCAAUGCCAAGGCUGGGGUAGAAAUAUAUGCUCCCCAAUUUUUUGCUCGCCAACUUGGUUUCGGCCAAACCUGGCCUGUUCCUCCUUGCUAUUCAAGGAACUUGAUAGACCGCUUCCAUAUCAUUAAUAAAGUGGAGGCAGAGGCUAUAAAUGCUCGCAAUCUUCUUUUAACGAGCCAUUUUUCAUUAGCCCCCUUCAAUUCUAGUCAUGUCAUUCACCCUCUUUUUGAACAACUCUGGCCAUCAGUGAAGCGCAGAUUGUUCGCGACUGAUGCCAAUUGUGCCUUUCAUUCACUGGAUCAACCAAGCAUUUCUUCUCCUCCUCCUGUUUUAGUCACCCCUUUGUUCAUCCGGAGUCCUUCUCCUCCUCGUCGCGCUAAACAUUCUGCUCGUCCAUCUUCUUCUCUCCCUGCCAAGCCUACUGCAGCCAAAAGUGCUCCGAGCCGCAAACGGCCAGCCUCAACAUCUCCCAUUCUGGAAGAUGAUGUUGAUGAUGAUGAUGAUACCCCUCUUAUCAUCAGGAGGAAGGUAAUUAAAUUGGUUUACUUACAGGCAUACUUUUUCAUACUUGAAGCUUUUCUGUGUGCUGAUGUUUUAUUUGGACUUUUCAGAAAAGUUCAGCCUCUCCUUUGAAGGCCUUAGUGUCGGCAGCUCCUGCUCCAUCAUCCUCCGCUGAGGCUGCUUUAUCCAAACCAGUUGAUGAAGGGACUACGCUUAAAGAGACAUCUUCAGUCCCAGAAUCCUCAUCACAACCAAUGGAUGAGCCACCUUCUUCCCAGGGCGUCGACCCCCUAAACAUCGAAGCAGAAGGUAAUUCAGUCUCUUGAUGCUUUACCUUUGCUUGUGCUGUUGGUUUCUGAUUUGUUGCUUUUGAGUUCUACAGAUGCUCCUAUGAGUCUGCCCGCUGUGGCAACAUCUUCUCACUUAGACAAGGGGAAGUCCACAAGAAUAGUGGAGUCACAGGUGGCAGACUUGGCUGGAGAUAUGCCAUCUUCCAAGAUUAUUGAUGAGGUAAUCUUUGCUUCACUUUUACUUUCAUCUUGUUCAUUAUAGUGAGAAUCUUCAUUAUUGGCAAUUUUUUUUGCAGGAUGCUGAUAAGAUUGUGCGUUCCAUCUAUGACUUGUUCGCUUCCUGGGGGCAAGUCAAGACAUCUCGCCCUGCUCCAGCUGGUCGUCCUACUACUUCUUCAGAGGAAAAUAUGAAGUUCCUCAAGCAGUCGAUAUUUGAAUGCGUGUCCUUCAUAGAUAUGGACAUUGGUAAGGCUAGUGCUGCCAGACAUAAAGAUAAACUUGAGCAUUUGAAUGCAAAGUUGGAGCAAGCGCUAACACUUCCGUUGCUCAAUCUUUCUGCUGAUUUUAAAGCGAUGUUGAAAGUUAUCCAUUCCGAGGUCCUUUCCUUGCUGGCCAAGAAUGUUGAACUGAAGGCCAAAAGUACUCAAUAUCUUCGCGCCGUAUCUGAAAAAGAGUCUUUACUUCUGGAGAUCAACAAAGCUGAGGACGAGUUGAAAGAAAUCUCUUCCAAAGUCAUGAUUGAAGACUCUUUGAUGGCUAGUUUGGCUGCUCAGAUGAAGGAACUUCAAGCCAAAAUGGACGACUGCAAGGCGAGAAUGGCUGCUAAAAAGCGUAACGCCUCCCAAGGAAUUGAGCGAACUAAGUCUUUGGUCGAGCAGUACAAGAAGUUGGAAGUUGAUAAUGAUGUUGUGGCCGAAUUGAACAUCACUUCCUCUCGACAGAGCGAGGACUGGGGGAAACUUAGGGAGAGAAUUCGUUCGGUAUGGGGCGGAUUGUAAUUAAGACAUAUAAUGCCUUAACUUUUUCUUUUUGUAAUUUCGCAUUUGACUCUCCCUUUGUAACCUUAUACAUCAUUAAUGAACAUCUAUGUAAACUUCUUGUGCAUUUAUUUGACGUUUGUCUUUUAAUCGCCAAUCUUUCAAGCAUUUAACUGCUUUGUGCUAAAAAUUUUGCACAUUUUCUCUUGAUAUUUCCACCUCUUUUCCCAAGACUUUGGGCUACUUAAUUCCAUUUAUUAGGCAGAAUGUGGCUGUUCAUAUUCUGUCUCUUCAUAUAAAUGCACGUAUGCUUCGCACUUUCCAUCUUCCAUCUUCAUUUUCAUUCUCUUCUUCGAAACCAAUUUGCUGCCAUUUUCUGGCAUUCUGACAAUCAAUCCAAAACCUUCGUCUUCUAUAAAAAUGGAUUGUUUGGUCCGCCCAUUUUACUAUUUGUCUUGAUGUCACCUUUGGUAUGGGAGAUAUAGGAAAUAUUUUUUGGCCAGCAGCGAAGUUUUUCCCAUCAAAGUUCUUCCCAUCGUCUCUUUGUUCUUUACAAGGGGUUCGAUGAUGGAAGGCAAUUUUUGGGAUGCUUGCAGGCCACCUUGCUUGCUAAGAGUGCUUCUCAGCCUCUUUGCCUGCCAUUACAGCGAUGCAUUUAGGAAGGCGGUGCGAGGCCAGUUCACUCUCUUACUCAGCGAUCGACCGGGAAAUUAGCUUACUUUUAAUUGUAGCUUGUAGAGCAUCUAUUAUUUGUAUCUUACAACUUUGUAAUGAACGUUUAAUAAUAAAGGAAUUUAUUUGAACGCAUUUCGCUCUGACCUUUUUAUCCUUAAUCGUUCAACAUGUUUUGAUUACGCUUUUAUCUAUUCACUUUCCCAUAAAGAAGGAACAUAUUUUUUCAAAUAUUUACCGUUGAUGAAUCUUACGUGCUUGGUGUCAUCUAAGUCUUCCAAAUGAUACGUUCCAUUGGGUAACACACUUUUUACUUUGUAUGGUCCUUCCUAAUUGGGCGACCACUUCCCGCACUUUGGAUCCUUGCUAUCCAAAGGGAGUAUUGUCUUCCAAACUAAUUCGCCCAGGCUGAACGACUUGGCUAUGACUUUUUUAUUAUAAAACUUAGCCAUUCUUUGUUUUUGAACUUGCAAUCUAUCUAGGACGUCCAACUUUAAUUCGUCCAACCCCAAUAAAUUUUAAACUAGUGAUUCACACUCAUCAUCAUUUAACUAAUGUUGCAAGCACACUCUAAUCGAUUGCACGUUUAUUUCCAUAGAUAAAACGACCUCCUGUCCACAAGUAAGUUGGAAAGGAGUAAUUUUGGUACUUGACCGAGGUGGUGUUCUAUAAGCCCAUAAGGCCUUAUUCAGACAUUCGUGCCAAUUUCUGGCAUUUUCGUUUAUUAUCUUUCUGAUGAUAUUUUUUAGAAUCUUAUUAGAAGAUUUUGCUUGUCCGUUGGAUUAAGCGUAAUAUGGUGUGGAGUUUACUAAUUUAACCCCAAACUCGCUCAAGAAUUUAUUCACUUGAUCCCCAUUCAAAGAUGUUCCAUGAUCUACUAUCAACGUUCGUGGAAUUCCAAAUCUAUAAAUGACGUGAUCACGGAUAAACUCUAUGACAUUCUUUUGGGUGAUCUCUUUUAAAGGUACCGCCUCUACCCACUUGGUGAAAUAGUCGGUUGCAACUAUAACAAAAGUAUGUUGCUUGGACGAUAGGGGAUAAAUCUUCCCUAUCAGAUAUAUUGCCUAACCCUUGAACGGCCAAGGUUUAAUAAUAGGUGUCAUCUCUCGUGCUGGUGCCCUUUGUAUUGGACCAUACUUUUGGCAUGCUAAACAACUCUUUGCAUACUGAACGCAUAAUUCUCCCAUCUUUGGCCAAAAAUAUUCACUCCUAAUAAUUAACCAUCUCAUCGUUUGGCCAGCUUGAUGAGCUCCACAUAUCCUUUCGUACACCUCAGCCAUGAUCGUCCUGACUUCUUGCAAACUUACACACUUUAGCAAUACACCAUCAGAGCAUUUCUUAAACAACUCUUCAUCUAUUAGUGUAUAGUUCAGCAAACACAGCUUCAUUUUCCUACUAAUCCCUCCAUUAGGUUCUUUAAGGAACCUUUUAAUCUCUGUUCUCCAAUCCAUUUUAUCUUCACCAUGUAUGCAAUGAAAUUCAAUCCUUCUCACCCUUCUUUGGGUCAUGGACAAUAUGGUUCCAUACUCACAAGUAGACUUCCAAUUCAAAACAUUUGAGUACCCUGAGGCCAUUUGGGCCAACUCAUUUGCCACGUCGUUAUAUAUUCUAUUAACACAUUGAAGUUCUACUUGGUCGAAUUCUUCUAACAAUUCUUGGGCGAUCUCAUAUUGACUUAUAAUGGAAUCACUUUGGCAUUUAAAAUCACCAAUCAAUUGGUGAAUUACCAAUUGAGAAUCGUCCCUAAUGAUCACAUUUUUUACUCCCAUAUCUAUCAUUAGUUCUAGGCCUACGAUUAAGGCUUCAUAUUCGGCCUAAUUGUUGGUGCACAUCCUGUCUAAAGUGAACGCGAACUUGCAGCAAAUCCCUAAAGGAUUAAUCAAUGCUACUCCUACUCCUACACCUUUAGAGGUUUUUGACCCAUCGAAAUACAACACCCAAGGUUUUAGCUCGAACGAAUUGAUUUCCAAUUCAAUUUCUUCAGGCAUGUCAAGGCAUGGAUGAUCGGCUAGAAAGUUAGCCAAAGCCUGAUUUUUGACUGCCUUUUGAGGUAUAUAUUAUAUCUCGAAUUCUGAUAAAGCUAAUGUCCAAAGGCCUACCCUUUGGUGUAAAAUAGGGCGAGAGAACGUAUACUUAACUAAAUUUACUUUAGAAAUUAAAUAAAGGGUUACGGGCCGUAAAUAAACCCUUAAUUUUGUACAUGUGAAAUACAAUGCAAGACAUAAUUUUUCGAUAGCAGAGUAAUUAUAUUCACAUUUUGUUAACCGCCUACUUAAGUAGUAAAUUGCCAUUUUUUUACCAAAUUGGUCUUCCUGCGCGACCAUUUCAGCUAUUGAUUCUUUUUCAACCGAUACGUACACUUUUAUUGGCCGUCCUUGGAUUGGUGACACCAACACUGGUGGACUUGAUAAAUAUGUCUUCAGGCUUUCAAAAGUCUUUUGAUGUUCUUCUUUCCAGACGAAUCCGUCCUGAUUUUUCAGCUUUAAGAGCGGCGAAAGGACUUUAGUUCGCCCUGCACAGUUAGAAAUAAAGCGUCUUAAAAAGUUUACUUGGCCUAGAAACCUUUGCAAUUCUUUUUUGUUGCUAGGUGGUUUGGCUUCUAAAAUGGCAUUUGCUUUAUUUUUAUCAAGUUCAAUCCCUCUUUUGUGUACCAAGAAAUCAAGAAAGUUCUCUACAUUAACACCAAAUGUACAUUUCAAGGGAUUCAACUUUAGCUUAUAUUGCUUCAUUCGCUCAAACGAACAUCUUAACUGUUCGAAAUGGCCCUCUUCUUUAAUGGAUUUGACCACUAUAUCACCUACAUACACUUCAACAAAUUUGCCUAUCAUAUCAUGAAAGAUUAAAUUCAUUGCCUUUUGAUAAGUUGCUCCUGCAUUUUUUAGGCCGAAAGGCAUGACCACUCAUUCAAAACAUCCUAGAGACCCAGGUCAUCUAAAAGCAGUUUUGUGUAUGUCUUCUUCAGCUAUAUAAAUUUGAUUGUAUCCUGAAUACACAUCCAUGAAAGAAUACAUGACGUGUCCGGCAGUUGAGUCUACUAAAGAAUCCACCGUGGGCAUUGGAUACUCAUCGGGUGUUGCUAUGUUUAAAUUCCUAAAGCCUAUGCACACCCUUAAUUUACCAUUCUUUUUUAGUACUGGCACGAUAUUGGACAAUUAUUCGACAUACCUGGCUGUUCUAAUAAAGCCUGCUUUCAAUAAUCGCUCUAUCUCUUUCUUAGUCUCAGGGAGUAUAUUAGGGGCAAAACGUUUAGGAAGUUGCCUAAGAGGUUUAAAUUAGGCUUAGUUGGUAACCUAUGUUCCACCAAGUCUCUAUCUAAACCAGGCAUUUGUUCAUAUUCCCAAAUAAAAUAAUCUUUAUACUCUUUUAGCAAAGCGAUUAAUUUAUCACUAACCUCUUGAUCGAGCAUUUGGCUGAUGAAUGUUGGACGAUCUUUUCCUUCAUUACCAAUAUUUACUUUGAUCAGAGGGUCUUGUACUUAAGAGUAUCCAGGUUUGAUGAUCCGCAUCGCUUCGUCGUCCAAUUCCCUUGUAAAUACUUCUUCUUCUAAAUAGUCCACCUUGUUGACUUCUCGACCAAUGCUUUGUUCAAACUCGAAUACUGCCCAUUUGUCUUUCAGCGCUCUUAGGGCUGCCUCUUCUUUCGUUUUGUCCUUGUAUUCUUUAUUGAAAGCCAUUAAUCUGGCUUUGAAGGCCUGGAUAUCGGCCAUUUGCUUUUGUGACUCAGAAUUCAUUCAAGACUCCUUGAUUAUUCUUUUCCCAAUUACUGGCUCUUCUAAAACCACUAUAUUUGGUCUCAUUUGGCUGAACAUUUCAGUGAGUGCGUCCACUGAAAAUGGCUCUUCACUCUGUGCGACGAUCUGAGUUUCUUCCCCAUCUUGGACUACCCUGACAGGUCCAUAGUUUCCUUCGUACAUGAACAUUUCCACUGAGUUCGCUUCUGCGACAAAAGGCCUAUGAUCGGCCUGCACCACCUCUACUUCACCCUUGUUGUUCCAAAAGACCAGGCAUUGAUGGAGUGAUGAGGGUAUGCAACGACUUCCGUGUAUCCAAUCUCUUCCUAGUAACACAUUGUAACUAGUAGGACCAUCUAUUACAAAGAAGACUGUGGUCCUAGUAGUUGUCUUCGUAGUUAUGUCCAAUGGCAUAACUCCCUUAGCUGAAGUUGCUCCUCCAUUGAAACUCGUAAGGAUGACUUCUAUUGGAAUCAUGUCACCCUUUGUCUUUGCAAAUUUCCUCAUCAUCCUAGAUGGAAUGGUGUUUAUAGCUGCUCCAUUGUCGACAAGCACUUUUGCCACAAGGAUGCCGUUAACUAGAGUUUUAACGUACAAUGGCCUCAAGUGUUUAGUCAUUUUCAUGGCUGGCUGUUUAAAAAUAACCUUUUUGGCAGCCUCCAUUUCUACUUCCUGCUUGUUUUCUGUCGAAUUAUCCCUCUGUGAUAAGUCGACGUGCAGCAUAUCGCGCUGAGCCUCUGUCUCCUGAAUUUCCUCCUUACUGUUUUCUAACGCUUCUUCAUCAGUUACCCAACCUGUGGGAGGGGGCAUUAUUCUUGGAGGUGAUCCACACUUUUCAGAGCGAGGCACUCUCUUCUUCCUUUUGGGCGUCCCGUACAGUACGUAGAAAUCGAAAGAAUGCCCAGAUGGUUCUCCCAACAAAUCUACUUCGCGAACUCCCUCUCGAUGUAGUUUCUUCAACAGAGUGUUGUGCGAUACUCCUCUCCUUUCUGCUUUUAGGUUGAUUUCUUCUUCGAUGUCUGUCAUCCCGUCGUCUUUUUCAUCAUUGUAGGCCUCUCUAGAAGUCUGGCCUUCUUCAUAUUCCAGCACGCAAGCCUCUCCUUCGUUGUCCUCCCUUUCUUCUUCUUAUUUUUCUUUAUUCUUGAAUUCAUUGGCCAAUAAGUAAUUAUUAGCCACGACAGAAGGUAACGUACCGAACUGAAUAUUAAGGGGCUGAUCUGGAUCUUCUCCAUCCCUUCUGUCUCGCUCAAACUUUGAUCUCCUAGAAGAAGUUUCUGGCAACUCUUUCAUUGAUUCAUCUGUACCGGUCUCUUCAUUAUCUUUGAGAACAUUUUGAUUAGCUACCUUGAGUAGUUUAAGCGCUUUAGGAUGUGGCACUCCUUGUUGCUGCCUUAUCAUUCGUCCAUAGUUUCGUUAAAAAUGCCUUUGUUCGGUUCUAGUCAUCUCAUCGAAGGGUAUUGCCCUUCCUACAUUAUACUGGAACGAAUGCCAUACAUUUGGCCGGCGAGGUUGCGGCCUGAAUGUUUUCCCAUUAUCUACUGGCCUGAACUGCCUCCCGAAAGGCGGUCCUUUGUAGAACGAUGUACCUUGCCCUCUACCGGGCUGAGCGUUUGGGAGGAGAGUAGGGCGAUGGGGAUGCUGCCAUGUACCUGGUUUCUCCGUAUUCCCACUCACUUCUCUUUUACAUCUUGCACACAGGACGUCUUCGUCCUUUUUUGGCUCCUUCCCCUUGAUUCGUUCAAAAACACUGGGAUGUGGUCCAGGGUCCUCUUCUCCAUCAUCUAUGACCAACUUGAAUUUUGGCAACUUGUUUUUGAAACCAGACGUCACCAUGUUCACUCCAAGUGGCUGUGGAAAAGGAUUUUCAUCCACUGCCAUCUUUUUCUUAUCGUCGAACGUAAUUCGUCCUGAUUCAAUGACAUCCUGCAAUAUAUGGCGAAAAACCAAGCAAUUGUUAGUCAAAUGUGACCAUGUAUUAUGCCACUUACAAUAUUUUUUACCCUUAAUUUGUUCAGGGUUUGGCAAUUUAUACUUAUCGCUCAACUUUAUCUGCUUAUCCCUAUAUAAUUUAUCAAAUAUAAGGUCAGCUUUGGUCACAUCGAACGAGAACGUUCUAGCCUUUAUGUUUCCAUUUUUCAUGGGCUCAUCUUUGCCCUAUGGUCUAGGCUUAGCCAUUAUAGGACAAGUAUACGUGUCUCCUUUGACCAAUUCAACCAAACACAUCUCGGCUUGAUCGUAUGACUGGUCGCUGAUGGUAUGAACGUCAAAAUUUGGGUCUUUGUAAUAAGUCCCUUUACUAGAAUUUUUCAUCUGCUCUUCUUCUCUUAUCAGUCGUUCAUAUCCAAUCACGUUCGCACUCAACUGGAAAAGGUCAGGAAAUUCCUUGUCUUGGAAUUUCUUUUUUAAAUCAAAGCUCAAACAACCCUAAGCGAUUUUGACAAAUUCUUUUUCGGGCAGAGGUACAAAACACUUGCUUUUUGCUGUCUUGAAUCUUUGGAGAAAACUUUCUGCCCAUUCGUUUGGCAUUUGACGUAGAUUCGCCAAAUCAGCCACAGUAACUUCAGACUCAGUUUUAUAAAACUGAGCGUGGAAUAAUUAUUCCAAUUGUUGCCAUGUUUGAACAGAGUUCGCUGGCAAGUUUAUGAACCAGGAGAAAGCUAUUCCUGUUAAUGAACUAGGGAAAAGCCUCAUUUUAUGGUAAUCAGUUACAUCACCACUUUGCAAUGUGAAUCGCCCUAUGUGCUCUAGAGUAAACACCUCCCCUAAACCGGUAAAUAGUGAGAAUUCUGGCACUUUAUACCCUCUAGGCCAUGGAUAUGCUUGGUCUACCCAAUCAGGAUAUGGCUUUGUGUAAGUCGGCCUAAUGACAGGACGCACCCCAAAAGCCAUCUGAUCCUGUACGAUUUCCAUAAUCUGAUUCCUCAACAUGACGUUAAGGUCAUAUGGAAUUCCUACAGGUUGGUUAACCGGUUGAUUUGAAUGAGGCCUGACGUUUGGUCCUUGAUUGGCAACAAAGUUACCAUGAUUUAGGCCAUUACCAUUAGCCUGAACAUCUAUUCCCUCAUUAACACGUAGGGUAUUCUGUUCAUUGUUUAGGACAUUAUCUCUUACAUUUAAAUUACCCCCAAGUUAGGCGUACCACUACUGUUGUUCUGAUUUGGCACUGCACCACCCCCUUGGUUUGAAGUAGAGGGACCAGAAAGUGGUUCUAUCCCUUGAUUCGGAUUUAAGACUGAGGGAUUAUGUACUACAAUUGUCCUACUUUGAAAGUGGUUUGCAGCAGGCAGAACCGGUUGACAUAUUUGGCCUACUAACUUAUUCAUUAUUUCGUUCAAAGUGUUUAGUUGUUUGGCCAUGUUGUCAUAAUGUGUAUUCCCAUUUUAGGUAAAUCUUUCCAUAUUAUGAAUAUUUCGAAGAUUUACCUGUUCAACGAUAUCUUGUGUGAGUUCUCCAAGUAGUGCACGCAUAGUUCGAGGACUCAACUCUGUCAUUGGUUCGUAACGACUGUUACUGCUUUGAUUCUGUCCAUCUGUUCGUGGAGAGGCAUGCUGCUCCUCAUAUCGCUCGAUCACAGACUGGACUCCUCCCUGACUUGCUGCUUCCUUAUCGGAUCUCUGAAGCAUAUUGUUUCACCUUUUGUAUUUUCAAUAUCAAACACCACUGUUCCACUGGGCGUGCCAAAUUGUUUCGCGUGCGUUAGUCGCUAACAAUUAAAAAGAGAUCAGACGAUUGUGUAAGGAACAAACCUCUUGAGAUAAAGUCCUAAAAAAGGGGCGUUUUUUAUUGGCGAUGACUUUACAAUUGGGGAGUAAAAACAGAAUGCCUCCAAGGGGCGCAAGCACACGAGUUACUAUAAAAGAAGUGUUUAAAUCUAAACUAAGGAAUUGAAAGUUACAUAUUCUCUGUUUGAGAGUGUUUGAUUCGGGAUCUUUUGCUCUAUGUCUUUUCUUUCUUUUAUACUCCCUGGAUGGUCUCUUUGUGAUCAACCGCCUAAAAACUGUUUGAUCGUUCUAUAACUGCCCACUUUCCUCGUCAUGGCCAACUUGUCAUGGAACUGCCUUUUCUAACUGCUUCCAUUACUCUUUGUCGUUCAACCGUCUUCAAUUGAAUUCCUUGAAUCGUGGAACGUGAUAGGGCUGCUUAAUAACUGCUUUGAUAACUGCGCUUCUUGAUAACCAUAACACUUCAUGUUUGCUAAGACCUUGGGCGACUCGAAAGUUUGGGCGAGAAUAGAGUAGCAGCUCUGGGCGACUGCAUGGCACUCCAUUCGCUCAGAUCCUGGGCGGCUGCAUAGCACUCCAUUCGCUCAGAUCUUGGGCGACUUGCAAGCUUGGGCGAUGGUGUUACCGCGUUCAUGGGCCUUCAUCCUGAAUUAUUUGAUUGAGCUUCGUUCUUUGGGCUAUCUGAUUUGGGAAUCCUCCAAAUGAAUUUCAUUACUUAGGCCGUCCGAUUUGGACUGAAUUUUUAUGUGUCAACAUAGACAUAUACGUCUAAUGCAACAAAAACAAAGGGAAAUGUAACUACUGGUCAAUGGAGAGAAAUUUUUGAAAGUUGAGUGAUGAUUGAGAAGACUUCCGGGGUACAAUAUAAAAUACAAUAAUUUUUAAAAUAAUCAACUUAGUAUUUGGCAGUGCUUCAAAUUACCUUUUAACAUUUAUAUAUAAUUACCUUCCUCCAAAGAAAUCUUUUGUAGAAAAUUAAUAAAAUACAGAAGGGUCAAAAGAAAAUAAAAUGCACAUAAAUCUGAAAGUAAAAUAAUUAUUGUAAACGAGCUCUUCAUGUUAAUUUAUUUCUUCAUGAUAAUAAUAGAGCAACAAUUGAAUUUAAAAUGUGUCUUUUGACGAGUAUGGGCCUGUUUGGGAGGAAUUUUUUCUUUCAAAAAAUUGAUUUUUUGACUGUUAUUUUACUAUUUCAGUCGUCAUAUUUGACUUCUUCUCUCACAGGUGGACCCCACUUUCCUCCUAACCGUCAAAAAAUCAAUUCUCAAAAUCACUCUCAAGCAGGUUCAAUCUUUUACAACGUUUCUUCAUCGGUUAUUAAACUUUAAAACGUUUUUCACAAGCUAUUGAAUUUAUCAAAUUGUUAAAACAUCCGUCAUUAAAAAAUAGAUGGAAUGGAUAGCAUGAAAACAUAUAUUCAUACAGAGACGGAUACACGGGGGCUGGGUUGGGUUGUAGCCCCCCACCCUAGGUCCAAGAAUUUUUUUUAAGGUAUUUUUUAUUUUUUUGGGUAAAAAAUCAGUUUUUUAUGUGUAAAAAAAUUUUUUCCACGUAGUAGCUCGAUUUGAAAUUUUGUAGCCCGAUCGUGGAUCCAAUCCUGAAUCCGUCCCUGUAUUCAUACGUGUCAACUUUGUAGGAUCAUUUACGCUAAGUUACUGAAGUUCAAUGGCGUUGACAAGUGAAAAUAUUGUGGAAAGUACAUUGGUCAAUGAGAAAAAUUAUGCAAAGCCCAAAAUGAGAUACUUAUUUAAUACAGUAUAUAUCCUCUCUACUAUUUUAUUCUUAUGAAAAUUAAACUUCGUCCAUCUUGAAUUAAUAAAUAAACUAAACUACAAAUAAAGGAUGAAACAAGCAUGUUAUCCUAAAUCUUAAAAAUAACUUAAAGUAAGCUUUUAGUUAUGAACAUGUUUAGCUCCCGUUUGGUCCCCGUUUUGUAGAGUUAAAAAUGGGUGGAAUAAUAUUUUUUUUUUUAAAAUGAGAAGUUAAAAAGAAAGAAAAAGUUUUCGAUUCACAUAUAAUAUUAUUUUAUGAAAAAUUGUGUGGUAGAAAAUACGUGGGAGAAAAAUGUAAUUGAAAUUAAUGGGACGAAACGGAGGCUUAUAGUUUACUUCCGUCAACAUAGUAACAUAAAUUGUGGGUGACGCACUGGUGGGAAGAGAGCAGAGGUGCAUGAACGUACCUUCAGAAGGAUCAGUGGUGGCAUUUCUUCGGGUUUGAGCUUGAGCCCGAGGCACCUCUACCAGAGACAUGGUCAAAAAAAGGCAUAAGCCUAGCAGCAAAUCUAGUUGCCGCCUUGGCGCCACCUUCGCGAGUUUCAUCUCUGUCGGUAUGGACCAGAAGCAUGCGAAUUUCAGAGGUAAAUUCUGUACUGAUAUAUCAAGAAGUGAUCGUCUAUUCUUUGGCUAUAUCUCUCAAUUUUUCUUGGUUGACAGCUAAUCGUAUACUUGUCAUCAACUGCAAUUAACGCGUUUGGUCCCGCUUUAGAACAGAUAAAAAUCAAUUUCUGGGACCGAUGCCUUGUCUUUAACCAUUUGAAAAUUUUAAAGUACUGGCUCUUGUCAGACUUUUCACGUGCACAUGUUAGGGAGUUUUUCUCAUUUUUGCCCUUCAAUUGAUUAGCACAUUGCAAAAAUGAAGGCAUGUGAGGGCAAAAUGGACAAAUACACAUAAUACUUUGUAUUGAAUGAUCAAGUGGGCCCGGUGAGUUGACAGGAAAAGCAAUCCUCCAUUUUGCAAGUAGCACCCAGACAGUAUAUUAAUUUGCUCAAUUAUUAUUGACCAAAAAAAUUGUUCAAGUUUUUAUUUAAAGUCCGUUUGAGCCACAUUACAAUACGAAUGAGAAUGAGAAAUAGAGUCGUUAUGGAUCCCACACUAGAGAUAGAAAUUCAAAAAUGAUGACUUGAUAUGAUAGAUAACGAUCAUAUUUUUCAUUUUAAUGAGGUAAAAAUAGGGCUCAAUCAGGGACUUAAUUUAUAAAAACUUAAAUAUGUGAUGAGAUUAUAGCAUGUUACCAGCUUAAGUUUAUAUUUUGACUUAAAAUGAUAUUUAUAGAGUUAUGAGAAUGUCUCACUUUUUGUCUAUAAUGGUAUGAGGCUAUUAUGUGAGGUAUUUAAUGAUAUGAUCUUGACGUUUGAUUAAAAAUGUUUAAAGGAGAAGUAUGAUUAUUUUUGAAGUCUUCUGACCUAUCAAUUCAUAUUUUUUUAACCCUACAAAAUCAGCAUUAUCCUUACGUGGCACAUGAUCAUUGGUUUCUCAGAUAUUCCUUAGAAGGUUUAAGCUGUUUACAAAGAUUAAUGAUUUGUCCCCCACCCCACACCACACCACACCACCCCACCCCAACCUUUGUUCAACCCCCUUCAUCUUCUCUAUCACCCAUCACUCGUCAGAGACCACGUUCAAUUGCUCAGGCCCACAAGAUUACAAAUUUGAGAAACCAACGGAUCAUGUUAAUUCAUCACCCCUCCCAAUCUUAAAAAAAUAUCCUACAUUUUGGCAAGUUGCUCUAAUGCUCCAGACAACCCCAACGACACCGAACAAGGGGGAAGAAGAGAAGGCUCAGUUUUAAGUUUUACUAGAUUUUGACUUUUUCUGGGUCAAGUCCGAACUCGGUAAAUGGAGUUCCCGUUGGUGUCGCGGGCUCUUAAUCCCCCAGUAACUUGGUUUUGUAAUUAUGAGUUGCCGGUGAGAAUAAUAGAGAUGAAAAAGAAGAAGGGAGUUUUGACAAAUAAUGGGGUGGUGAAAGCGGAGAGGAGUAGUGGUGCUGGUGGAAAAGCGGUGGAGAGAGAAGAAAGAGAGAGUCGGGUAUAUAGGACGGGUUCAGGUAUUGAGGUUAACAAUUUUAAUGAAAGCUUUAAUGAUGCAGAAUUUGCAGUCUGGGAAAAGAUUGGAAUUGAUGUUAGACUAAGUUAAGGAAUUGGUAAGUCUUUUACCUUUAUUAUUAUUAUUUUUUUUUUGGCCAUUCAUUUACGGGAGGAAUAUUAUUUUUGUUAUGAUCUUUGAUCCAAUCCUGAAUCUGUCUCUGUCGGACUCUAGCCUUAGGCUCAACAAGUUUUUUUGUUUCUUUUUCUUAUUCAACUUUGACUUGACUCAUAAAAAUCAUAGAAAAUAUUAGGAGUAGCAUCUUAAAGCCCACGACAUUAGUAAAAGUUUAUUUGGAUCAUUGGUGUAAAAAGUGUAUAUGCUAUUUAAAAUAAAUGUAUAUGUUUAUUUUUUUGGUAAUAUCAUUCAUCAUCUUCUUAAUUUCGUAGAUCAUUAGGUCCAUUACUCAUGGAUGACAUGAAGUUUUUGUUUUCCUUUUCUUUGAGGAUAUUAAUGUCCAAAAAUAAGUCGAUGACCAAGUUGCGUCAAGAGCCAUACAUUCAAGACUGAUCUUGCAAUAUUCCUUUAUCUUAUUGGAAAUUUAAUCAGUGGGAAAAUAUUAAUUUUAUGAAAUGCGAUUGAUGAAUCAAGUGAGAAAAUGUAAAAAUAAAGAUAAAAUUAAUUUUGAAUUAUCAAAUUUAUAACUGUAUCAUCAUUCAUUUAACCAAGCAGAUUAAUACAUUAUUACAAACAUCUCAGUUACAAUCAGCAAAUUACAGACAAACCACAUUUUAUUCCCAAGCCUCAGCAUGAUCUCUUGUCAAUUUAUAGGAUUGAUCAAAAAUUCCUUGAAAUAGUAACCUUCAAACCGUGUUUCAUAUGAAGCACAACGGAGUUACAUGGAGCUAUAGCAUGGCUUUUUACAACUUGAAUACGGAAACUGCUUAUAAUGGAGGCUGCAACUAUUUUCAUUUGAACGAAAGACAUCUCCUUCCCUAAAUAGCUCCUUGGCUCUGCAUUAAAUGCUGUAAAUUUGAAAGAGGGUUCAUGUUUUAUUUGUCCUUGUUCGGGAAUCCACCGUUUUGGCUUAAACUCUAGACAAUCUCCGCCCCCCUCCCAAACCAGGGGCGGAGUCAGGAUAUCAGUUCAGUGUGGGCAAAAAAAAUUCAAUGCCGAAAGUCAAGGUUUUGGUCAUGAAUUUAAUGACGAUAAAAAAAUAAAACAAUAGUACGACACACUAAAAACGACAUAAUUUAUAACAAAUACUGGAAGCAACUCACAAAAUUCAGUGUAAUUCACAAUUUUACAUAAUCAAUUUACAAUGCAUUUCACAAAUUUCACAUAAUUAAUUCACAGUGCAAUUCACAAUUUCACAGGCCAAUAUAUACUAUUUUCAAAAUCCAGUAAGGCAGGAACAGAGUAAGCAACUCACAAUCGCAGACUGCUAGAGGCUAAGGCAACAAUGAACUGGAAGUGCGUCUUUCUCACAGUUAUGUAGAAAAAACAAUUGAAGAGCAACUGUAGGAAGUGCCACUUCGAGCAAUCGAAGAGCAAAGUCGAGAGCAAUAAAGUUAAAAAAAAUAAAAAAUACUGGAGAUAGAAGUACAAAAAGUGCUAAAGAUUGUGGACAAGAGCGGUAAUUUAGCUCUUAUUAAUUGAUAAAUAAAUAAUAUUUUUUACGUCAAAAAUUUUUUUUUAUGAGUUAAAAAAUCAAAGAAUAAAAAAUAGUAACCCGUCCAAUUUGAAAACAAAAUAAUAACAUUACCAUCUUCUGCUUGGCAACUCUAUCCUGGUGGAUUAAUUAUUCAAAAACCCAGAUCUAGAACAAUGAGUGAAUCCCAGCAACAUUUGGUAGAUUUGCAGGAAAAUGGAGGUUUCGGGUCAGAUCCCAACUCGUGGUUAUCCGGCGCCGACAACCACUCGUCUAUCAGCCGAACUUUUUCUUCUCGUUCCAUUGCAUUCGCUGCUGCCACUGGCGAUGUUGACCGCGUUCUCUUCAACGAUCUCGUUAAGAUUGUCCCUCUCGUUCAGUUUGACCAGUGGACUUAGGAGGAAGAGGUUGAGUGACUUGAGUCGGAGAUGUGCACGGCUGAGUGACGUGCGGAAAGCGAAGUGACGAGUGCUACCGGUUGAAAUUGAAUGAAUCAAGGUGCAAUUGCCAAUUAAUUCAAUUGAAUGGUCAUGGAAUUGUAGACGGGUCAUGGGGUUUGAUUGGGCUAACGGGUUAUUGGGCUAGUGGGCUUUUCUGGACUGGACAGGGAAAUGAAAUGAAACUCUUAAAAAAAAAAGGAAAAAAAAAGUUUGGGCCUGGGGUUGGGCCCAAAAGUUCAAUGCGGGCAUGUGCCCACACUGGACUUCAUUGGGCUCCGCCCCUGCCCCCACCACCACCAAUAUGGAUUUCGUUCUUCCUAUUGAAUAGAAGGAUAAAACAGUUUUUGUAUUCGGCUAGAUCUUAUGUCCACUGGGAAGAAUAGUUGGCUUUAUUGGAGCUUUGUACUGUAAAGCCACUGGUGGAAAUAGGCGUAAUGCUUCACAUAGUCCACCAUGUAGAUAAACAAGUUUCUUUAGCUCGUCUUUGUUGGAAAAUUUCCAUUUUCUUGUUUCACCAACUUGUAAAUUUGUCAUGAUUUCUUCUCGAAUCUUGUUUUCUUCGAUCGGAUUUGUUGCUAGAAGCCAAAAAAACCAUGUAAGAGCUGCACUUACGGUGUCUUUACCAGAAGAGAUUAAAUUCAGCACGGUGUCUUUCCAUACAUAUUCUGUUGAAUAUUUGUUCAAAAUCAAUGGAAUGAUAAUGGACUAAUUGUUGGGCUCAAUUAUGGAAUUNNNNNNNNNNNNNNNNNNNNNNNNNNNNNNNNNNNNNNNNNNNNNNNNNNNNNNNNNNNNNNNNNNNNNNNNNNNNNNNNNNNNNNNNNNNNNNNNNNNNNNNNNNNNNNNNNNNNNNNNNNNNNNNNNNNNNNNNNNNNNNNNNNNNNNNNNNNNNNNNNNNNNNNNNNNNNNNNNNNNNNNNNNNNNNNNNNNNNNNNNNNNNNNNNNNNNNNNNNNNNNNNNNNNNNNNNNNNNNNNNNNNNNNNNNNNNNNNNNNNNNNNNNNNNNNNNNNNNNNNNNNNNNNNNNNNNNNNNNNNNNNNNNNNNNNNNNNNNNNNNNNNNNNNNNNNNNNNNNNNNNNNNNNNNNNNNNNNNNNNNNNNNNNNNNNNNNNNNNNNNNNNNNNNNNNNNNNNNNNNNNNNNNNNNNNNNNNNNNNNNNNNNNNNNNNNNNNNNNNNNNNNNNNNNNNNNNNNNNNNNNNNNNNNNNNNNNNNNNNNNNNNNNNNNNNNNNNNNNNNNNNNNNNNNNNNNNNNNNNNNNNNNNNNNNNNNNNNNNNNNNNNNNNNNNNNNNNNNNNNNNNNNNNNNNNNNNNNNNNNNNNNNNNNNNNNNNNNNNNNNNNNNNNNNNNNNNNNNNNNNNNNNNNNNNNNNNNNNNNNNNNNNNNNNNNNNNNNNNNNNNNNNNNNNNNNNNNNNNNNNNNNNNNNNNNNNNNNNNNNNNNNNNNNNNNNNNNNNNNNNNNNNNNNNNNNNNNNNNNNNNNNNNNNNNNNNNNNNNNNNNNNNNNNNNNNNNNNNNNNNNNNNNNNNNNNNNNNNNNNNNNNNNNNNNNNNNNNNNNNNNNNNNNNNNNNNNNNNNNNNNNNNNNNNNNNNNNNNNNNNNNNNNNNNNNNNNNNNNNNNNNNNNNNNNNNNNNNNNNNNNNNNNNNNNNNNNNNNNNNNNNNNNNNNNNNNNNNNNNNNNNNNNNNNNNNNNNNNNNNNNNNNNNNNNNNNNNNNNNNNNNNNNNNNNNNNNNNNNNNNNNNNNNNNNNNNNNNNNNNNNNNNNNNNNNNNNNNNNNNNNNNNNNNNNNNNNNNNNNNNNNNNNNNNNNNNNNNNNNNNNNNNNNNNNNNNNNNNNNNNNNNNNNNNNNNNNNNNNNNNNNNNNNNNNNNNNNNNNNNNNNNNNNNNNNNNNNNNNNNNNNNNNNNNNNNNNNNNNNNNNNNNNNNNNNNNNNNNNNNNNNNNNNNNNNNNNNNNNNNNNNNNNNNNNNNNNNNNNNNNNNNNNNNNNNNNNNNNNNNNNNNNNNNNNNNNNNNNNNNNNNNNNNNNNNNNNNNNNNNNNNNNNNNNNNNNNNNNNNNNNNNNNNNNNNNNNNNNNNNNNNNNNNNNNNNNNNNNNNNNNNNNNNNNNNNNNNNNNNNNNNNNNNNNNNNNNNNNNNNNNNNNNNNNNNNNNNNNNNNNNNNNNNNNNNNNNNNNNNNNNNNNNNNNNNNNNNNNNNNNNNNNNNNNNNNNNNNNNNNNNNNNNNNNNNNNNNNNNNNNNNNNNNNNNNNNNNNNNNNNNNNNNNNNNNNNNNNNNNNNNNNNNNNNNNNNNNNNNNNNNNNNNNNNNNNNNNNNNNNNNNNNNNNNNAAAAAAAAUAGAAUUUUAGUUGAAAUGAUAAACGUCAUGUUAAAUUUUGCUAAGUUGUCAUUCAGUUUGUGGGGUGAAGCAUUGUUGAGUGUAUGUAAAAUACUAAAAGGGAUUCCUUCAAAAUUUACAAAGAUUUCUCCUUAUGAAUUGUGGAAAAGAAGAAAACAUAACAUUGGAUAUUUCAAAGUGUAGGGGUAUCUUACAUAUUGUAAGAACACGAACCCGAACACGACCAAGUUGGGUCCAAGAGGCAUUAAAUGUGGCUUUGUUGGAUAUGCUAGUAAUAUCAAAUCAUAUAGAUUAUCAAAUUUGGAGACCAAUGUGAUAAUUGAAUCCAAUGACGUAGAGUUCUUUCAGAUUUCACUAUUUUCCGAUAAUAAACUAAAGAAAAUUUCAAGUUCUAGUGGAGUGCAAGAUGAAACAUCUUCUAAAGAUGUUAAUGACUCUAGUACCUUGAAGAAGAAAAAGAACUUGAAUUGAGAAGCCUUUAUGGCCGUAUAAAAUUGACUCUCAAUUUAUUUCAUUUCACUUAGUAGAGAGAAGUGAGAAAAAUGUUGUAAGAACAAUUUCUUUUGAUCUACAAGUGAAAAUCAUUCCUAAGACUUAUAGAGAGGCUAUGGCUUCUUGUGAUAGCGUCUUUUGGAAAGAAGUAAUUAAAGAUGAAAUGUAUUCAAUUAUGUCAAAUAAUACAUGAGAACUUGUCGAUUUACCACUCGAAUCCAAACCUAUUGUAUGUAAAUAGGUAUUUAUGAGAAAGUAUAAUGUUGAUGGUUCUCUUAAUACCUUCAAGGCCAAACUAGUAGCUAAAUUUUAUCGACAAAAUGAAGGAAUAUACUAUUUUUUGAUACUUAUGCAUCAGUAGUUAGAAUAACAUCAAUUAAGAUAUUAUCCGCAUUGGCUUCAAUACAUAACUUUCAUGUUCAUCAAAUGGAUGUUAAUGUGUCAUUCUUAAAUGGGGAUCUCGAUGAGGAGGUUUAUAUGGAGCAACUAGAAGGUUUUGUUUUACUUGGAAAUGAAUAUAAGGCAUGCAAGCUAGUAAAAUCAUUAUAUGGUUUGAAGCAAGUACCGAAAAAAUGGCAUGAAAAGUUUGAGUUAACAAUAAUAUCAUUCGGAUUUAAACAUAAUAGCGUAGAUAGAUGUUUAUAUUCUAAAGUAUGUGAUGAUUACGUGACAUUUAUAUACUUGUAUGUUGACAAUAUUUUGAUUAUAAGUAAGCACAUGGAUGGUAUAAAAGAAACGAAGAGGUUUUUAUCUUCCACAUUCAAGAUGAAGGAUCUUGGACAUGUUAAUACCAUUUUGGGUAUCAAAAUCACAAAGACUAGUUGGGGUUAUCAUCUAAGUCAAUUUCAUUAUAUCGAGAAUGUGAUAAACAAAUUCAAACACUUGAACAUUAAAGAAUAUAGUACCACAAUUAAUCCAAGUUCAAAACUCGUAAAAAAUGAUGGAAGGAAAAUUGCUCAAUUGGAAUAUGCUAGUGCUAUUUGAAGUCUUAUGUAUGCAGUUCAAUGUACAAGACCAAAUAUAACAUACGAAAUUAGUAAACUUAGUAGAUUUUCUUGCAAUCCAAGUAAUGAUCAUUGGAGAGCCAUUAAGAGAGUUCUUGGAUACUUAAAGAAAAUCAAGAACUUAGGUCUACAAUAUGAUAAUUUUCGGCGGUAUUAGAAGGAUUUACUGAUACUAGUUGGAUAUCUAGCACGGGUGAAAUUGAAUCCAUAUCAAGUUGGAUGUUUACUCUAGAAGGGGGUGCUGUUUCUUGGAAAUCAAAGAAACAAACAUGCAUAACACACUCGACCAUGGAAUCUAAAUUUGUAGCACUAUCAGAUACUGGGAAAGAGGCUGAGUAGAUUAAGGAUCUCUUUUAUGAAAUACUUUCGAGGUCGAAGAAUAUUUCUUCAAUACCUAUCAUGUGUGAUAGUCAAGUCACAUUAGCAAAAGCAUACAAUGGAAAGUCUAGACAUAUGAGUCUAAAAGAUGACUACAUAAGGAAAUUAAUCAAAAAUGGAAUAAUUUCACUAAGUUAUAUAAGAUCAAUUGAGAAUUUAGCGAAUCCUUUGACUAAUCCUCUAAAUAGAGAUUUAGUAGUGUCUACUUCGAGUAGGAUGGAUUUGAAACUCCUUAAUUAAAAUGGUCCACCAAUGACGACAACUCUACCCGUCAUUGCUCAAAAAGUAAUUCACGGGUUCAAAGGGUAACUGAUAAGAGUGCAAAAUAUCAUAAUUUUUCCCUCUUAAUUAUUGCAUUCGUGUUACUAUUUGAUACCAAAAUGAAUUUAUUAUACUUAUACUUUGAUUCAGGUAGCAUCUUGGUAGAAAAAUUGAAAUUUAGAAGAAAAGAGCAAAAAAGGACCAAAAUGAAAGAAAGUGAAAGUUUAAGGACCAAGUUGCAAAUAAUACAUAAUGAGACGGGCAAUGGAAUGAUGAUUCAAGAAAUCUAGGAGUCAAUUGGGUGUAAUCUGAAGUCAAAAGAAGUGAAAUAUGACCAAAACAUCUUCACAAAUCAAUUUUCAAUAGAAAAAGUUAUGCAUCGAUUUUCAGCCUUAUAUUGGGACCUAUUUUUGACAUGGAAAACGAUCAAUCUAGAAGAUGAUAUCUGAGUCAAAUUUUUAGUCCUUUGUGUUAUCUUUUCAACGCAACUUGAAUCACCUUAAUUGGACAUUAGGAGAGAAAGUUAUGACUAAAAAACUAAAAGUUUUCCGACGGAGAAAAUGGCAAUAACCAUGCGGCCGCAUGGUUAUAAAGCCAUGCAGUCGCACAAGCACCUCCAGGAGAUUCCAGAGGCCAAAAUGUUUCUACCAUGUGACCGCAACACUUAUAACCAUGUGGUCGCAUGGUUAUUCCUCGAUGCUGAAAUUUCUGUUUCCUUGAUCAACUCAACCACUUAUGGAAACAUGCUUUUCACACAUUUUUAAACCCUAAUCUCGACCAAAAUGCCUACCAUUCAUUAUAUAUCACUUUUCUUUGGUUUUUGGCUCAAGAAAUCCAUGGAGAACUAAACUUAUUGGUGAAGCCAUGAAGGAACUCUGUUAGAUUUGGAAAUUUUCAUGUCUUUUCUUGCUUAAAUGUGUUCUUUCAUUGUUAAACAGUUCUAGAUUUAGAUUUCUUAUUCUUAUGAACAUGUUUUGAGGUUGGUUUAAUUUGUAUUAAAUUUUCAUGGAUUCAAUCACGUUUUUUUCCAUUGAAUAAUUGAAGUACUUAUUGAAUUUCAAUCUUAAAUCUUCUAUUGGUGUGAUUCUUUAUCAUUAUAUACUUGAUGUAUAUAAUCGCUUUUGGAUCUAAUUUCAAUGGAUUAUUGUGGAAUUAUAUUAUGAAAGAAAUCUAAGUUUGGGGAAUUAUUGUGGAAUUGAAUAGGUUUGAAGGUUGAAUUUUCCAAUUAAAGUGUUGGGAUGAAAACAUUUAAUUGAGCAUUUUCGUGCAAAAAUUGACAUUGAUUGAACCAAUUUAAUCGAGGAAAUUCCGGCGCUUCACUAUUUCAUAUAUUGAUAUUAAACUUUCACUUCAAUUAUUCCAAUCGACAAAUUGUUUUCACACAAAUCAUGAUAAAAACCCUAAGCUUUUGAUCCUUUAAAUAAUUUUCCAUCUCCCUAUGGAUACGACACCCCAAAACUGUACUAUAAUCAUCGCGUUAAUCUUUGAGCGUAAUCAGUAACAACAAGUCAUUCGAUAUGUGGAUAGUUGCAGCAUUAUUUAAAUCCAUAAUGACCCUAUCCUAAUUAAAUAAUGUGGUUGUUACUGAAGUGAGGUUUGAGCUUAAAACUCUUAAUGAAGUUUAGUGCUAAAACACAAGUAUCUUUAAAAGUAACAAAGAUAUUGGAAGAACUUCACCUAAAUGAACUUCAAGGUGGUGCCGCCUCAAUAGAGAGUUGGAGUUUCACUCUUAAAAGUUCAUUGAAUAGGAUGAGCGCAAGGCCAUAAAAGUGCUAAGCGAGUUGAGGAACUUGAGAACACGUGAUACUUAUGUGCGUGUUCUUACCGGUAUUAUCACAAGGAAUAAUUGGUUCAAAGCUUCUAUGCUACCUCUGAUUCCGACUUUACUUUGUUUGAAUUACACUAUGGUUAAAUUCAAAUCGAAAGAUAUCUAAUCCUUAUGCAUAAGUGUCGUCAUUUUGAAUAUGUGAUCGUAUUGAUUUUGAACAAGUGGAGGAUAAAUCAAUGAAAUAAUAAUGGCCAAAUUGUUAGGCUCAAUUAUGGAAUUGGUAGAAUAAAAAAAAAUUGAAAAAUGUAAAGUUUGAUUAUUUGCCUAUGCAUAUGCACAGACUUAAUUUUGUGCAUACACAAGAUGUAUUUUGGCAAAAUCAGAAUCAAAUUUGCUUCUACUAUGCGCAGGCAAGGUUUAUACUAUGUGUACGCAUAGUGUUAAAAAAUAGCAGUUGGCUAAUUUUUCAAUUUGAAAUUUGGAAGCCAUUUUGAAUUAAAAGUUGCCCUUUUUAUCUUAUUUUGGCAAAUUUUCGUGAUGUAUUGAUUGAGGCCUAUAAAUAGGUGAUGAAUUAUGAAAACAAAUACAUUAUAGACAUUGAAAACAUCUUACUAUCCAUACUUUGUUCCAAAAACAAUCAAGUCCUGAUUUACAUUCAUAUUCAUUCUAUCUGAUUUACAUUCAUAUUCAUUCUAUUUUCGUGUUUUUCAAGUUUUGGAAGAAUUUCACUUUGUGCUUUGGUGAAAUUCUUUACAAGGUUUGUUACAAUCCUUCAAACUAUUUGUCGGAAUACUCUUAAGCAUAUCAUAAACACUGGAGAAGUGGCAAAUAAUGCUUUAGGACAGCGAUCCCGCGUUCAAACCUUCACAUUUGUUGUUACAAAUUUUUGGUUUUGUUUCUAUUGUUGCCAUACUUUUGUGAAUUUUCUUUUUGAUUCUUCUUCAUCCCUCCAAUAUCUACAACAUAUUCAGGCAUGUUAUCGGAUGCAUCACUCUUUUCUCCUGCUGCUUUCAUGAAACUUGUUAACAAGUCAAAAUCCUCAUUUUCUUGUUGAGUGGUUUGGUCUGCACAAUUAAUUUUCAAGCGCUUUAGAGAGAUGCAAUGCAUAAAAAAUUGAUUGACGGUGUCCAUCGCUUUACUAAGCUUCUUCUCUUUGUCAAUUUGGAGCCAUUUUUGAAGCUUCCAGUAAGUUUUUGGGAGAAUAUGCCUAUAUGACAAAUGUGACAAAUCGUUGUGCAGUGAAGCCGGAUCAUGGCUUAAAAUCAAAAUGCAAGUGCAAUCAAAGGUAAAACGUUGAAAUAAUUCUUGUAUAUCCACUUCAUUCCUCACCUUUGCCGCAUUCUCCAGAAUUGGGACGAGCCCUUCUUCCACCUUGUUUCGGCUAGUUGUAGCUACAAAAUUUUGAAACCCCUGUUGAUUGACUAAUGACAUAAUGGUUCUCCUAUAGUUUUCCCACGAUUCUAAUUUCGCGUUGAAUAUCCUGUUGGAAUUUUUUUCGAAAAUUGGUUGUGACCAAUUUUAAAUGAGUAUUUAAGUGAAAUUCGUUAUUUGGUAAAUGAGAAAUUAAGUCAAGAACCUGUUUGGGAGUGAUUUUGAAAAUUGAUUUUUUGACCAUUAGAAGAAAAGUGGGGUCCACCUGUAAGAGAAGAAGUCAAAUAUGACGGCUGGAAUAGUGAAAUAACGGUCAAAAAAUCAAUUUUUUGGAUGAAAAAAUCGGGCCCAAACAGGCCCCAAAUGUAAACCGCUUAAUACUGAAAAUUAUUGGAAAAAUCGUAUAGAAUAUUGUAGAAUAUUCUAGAAAUAUAUGGAGGAAAAAAUGUGAUUUUUCGUAUGAAAGAUCAUGACUCUUGGUAUGGGUAUAAUUAAUACCCAAUAAUUAUGAAUUCCAAGAGAUGUGUUUCUUGGUAUAGUUGUGUCUUUUGACACACCUUUCAACUGCUAAAUAUAUAGACCCCAUGUGUUUGAAUUUUAUUUAUUCAAGAAAAGUCAUAGAUAUCAUAUCAUUUCAUUCCAAUUUACACUUUGGUUUUGCAUAAAAUAGUUGCAUCAAAGUCACGGUCAUGGUCAUGGUAGAGAGAAAAUUUCGUUCGAGUUCGCUGGUCGAAGUCAUUUGAAGUGCUCCUAUGGCUCGACUUCAUCGUUGUAUCUUGGGAGAUGAUUGUCGAAAAAUCGUUAGCACUGAUGCGAGGCAAAUUCAUCUUAAGGACUAAGUGUCCAAUACUCACCUCGACCAAAAAUUCAUCACUUGCAUCUUCAUCCUCAUUUUCUGAUUUCCUUUUAUUAUGAUUAAUCUAAUUUAUAUAUUUAUAUUGCAAGGUUCGAUCGUUCAAGAAUCAAAAGAGAAAGUUCCACAUUCAUAUUCUUCGGAAUCGGUAAAUUCUCAUUUUUCCUUAUUAAAUCCAAUUUCAGUAAGUUGGAAUACGUUUUGAUUUCAUGCAAAUAAACGAUAUGUUUAUUGUGAAUAUAAUAUGCACAAUUAUCGGUGUAUUUUUUCAACAAUCUUAAGAUGAAUUUUGUGUUGUUGUGCAUAAAAUAUUCUGUUAGAAAUUAAAAUAUAUAUAUCCGUAUCACGUAUUAGAAUUUAUGCAUGUUCGACUAGUACUAUGCAUGGCAUCAUUUUAAACUGUUGUAAUUUGGACCAGCUGGUCGGUUAUAUCUCUGAACAAUGUGCUGGGACGUUUAACUCAAUGAGUGUUUUGUGCAUGAGGAAUUUUGAUUGGGCCUUGUGCAAAACUAAAUAUUAUAUCCAUAAGUCUUUGAGUGCACAUUCUUUUGUUUUACGUUCGGGAAUUUGAUAAGUUACGUAUUCAAAUAAAUGAAAUUUAUUUGGGAUGAAAACAGUUUAUUAUAAUGCAUCUUACGGGUUGUCUCCUCCAAUUCUAAUUUCGCAUGUGAACCGAUACCUGUUGAGUUCCGGAAAAAUCAUUAAGUUGUGAACUUAAUCAUGUUGUAACUACCGACUAUUGUAGUAUGCCGUCCAUUUAUUUAUAAUAUGAUGGAAAAUAAAUUAUUGCAUUGGAAGUCUAUGGAAAGAUGUAAAUAAAAUGCAUGGCUACCGUCUGUUCCUAAUUACACUCCAUGUGUCAAUCGUAUAUUUGCAUAAGUCUUUGCAUGGUUGGAAUAAUUGCAUGCAAAAUAAUUUAGAUUUGAAAUUGGGUUUAAAAAAUGUUGGAUAUAUGUUGUUCAAAAGACAAUAAACCUGUGCGUGGAAUGAAGAAGAGAACUAAAAAUCCAUAACAAAUGUUUCUGCUUUAAAUCCAUUUCUAAUGAAUUUGCUAUUGGAAAUUACCAAGACCAUAUUUAUUGAUAUUGAUCGUGUCAAUUCAUAAUAAAGAAUUCAGUUUUCAUUUUCAGUUAAUUGGUGGAAGUUUCAAAAGUGAAACGAGAACAUUUAAGUUGGUCAUGAUGACUGUUCAAAUCCGUCUUCAGUUUCCUUCAUCUUUCCAUGUGUAGUUUAUCCUUAUGCAUGUGAUGAUUAUUGCUUAAUAUAUAUAAUUUGCAAAGGAAGUCCACUGAUGAGAGAUUCAAAUAAUUAGUGAUUUACGAGUAAGAGAAUUAAAAUCUGUCUUACAUGUGGGUAUGUAUCACGAGGCCACUUUUGCAUUAGGAUGUUGCCUAAUUUUUCUAGUGCUACUGUGAAACAUUCAAAUCCAGAUUUGUGAUGUGGAUAAUAGUCUUUUGAUGUUCCGUGAGUAUGGAAAAUUAUGUGUGUUCAUUUUAUAGCUGCCAAAUACGGUAGGCUUCCAUAAGGAUGGCAACGAGCCGAGCCGAGCCGGCUCAUGAGCCAAAGAUCAAGGCUUUGGCUCAACUCGAGCUUUUUGAAAACGAGCUUUUUUUGGCCUGAGCCAAGCCGAGCAAAAGCUCGGCCAAAAAAUCAAGGCUUGGCCCAAGCUUCGAGCCGACUCGUUUUUUCCCCUUUUUUCCUCUUAAAAGGCAGCUGACUGCCUUUGUAACAAAGGCAGCAACUUGCUGACUUUUGAGAGGAUUUUUUUUGCGAGCUGGCCUGCAAGCCAUACGGGCCGACGGUGAGCUCGGACCGACAACCCAAGAUGGGGCUCGAUUUGACCGAGCCUCGAGCCGAGCCAGCUCGAGCUUUUUGCGGGUCAAGCCAUGGGCGGCCCGAGAGCUCUAGCCUUUUUGCCAUCUCUAGGCUUCCAUUUACAGUAAGCUGCUAAAUACGGUAAGUAUGUAAGCUGCCAAAUACGGUAAGCUGUCACAUACGGUAGGCUGCCAAAUACGGUAAGUUGGUAAGCUUCCAUAUACGGUAUGCGUCAAUCCGGUAAGUGACAUAUAUGGUAUGAAGUUGUAAAUCCGAUAUAUGUCCAUGGAUUUUGGUUUGAAAAUUAUACAAACCUUGAUUAAUGAUGAUAGCCUCAAUUAAUUUUAUGAAAUUAAAUGAGAUGACUUAUGCAAAAUUAUAGUUGCAUAAGAGUACGACAAAAUGUGGUUUUGUCCUAAUUAUUUUAAAGUGAAAAUUGCUUGCCCAAUUAUUGGAAUAUGAAAAUAGUUUAUAGAGCACAAAUUGUGUCUAUAGUUGGCAGUGGUGCUAGAUAUUCAUAAAAAUAAUGAUUGACAAAUGACAUUCAUUUGUAAAGGAUAAAAACUAUGUUAUGCAAAAAUUGUGAAGAAUAUUAUGAAAUAUUUUAGGAUUAAUUUCAAGAGGUAUGUCCUUUUGUAAGGUUGCGACUUUGAAAGCACAACUAGUCAAUCCAUGGUUGAUUUAUUCUUUCAAAUGUGAAUAUGGUGAAUAAUGUGAAAUGUACCUUAUUAUUUGAUGUGAAUAAUAUUAUUUGUGAAAUGUCACAAAUGUGAAAGUUUCACAUUGUUGAAGAUGCUUAUUCUUCUUCAUUGUUGAAUUUGACUUCAAUAGUGGAAACAAUUAAGUUGAUUUAUGACGACCUUAAAGAUGACCUCAAUUUAAUUUGGACGAUCAAAUUAAUAUGGUUCAUUGAAGUACAAUUUCGAAUGGAAAAUGGUUUUUUAUUCAUGUGAAGCAAUGACCACUAUUUUGAAAGUAUUUAGACUUUUACCAAGCAUCCGAUACGGAUAUUAUUUAAGUGAUAAAUGAAUUAAACUAUGAAAGAGUUGAUAAACUCUAAGUUCAAAAAUAAUCCAAAAAUGUGAGGGUUAUCAUAAAUGCUUGAGAACUUAUGUGGAAAGUUCAACUCGUGUGGGUACAACGCUACUACUUGGAUAUAUAACCCUAAUUUAAGAAUUGUGGGGGUAACUUAGUUUAAAGUUACACUUUUCUGUAUCUCUCAAGAAAAUGGAAGAGGCACCAUAUGAGUUAUGGAAAUAUCAUCCUCCUUCCUACCAACAUUUAAAAGUGUGGGGGUGUUUGGCAAAUGUCGAGGUUCUUAAGUCCAAACAAAUAAAGAUUGGUCACAAAACGAUUGAUUGUAUAUUUAUUGGAUACGCCAAUAAUAGUAGUGUAUAUCGUUCCUCAUGCACAAAUCGGAUAUAUAUGAGGUUAUCUCUACACUUGGUCCAAAUAAGGAUGAAAGCGUGUCACAACUGAUAUAUUCACAAGCAAUUAGCAAUCUAUUGUAUAUUACGAAAUGCACUCGAUCGGAUAAUGUUUUUACUGUAAAUAAACUUGAAGAUUCACGAGUAAUCCAGGCCAUGAUUAUUGGUUGGCAAUGACAUGGGUCCUUCGGUAUCUAAAAUAUACCAUGACCUAUGGAUUAUAUUUCACAAGAUAUCCUGCAGUAUUAGAAAGAUAUUGUGAUGCGAUGGUAUACACUAAGUCUAUGGAUGAAAAGGGAUGAAAGCCUUAAAGUGGAUGAAAUGGGAUGAAAGCCGAUCAUGACGAUUGUUUGGAGAUAGAAGAACAAUUGAAAUAUUUAAGAAUAUUCAUAAAGUUCAAAUGCAUUGUAAUGCUUUAAUGACGAGAUUGAAGACCCAUGUACGAAAUCCACUAUUAAAUAUGAUAGACUAGUGUAAGGAUUUGAUAGAAGUCCUCCAACAUUAUUUGGAAUUGAUAAAGCUAAUAAGAAGCAUGUAGCUUCAUGAGAUGAUUUCUUGGUGGUGACAAUGUAUAUCAAUCAAAUGAUUAGAUCGUUGGCUAGCUAAAUUUGAAAAGAUACUAAGCCACAUGUAAUGGUCAGUCUAGAUGUGUAAGUCGUAGGCAUAAUACCAUAAGCAGUUGAUCUCAUUUGUGUAAACUUGUGGAUCCAUUUAUAUAUGUUUACCAAGAGAUCAAGUAUACUGCAUAUCGAAGGGAACGAGAUUAAGCCUAUUGAGUAAGAGUCCUUAUGAUGGUAACCCUACCUGUUGACUGGAGAUCUCAAGAUCUUGGUUCAAAAAGACAACUAAGUUAUGAGGAUUUCAUGAAGCACUUAGGAAACUAAUUUUCUAACUCAUUCCUAUGAUACCAAAGUUCUUUCUGCAGAGUGGUUGGAGGUUAAGGUAAACUUUUAAAGAUUCAUAUAUCUUGAUUAAAUCAAGUAGAGUAAGGCAGAAUACUCUUAAUAGGAGAUCACCUAUGUAAGUGUGAAGGGGGCCGCUUCAAUGAGAAUUAUUUAAGGCUUGAAUUCUCUAAACACUUUCAGAACCAAGAUGUGUUCAGGGCUAAAAUGAACCAAGUUAUGAGAACCAUGAACAGUUUAUGGGAGACAUUGUGUGAGUACUGUUGUCUUGGUUUACACCAACAGCUGAUGGUUCAAGAACAUCACGUUCACCAAUUAGCUAGUAAAUCCGAUGGUAUUUCACUAAGAGUGUUUCAAAGCCAGAAGCUACCUCACCUGAUGUAGUGUUUUUCCGCUCUCUCUACCAGUGUCUGCAUAGACAUUUGCAUUAAUUUUCAUUCAUGUGGGGGAUUGUUGGAAUUUUUUUCGGAAAUUGGUUGUGACCAAUUUUAAAUGAUUAUUUAAGUAGAAUUCGUUAUUUGGUGAAUGAGAAAUUAAGCCAAAUGUAAACCGCUUAAAUACUGAAAAUUACUGAAAAAAUCAUAUAGAAUAUUGUGGAAUAUUCUAGAAAUAUAUGGAGGAAAAAUGUGACUUUUCGUAUGAAAGAUCAUGACUCUUGGUAUGGGUAUGAUUAAUAUUCAAUAAUUAUGAAUUCCAAGAGAUGUGUUUCUUGGUAUAGUUGUGUCUUUUGACACACCUUUCCAAUUGCUAUAUAUAUAGACCCCAUGUGUUUGAAUUUUAUUCAUUCAAAUAAAGUCAUAGAUACCAUAUCAUUUCAUUCCAAUUUACAUUUUGGUUUUGCAUAAAAUAUUUGCAUCAAAGUCACGGUCAUAGUAAUGGUAGAGAGGGAAUUUCAUUCGAGUUCGUUGGUCGAAGUCAUUUGGAGUGCUCCUAUGGCUCGACGUGAUUGUUGUAUCUUGGGAGAUGAUUGCCGGAAAACCGUUGCAGCGAUGCGAGGCAAAUUCAUCUUAAGGACAAAGUGUUCAACACUUACCUCGACCAAAAAUUCAUCACUUGCAUCUUCAUCUUCAUUUUCUGAUUUCCUUUUAUUAUGAUUUGAUUUCAGAAAAUGAUUAAUCUAAUUUAUUUAUUUAUAUUGCAAGGUUUAAUCGUUCAAGAAUCGAAAGAGAAGGUUCCACAUUCAUAUUCUUUGGAAUCGGUAAAUUCUCAUUUUUCCUUAUUAAAUCCAAUUUCAGUAAGUUGGAAUACGUUUCGAUUUCAUGCAAAUAAACGAUAUGUUUAUUGUGAGUAUAAUAUUUACAAUUAUCAGUGUAUUUUUCCAACAUAUCCCAUUUCCUAAACUAUCUAAUAUCUACUUAAAUUCAGGACCUUUUGUGAAUUUUUGAAAGUUUUUGCUCAAUACGUAACGAACAUUAGCUGGAUCACAAGUCACCAACAUGUCCAUGUUGCCAAACCGUGGGCCUUUAAACCAAACAGUGGUGGAGCUCUCAAGAAGCUCGGUGAUAUAGUCGUGAAUUCUGUGAAUAUUGAAAAUUAGCAAUGGCAUCAUACCAAAAAGUGGCAAGUUUAUAUGCAGUAAUCUUUUCUUUCUUUUUCCAUCGAAGUUUCUGUAGGAAAGAAAAAUAGCAGACAAAAUUACAAGCAAUAGUAAGACGAAGUUUAUGAUGGCCAACAUAUCUGGUGCAUGUAUUCUGAAAAUCAAAGGUUAAAUGGUGAGGUUUCAUAAAUUUUGGCUGAUAAUGAUAUGCUGUGUGUCUUGUGGGUCUUUUAUAAUGGGCAUUUCUUCAAAUGAGCAAGUCAUUUUCGAGGACAUCAUAGUUAUUUCUGCCAUUUGGCUGGAGGUAAUUGUAAUGGACAAGCGUCCUGCUUCAUUGGUUGCAAAUGUCAUGUUUUCUGGCAAGAAUUAAAUGAGUAACUAUGAGAACUUUGGUAAUCUCAAACCAUAUACAUACAUCUUGCACGAGUCAAACACUCUUUGCAUUCGUCAUCUUUCCAUACAAAGUGUUGUAACUUUAAGUUUUAAUAAGUUUUAAAUUUCAAAAUUAAAAGUAAUUUGAAUUUCAGUUUUCAAUUUAAAUUUUAGUACAAAUUUGAAACUCAAAAUUUAGAUUGUAACUUAUAUUUAAAUAAGAUUUAUUUUCAUGAAUAUGGGGAUUGAAUUUCUCCCUAUAAAAGGGAGUGAUUUUCAUGUAGUUAAACAUCACAUGGAAAAGAUAAUUUCAUAACAAUACUUUCUAUACUUAUAUAUUAUUUUCUAUAGUUUUGGCAACUUGAAAAUGGUUCGUUCGUUUAUCUCCCUAUGAUCGUAUCCAUAGAAGGAAAACACGCAUGUAAGUCAUGGGUUUCAUCUUGGCGUCAUGUAGUGUCAAAAAUAUUCGCACGAAAGGAAGGCAACACGACUUUAGGACAACAUUUACGACGUGAUUACUCUUCUUCUCAUAUACUCAUAUAAUUGUUGAAUUAUUUUAUUGUGCUAUAUAAAUUGAUUAUGUUAAUUAGUAAGUAUCUAAACACAAAUCACCCAAUUUUUUCAACAAUCUAAAGUCGUGUUGGUGAUUAUGUGUUUAGAGAGAUAUGCAUAAUCUUUAAAAUGUUUACUAUUUUUGGAUACUUGUUAUUUUGUGUAAACACGUGAGAUGUGAUGUAGCAUACAUGUAUUAUAUUCUAAUAUCUAUCCUUACAAUAUUGUGGUCAUUAUCUUCAACAACGGUGUAAAGGUUAAGAAAUGGAUUUCUGCUGACAAGUCGUUGCAGCUCACGCUCUCUUUAUGGUAUAUAUUUUGCUUUCUAGCCACAAAUAGGGGCACCAAUUCAUGUCGAUGCUCCUGGCCGAAAUGAUAUGAGGAUGUUUGAUGAUGCACGUAAAAGGAUAAAAAUUAUCUGUCUACAUGGACACAAUGUUCUAAAUUGUUAAAUAGCUCUGUAUUUACAAUUCGUUUUAUGCUCAUUUGGAAAACAAGAUACAAGUAUUGUGGAAAAAAUGAAGCAAAGGGAGACGAUAUGUAAGAAAAAGAAUGGCAGUUAGGUUUGUCUCGUUGACAUUUGCCAUGACGGGUGCGCUCACAUGACAGGUCAAAAACUUAAUGAAAUAUUUAUUUUGGUUUCGAGGAGAGAUGGUACCGGAAUUUUCGCCCGGCUCUCUCCUCUGUGUGGUGCCUUUUUUUGCUUUUGCCUCAUGUUUCUAUUUCUGGAAAUAUUUUCUGAUUGGUCCUAGAACGAGUUGUGCAUUAUUUCUGUCUUUUUCUUGACCUUUGGAUAUCUAGUGAAAGAAUAUGUGAUUGACUGAAAUUUAAACCUAUGGUGAAACAAAUUGGAAUUUUUUCUCAACCUUGUUUGGAUGUAAGGGAUGAUAAAUAACAUUAGAUGGAAGAAUAUCUAUAAUUUGUGAAAAAUGUGCUGAAUUAAUAUUUUAAAAGAGUAUAAUUUCAUAACUAAUCUGCAUGAUUUUAUUUACGUCCCAUGUGUAACGUGUAAAGGAAGUUGAAGUCUUUCAAAAUUAAAACCUUCUCAAAAUUUCAGUUUUGAUUUUUGAUUUUCAAUUUUAGUAGAAAGUUGAAAAUCUUAAUUGAUGAGUGUAACUUAUCUUUUAAAUGUACUAGUUGUGGGUAGUAUGACAAGAUAUUGUUGUAACAUACAUAUUAAUAAGUUUUAAAUUUCAAAAUUAAUAAUUUUUUUUUAAAAAUUUCAGGUUUAUAUUCAAUUUCAGAUUUAAUAUAAAAUUAAAAUAUCAUUACAUUAGGGGGGUUGUUUGAGCCCAAUUUUUCUUAAAAAAUUGCAUUUUGAAAUAUUGUUGUGAUGGAAAAUAUGUGGUUAAAAAAUAAAGAAUAGUUUUGAAUUUGCGUGUAAUAUUAUUUUUAUAGAAAAAUAUGUGGUUGAAAUGGUGUCAAAUCACUGUUGAAAAAUGUAUUUUGAUGAAAAAAUGGACCCAAACAAGGGCUAGAUGUAACCUCUUUUGAUGAAUUAAUUUUCAUUAUGGUAGGGGUUAAAACUUCUACAUUAUGAAAGGGACAUGAAAUUUCAUUGUUUUUUUUAGGUUUAAUAAAAUUAUUUCUCCGAUUAAUUAUCAUUUUCUCCCUUUUGUCUUCGCUUUUGCAUGCAUAUUAAUUUGUAAGAUAAUUAGCACAAAGCGUCUUUACCUUUCAAUGUUAUUAUGUAAAACAUCCAUACCUUUCAUUUUUUUGUACUUUUACUCUUGCCUUCACAUUUUAUUGCGAAAAUCAUCAUUUUCAUCAAAUUUCUCAUGUAAAAUGAUCAAUAUACCCCAUAUUUAAAUAAAAUGAUAAAAAAGAAAAGAAAAGUUAAAGAAUAAAUUGUAAUCAUACUCCCAAAUUUUUUUAAAAAGUGCAAAUGAGUUCACAUAAAUUCUUAAAAUGGUAAUUAGCAAAAAAUGUCCAUACCUUUCAUCAUUAUUGCGCAAAACGUCCAUACCUUUAUUUUUUGACAUUUUCAUCCUUAUUUUUAUAUUUCAUUGCAAAAAUCACCAUUUUUAUCCAUUUUCUCAAUUAAAAGUUGUAAAAUGACAAAUAUACCCUCAUCUUUAAAUAUAAAAAUAAGGAUGAAAAUAUCAAAAAAUAAAGGUAUGGACGUUUUGCUCAAUAAUGAUGAAAGGUAUGGAUUUUUUUGCUAAUUACCAUUUUAAUAAUUUAUGUGAACUCAUUUGCACUUUUUAAGCCCCCGUUUGGCCCCCAUUUUGUGAUAAUAAAAAUUGGAAGAUUAAUAUUUUUUUUAAAAUGAGUGGUUGAAAAAGAAAGAAAUUUUUUUUAUUUACGUGUAAUAUUAUUUUAUGGAAGAUUGUGUGGUUGAAAAUAGGAGAGAGAAAAAUAAAAUGUAAUGGAAUGAAAAUUAAUGAGGGCCAAAUGGGGGCUAAAAAAGGGGGCUAAAAAAGAUUGGGAGUAUGAUUGCAAUUUAUUCUUUAACUUUUCUUUUCUUUUUUAUCGUUUGAUUUAAAUAUAGGGUAUAUUGGUCAUUUUACACGAGAAAUUUGAUGAAAAUGAUGAUUUUCGCAAUAAAAUGUGAAGAUAAUGGUUAAAAUGCCAAAAAACAAAAGGUGAGAACAUUUUGUACAAUAACAUUGAAAGGUAAGAAUAUUUUGUUCUAACUACCCUAAUUUGUAAGAUAAUUUCAAUUUACUUGGAGAUAUUGAAUAAUUGCACGCACGUGUAUGUGUAUAAAUUAAUACUCACCUAAAUGAGUACAUACUGAUAAAUAUAAGAUUGUGAUUGAUUUUACGAGUGUGACGUUUGACCAUGAAGCAUGUGUAGAACUGAGAAACAUGAAUCCUAAAAAACAAGAAAUGUGCAUCAUGAUUUCUUAAGAAAUUAAGCUAGAAAGGUUAAGGACUUUUGACACAUGUAAAAUAUUGGUAUGUUCUUUUUAUGAUAUCUUUUAAGACCUUAUUUGAUUACUUGUAAUCACAGAAAAUGUGAUUUGGUGUGUCUGAAUAUUUUGUUUGGAAAAAGCACGCUACCUAUUUAGGUGUUAUAUUUUAAAAUUAAAAUGAAAUUUAAAGAUAUGAUACAUAUAUUUCUAUUGUGUAAUAAAAUUUGUGAUGUGUAUGUAUUGAGAUGGAAAUAGGAGAUUAAACUAUUUUAGACACAUGAAAAUUUAACUUUCUGAACGUGGCUUGUAAAAAUGUCGAAAGAAAAUAGGCUCAUGGAUGAAUUGGAAAAAUUGUUACUUUUGUUUUGAUGUAUGCUUAAUAUGAGCUUUUGUUCUUUUGAGUCAAAUAGGUAAUUGACAACUAAAAUGAUUUUAUUAACCCCUAUUUAGACAUGGAAAGAUAACUUUAUUUUCCAAAAUAAUAAUAAAAUAAAAUAAAAAGGGGCAUGUUUGCAUAGAUAAAAAGUUAAAAGAUAACAAAUAAAUUUUAAGUGACAAUUUAAAUUUGUACAAUGAAGAUUUAAUUGUCAAUUAAGACUUUAAAGUUAGUUCGCGAAAUUCUCCAUAUUGCAUGUUUUUUUUCUCUCCAAGAUAUAGUGCAAAUAUCUUAAAUCUAAGAGGCAAAAUGUGAAUUUGAUUUGUUGGUAAUGUUUAUUUUAUUCAUGAUUCGAUGUACUUUCUAUUACUAGGCUUUGUAUGUUUCUUAGCUUAGCCCAUUGGUCUAAUUUUGGGGAUUUUUAUAUUAUAAUAUCAUUAGGUUUUAUUUAAAUUAUAAUGUUAUUAGUAUUGUUAAAUACGACUUUAUAUAUUUCUGUCUAAUUUAUGUAAUGGUGAUUUAUACUUUAUAACCAACGGAGUGUAUAUAUUUCCAUGCAAAAUUGGACAAUUAUUUUUCAUAGGUAUUCUUUAUAUAAUCAAUUAUUUAGUCAAUUAUGUAGAUACUAGAAUAAACAUGUGCGUCAUGUUUAAUCCUGUCAAAAGAGAAAACAUAACAAUUUAUAGAUUUCAAUAAAGCACAUUAUAGAUGGCUUGAAUAUGGGGGUUAUCAAAUGGACUUUAUUAUUACACACACACACACUCUCUCUCUCUCUCUCUCUCUCUCUCUCUCUCUCACAUCUGAACGGUUGGUCAUAUUAUAUAGUUAACCAAUUUUCUUUAUAAUUACAUUUGGAUCCCAAAGUAAUCAUUUUGUUAGUAUUAGUGUGUACUUAAGAAAUUUUUUUAGCACAUCCCUAAGUUCCUAGCAUAUCUUGGAAACGUAAGAAGAUUGGCAACAAUAUUUUGCUAGUACAUGUUUAUGUAGGACAUUUUGGUAGGAUAAAGUGCAUGUGUUUCCUAUGUUCAUAUCAUAUUCAUAUAGAUGACAUGGUGGAAAACUAUGGCUAAGAAAAUUAAUUUCCACAAACUGAAUAUAUUUGAAAUGUGAGGAUGCUUAAAAUUUCACAUAAAACAUCUUAUAUGUUAUUAUUUUUUGUAAACUGACUCUUGAAAUGUGUUAAAAGUUAUAUUUAACUAUUUGCAGGUGAAAUGCAAGAGUUCAAUGGAUGCAUAUACUCAAACGUGUUAUUAAAGAAAAUAUUAAAAAUUUCAUGCAUUUAUUUGAUCAUAUUUUGAAAAUUUCUUAUAAGAUUUUGCAGAUGUGUAGAAAUACAUGCAAAGAACAAGAGCUUUGCAAAUUGAUAGUACCAUAUUAUUGUCCAAGAGGGACAUAAAUAACUUGUAGUCCAAGAUGGAUAUACAUAAAUCAUCGAGGGGGAUGGGCUUAAGCCUAUAAAGGAGUCAUAUUCGGGAGUAACUCAACCUUUGUGAUUGGAGAUUUUACAAAUAAGGUUCAAUGUGGUAGAAACAACCCGCAUUGUGUGACAUGUAAUAACACUAUUUUAUUUGUGUUCAUCCCUAUAAGGAUAGUGCUAAUAAUAAUGUAAUGUUAGAAAGGGUCUAACCUUGAAUCACUACAAGAAUUUUAUCUUUUCCCUACAAAAUUUAUUUUGUAGGGAAAAGUUUUUAUUUGCAGACAAAAAAAUUUUGUAGGGAUAUUUGUGGGACAAACAUCAAGGGAAUAGCAAACAUCGAGGGGAUAGAGUUUAGCCCACAAUUUUUGAAAUUUGUCUGCUAAAGCUUUUCCCUAUGACCCUUUGGAGAUGAAUACUAUACGUUGCGUAAGUUUUUUCCCAACAUAAUAAUUUGUCUGCUAAAGUUAAUUUUGCCUACGAAAUAAUUUCCCAACAAUUAGAAAUUUGUGGUAACAUGGUAUAGACUAUUUUGUAAGCUAAACCCUAUUUUUCCCUGCAAAUAAUUUUUUUUAUAGGGAAAGCAUGUUUGCAAACUAUUAUAAAAGAAAUUAAAUUAUUUUUACAUGGUAAUUUUUUAACGAUAUUCAAAAUAAUAUAAAGAUGCAAAAAGACUAUAUUAAUUAAAAUAUGUAAUGUCAGUCAUUGUAACAUUGAAUCCGAAACAUAUCAUCAAAACAUAAAUAAAAAUCAUUCACUAAUUAUGAAUACAUCUAAUGUGGCUCUUAUAUCAUGAACUAACAACUAUGUACUCCAAAACUUGUAGCUCGUCUGCUCAGUUAAUUAUAUAAAACUCUAAUGUUCUCUCGAAUAAUACGCACGAUCCGAGAGGUCCUAAUUUGUUUACACGUCCCUUGAGUAGGAAGAUCUAGAGUCCUUGGCACGUAUCCUGCACCUAUCCCUGCAAAUCCAAUAAUAAAAAUCGAACACGUAAAUGGAUUUCAUAUAGUAAGAAAAUUAACUUUAAAAAAAAAAAAAAAACUCACCUUAAACUCAUUUAUUUCAUCAUCCAAUGUCCUAUCAUUUCCUUCAGUUCUUCAAACGGUUUCACUUUUGCUGCACCUAUUACAUGAUAUACACAUUACCUGUUUAUACUUGCCCAAUUACUUAAAAUGCAAAAGUUUCUACUUCAACCAAGGCAUAGAGAGAUACACAUAACACACACGAAAUUUAAAAAAUUACACAAUAGAAGUCAAACAGGUUUCUCCAAUUCUAGAUUCCAAUUGCAAGCUUAGGAAUGCCAGGUAACACGCAAGAAAUUUAAAAAAAUUAAAUAAUUACUGAAGCAUAAUAUGUCUUUCCAGUUUUAUAAGAGAACAAGAGCAAGCUAUUAAAGUUCAAGCAUGUUUAGCAAUUCAUAGCCUAUGCUAAUAGGUCCAUCUCAGAAAAACAUUUUUGCAUAUACAUAUCAAUUAGUGUUUAAUUUAAAAUGUUCUGAGCCCAUCAAAACAAUCAAUGUCACUCUCGAUUGAAGAAAACGUGUAAAUCGUUAUAUACAAGUUCUUUUCCAACGUAUUCUCUCUUUAACAAUAUAUAGAAUAUAUUAACAAAGAAGAAAAAACAGCAAAAUUCACCUUUAAUGAUUUUCAUUUUUAUUUCGACACAAAUCAGAAAAUUAUUCAAGAAAAGGAUUGAAGACUAGUUUUGAUAUAAAUCAUGGAGCAAUGCAGGCACAAGCUAGAGGCACUGCUUUUCCAGGUCGAAGACACUUGCCUCCCCUCUUAUAUUCUUUUUCUAUACAAGUCAAAUAUGUUUGUGAGCAUAAGAUUGCA